AUUUUUUUCUUAUUUAAUUUCUAGUUUUUUUCUUCAAUUUUCAUUUAGCGUUUUAUGCAUCAUUAGUUUAGCACACAUCAUUAGCAUUGUAUGCGUCGUUGGUCUCGUACAAAUAGUGGCAGAUUAAUUAGAAGAUCACCUUCACAACCCUUAGAUGUGGCUGACACAGGAGCUGAAAAUUUUUCGGAGCGUGAAAAUGACCAAGCCUUGCAAAAUCUUCAUGAACAGCCUAGGAACCUAAGAGAUUUCAUGCAUCCUACUAGAACAGGGUCAUCAUCAUGCAUAGUUUUCCCUGCUGAUGCAUCACGUUUUAAUUUUAAACCUGGUAUCAUUCAACUUCUUCCUACUUUUCAUGUUUUUGAGUCUGAAAAUCCAUAUUUGCAUUUAAGGGAAUUUGAGGAAGUCUGUAACACAUGUACUUAAGUUUUUUCCUUUCUCACUAGAGGAUAAAGCUAAAACUUGGCUACAAAAUCUUAAGUCAAGAUCCAUUAAAACUUGGGAUGAAAUGCAAGCACAAUUUUUGAAAAAAUUCUUCCCACCCUACAGAACUAAUUAUUUCAAAAGACAAAUCAACACAUUCACUCAAAAACUAGGAGAAACCCUCUACCAAUGUUGGGAUAGGUUUAAAGAACUACUUAACAUUUACCCACACCACGGUUUUGAAACAUGGAGAUUAGUGUCUUAUUUCUACGAGGGAUUAACAUCCCAGGGUAGACAAGUCAUUGAAAUGAUGUGUAAUGGUGAGUUUAGGGAUAAAAGUCUUGAAGAUGCAUUAAACUAUCUUGACUAUAUAGCAGAGAAUGCACAACACUGGGAUACAGUUGGUUCUUAUGAGUCAUCAAGUCAACCCCAGUCAUCUCUAUCUGGUGGAGGCAUGCAUAACCCUAGGGAAGACCAUGAUUUUCAAGCCAAAUUUACAUUAUUAGCUAGAAAAGUCGAAGCAUUAGAGUUGAAAAAGAAUGAUCAUGUAAAAUAUGUUCAAAAUAUUUCAUGUUAUGUUUGCGAUUCUACUGACCAUUUUACGUAGGACUGUCCAACUUUGCCAGCAAUGAGCGAAAGUUUGCAUGAACAAGUAAAUGUCGUUGACAAUUUCAAAAGGCCAAAUUCAAAUCCAUACUCCCAAACUUACAACUCUGGAUGGAAAAACCACCCAAAUUUUAGUUGGAGAAAUGACAAUCAUACACAACCUUCACAACCAAUUCCUCCACAUCAAAAUUUUCAAAACUUCCAGAGUUACCCAUCAUAUGUCCCACCACCAAGAAAAACUUUGGAAAACACAUUGCAUUCGUUUAUUGAAAAAUAAGAGUCAAUCAAUAACCAAACGAUGUAAACCUUAACUAAUUUGACAGAAACUAUCUCCAAACUUACAUCUACUCUGACCAUGUAUGAAAAAGGAAAGUUUCUUGCUCAACCUGAACCAAACCCCAAGAGUCAACAACAUCCGCAAAUGGGAAAUUCAGGAAACCAAAUUAUGAGUCAACUCAAAUCGGUUAUAACCCUUUGUGGUGGUAAAGUGGUCGAAAACAUAUUGUGGACCCUCGUGAAACUAGUAAAGAUUCAAUUUCAGAAAAUAGGGAAGAAUCUGUCGAACCUUUAACCCAUGAAGAAAUAACCAACUCUCCUCCUGUACCCCUAUUUCCUCAAGCACUAAUCAAGCCAAAGAAAUCAAACCACAGUCUAUAAAUUUAUGAAGUUUUUAAAUAAGUAAAGGUCAACAUUCCUCUGCUGGAUGUCAUUAAAUAAGUACCUUCUUAUGCUAAAUUCUGAAAGAUAUGUGCACGGUGAAAAGGAAACAUAAGGUGCAAAAGAGAACUUUUCCAGCAGAACAAAUAAGUUCCAUUCUCUCAACCAAUAGUACUUUGAAAUACAAGGAUCAUGGUUGUCCAACUAUUUCUUGCACUAUUGGGGAUCAUAAAAUUGGACAUGCUCUACUUGAUCUUGGUGCCAGUGUUAAUUUGCUUCCUUACUCAUUGUACUAACAACUCAAUCUCGGUAAGUUAAAACCAACUUCUACCACUCUUUUACUUGCUGAUAGAUCGAUUAAGAUUGCAAAAGGAAUAAUUGAAGAUGUAUUAGUUCAGGUCAAUAAAUUCAUAUAUCUUGUGGAUUUUAUUGUUUUGGAAACGGAACCAAUUGCUAAUGAAUGCAAACAAAUUCCUCUUAUAUUGGGUCGACCAUUUUUAGCUACUGCUAAUACUUUGAUAAAUUGCAAGAAUGGAUUAAUGAAUUUAUCUUUCGACAACAUGACACUGGAACUCAAUGUGUUCAACAUAUGUAAACAACCUCACCACUAAGAAGAUGAUGAUAAUGAGAAUGAGGAGAUUGAUCUCAUCGAGCUAAUAAUUGAGGAACACAUUCAGGAUGAGAAUUUUAUAAACUCUACGAAAAUUUGUUUUGCUGGUUCUUUUGAAUCAAGUAAGGAAUUAGAUUGUGAUACUGCUAACAUAUGUCGUACACUUGAUUCUAUGCAGGUCCCUAUAGGUGACGAUGACCAAUCGAACUUUGAAGAUACGAUACAACCCGAAGAACCAAACGAAGAGAAAACACCAGAGAUCGAAUUAGAGCCCUUACUAGAAGAAUUGAAAUAUGUCUAUCUUGGAGAACAGCAGACAUAUCCGGUGGUAAUUUCUUCCCAGUUCACGCAUGAUCAAGAAGGUAAGUUGUUAUCUAUUCUAAAAAAGCGUAAAACUGCAUUUGGUUGGACCUUAAAAGACAUAAAAGACAUUAAUCCUUUAAUUUGCACACACCGAAUACACUUAAAGGAAAAUGCCAAAACAACUCGUCAACCACAAAGAAGACUAAACCCUCAUAUGAAAGAAGUGGUAAAUAAUGAGGUCCUUAAACUACUAGAUCUAAGAAUUAUCUAUCUUAUCUCUUAUCAAAUCCCUAUAGCCUUAGAAGACCAGUAAAAGACCACAUUCACAUGCCCAUUUGAAAUAUUUGCAUUUAGGAGAAUGCCCUUUGGACUUUGUAAUGCUCCUGCAAUAUUUCAAAGGUGCAUGCUAAGCAUUUUUAGUGACAUGGUUGAAAAUUGUCUAGAGAUUUUUAUGGAUGAUUUAACUGUAUUUGGUAAUUCUUUUGAUACAUGUCUUGAUAAUCUAGAAAAUUUUUUGGAAAGGUGCAAAGAAAAAGGACUAGUUUUAAAUUGGGAAAAUGUCAUUUCAUGACCACUUCUAAAAUUGUCUUGGGCCAUGUUGUGUCUUCAAAAGGAAUUGAAGUUAGCAAAGUUAAAGUUUGAAGUCAUUUCAAAAUUACCUUCACCAAAGACAAUUAGAUAACUCCGUUCCUUUUUAGGACAUGCAGGAUUUUAUAGGAGGUUUAUAAAAGCCUUUAGUGUCAUAUCUAGACCACUUUGUAACCUACUAAUAAAAGACACACCUUUUGAAUGGACUAAAGAUUGUCAACAAGCUUUUGAAAAAAUAACUACUCUUUUGACAUCAGCCCCAAUAAUGCAACCCCCUGAUUGGUCUUUACAUUUUGAGCUAAUGUGUGAUGCUAGUGAUUAUGCCGUUGGCGCUAUUCUAGGUCAAAGAAAGGAAGGUAAGCCCUUUGUCAUCUAUUAUGCAAGUAGAACUUUGAAUAGUACUCAAAUGAAUUACACUACAACUGAGAAAGAACUACUUGUUGUAAUAUUUGCAUUGGAUAAAUUUCAUUCGUAUUUAAUUGGUUCAUCUACUGUUGUUUAUUUUGAUCAUGCUGCUGUGAGAUAUUUAAUGUCAAAACAGGAUGCCAAACCAAGGUUGAUAUGAUGGAUUUUGCUACUUCAAGAAUUUAAUUUGACGAUUAAGGAUAAAAAGGGCGUUGAAAAUGUUGUUGCAGAUCAUCUUUCAAGACUUACAAAUGAGUCUUCAAUUGAAACAACACCCAUCAAUGAUUCUUUCUCUAAUGAAUUUUUGUUUUCUAUAAACAAAAUGCAUUGGUAUGCUAAUAUUGUUAAUUAUCUUACGACAUGUGAAAUGCCAUGUGACUGGAGUUCCCAAGACAAGAGGAAAUUCUUAACAGAAGUGAGAAGCUUUUACUGGGAUGAUCUAUACAUGUUCAAAUACUACCCUGAUCAAAUACUACUCUGAUCAAAUUUUUUGAAGAUGCAUACCAGAUGACGAGGUAAGUAGGGUCAUUCAAUUUUGUCAUUCUGAAGCAUGCGGUGGCCAUUUUUCUUCAAAAAAGACAGCUGCAAAAAUAUUGCAGUGUGGAUUUUAUUGGCCUAUAUUAUUUAAAGAUUCACAUGCAUUCUAUAAAAUGUGUAAGAAUUGUCAAAUGAUAUGGUCUAUUUCAAAACGAAACAUGAUGCCUUUAAACCCCAUCCUUGUUAUUGAAAUAUUUGAUUGUUGGGGAAUUGAUUUUAUGGGCCCUUUUCCAUCAUCAUUUGGAUUUGUAUACAUUUUGGUUGUUGUUGAUUAUGUUUCAAAAUAGAUCGAGCUGAUUCAUUGUCGGCACAAUGAUCACAAGAUUGUGAUCCGCUUUUUAAAAGAAAAUAUUUUGAGCAGAUUUGGAAUAUCUCGAGCCAUUAUCAGUGAUGGAUGUAAGCAUUUUUGUAAUAAGCCAUUUGAGUUAUUAAUGAAGAAAUAUCGAAUUACACAUAAGGUUGCUACCCCUUAUCAUCCUCAAACAAGUGAUCAAGUUGAAUUAGCAAAUAGGGAGAUAAAAUAAAUUUUAGAAAAGACAGUUAAUCCAAAUCGUAAAGAUUGGUCUCUUCGACUAACUGAUGCACUUCGGGCAUAUCGUACUACUUUUAAAACAUCUUUAGGAAUGUCACCCUAUCGUCUUGUUUAUGGAAAAUCUUGCCACUUACCAGUUGAACUUGAACAUAAAUCAUUUUGGGCCAUUAAAGUUUUUAAUUCAAAUCUUGAUGAUGCUAGUAAUGUGCUUAAAUUGAAAAUAAAUGAACUUGAGGAAUUAAGGAAUGAUGCAUAUGAGAAUUCUAGAAUUAUUAAGGGAAGAACCAAAUUUUUUCUUGACAAAAGAAUUUUUUAGAAAAUGUUUGAAAUUGGUCAAAAAAUGUUGCUUUAUAAUUUUCGUCUUCAUUUAUUUUCAGGGAAGUUAAGGUCAAAGUGGAAUGGUCCAUUUUUUUGUAAAAAAUGUGUAUCCAUAUGGAGCCGUAGAAAUUGAGAAUCGAAAGGAUGGUGUCACAUUUAAAGUUAAUGGCCAAAGAUUGAAACCAUAUCUGAAAUACCAACCACAUAAAGCAGAAUACCGAAAUCAAUUUGAAUGACCCACCAAAUUUUGAUUAAGCCUUUUCAUUUUAACGUUUUGUGAAUUUGAUUUACUGUUACUUUAUCGUUUGAAUUGUUUGAUUUUUUUUCUUUUUCCUCUUCCCUAUAUCUUGAAUGGAGUACAUUACAUUGUUUUAAUUGUGUGUUGUUUGACAAUUGUGAUUUAGCUCACCAAAUUUUUAUACUUGUCAUGAGUACCUCCAUGAGAAAUUUCCUUUUCGAUCAUUUUAAAGCACUUUUACAAGUAAAAUUUCACCUGAGGAAAUUACUUUGAUUUUGUAAAUCACAUCCCAUUUGGGACCUACAACCACCAAAGUCAGUAUCCCACAUGAAAGAUCUAGAAAGACAACUCAAGGAAAUAGAGGAUGGUAUUUAUAAUAUGUUAUUGGAACUGGAGGUAAAUUCAAUAAAAGGAUAAAGGUGAGUUAUAUUCCUUGUGUGUUUUUAUUUUAUUUUGUUGUUCUUAUUCACUUUUGAUUUGUUUUGAUUCACUCUUCCGUAUAAAUGGCGAAUAACGGUACUCCGUGACUUUUUAAGUCGAUAUUCUCAGUAUCCCACAAUAACUGAAACCUCAAUGUCAAGCAUGGAAGAAAUACAAUGAAAAUUGCAUCAACGUUUUCCUUCUCUCCCUCAAAAUGCUCUUAAGAAGAUUUACAAAACUCGUUGUGAACGACUACAAUUGUUAAUGAUCAAUGGGAUUCGCUAGUUAAUUGAAGCAAAGGUCCGACUGGCAUGUGAGUUUUCUUAUCCAUUCAUUUCUUACAUGCCUGGUCUUUGUAAAAGUAUAUUUGCUAAGAAAAGAAGAGCUAAGCGACUUGGCUCUGAAUGUUCUCACUAUGUAAGACUUGCUUGUAAAAAGCCACAUUGUAAGGAAUGGUUUCUGUAAAUCGUGAAGAUAAAAUCAAAUUCGUUAAGGAUGGCAUAAGCAAAGAAUCGUUGGAUGAUAUCUUACGAUCUCUUAAGACGCAUCCGAGCAGAUAUGUUCAAUGUGAAAUUUAAAAUUUGUGGAAACUAUUCCAAAAGGAAAGUGUACAGUUUAGUCUUGGGAAUUUGACUCUAAAAGACCCUGUUUACCAGUUUAUAAGAAAACUGGAUGGGAAGCCUAUUCUCAACCCAUAGAGGGCGUUCAAGCCGUUACUGGACGUAAAACCAGAGGAAGAUGUGAGCCACAAUCAUAACUACCAGUAAAUAUCCUUUUAUUUUACUAUUCUUUUAUCUUUUGCAUUAUUAUUAUUAUUAUGUGUUUUUUUAUCUAAUCACUGUUUGUUUUUCUUUUUACUGUUUGCCUUUGAAUUAUUAAGCUAAAAGCUUCACGCAUCAUUUGACACACACACCACCCCAUUUACAGAUAUCAUUAUGUCCGUCACCAAGAUCCUUAAAUAGGAACUUCUUUUCAAGCACUCACAAAUUGUUUCUUUUUAGAAUUGUUCUAAUGGCAGCAACUUCAAGCAGUCAACUUAAAAACAUUUGUGUACUUUUUGGAUUUCGCUAUGGAAAGUAUAAGGAGUUCAUUCAAGCAGCCAUAGAUCUUGGUCGUGCUAUAGCAGAGAGGAAACUACAUCUUGUAUAUGGAGGAGGUGGCCAAGGGUUAUCAAAACUUAUCUCUGAAGCUGCCUUCAUUCGAGGAAGCCAAGUGCUAAGCAUCAUUCCAAAAGCUUUAAAACCUUUAGGAUGUCUACCAAACCCACCAACUGGAGAAGAGUUAGUUGUCUUAGGUAUGCAAGAAAGAAUAUCCGAAAUGUUAAAUCAUGCUGACGCUUUCAUUUUCUUGCCAGGAGAUCUUGCAACUUUAGAGACGCUAAUUACAUUUUCUUCUUGGGCCCAUUUGAAUAUUCAUCAAAAACCCAUCAAAUUGUUAAAUGUUAAUAACUUUUAUGAUGGCUCAAUAAUAUUUCUUAAUCAUGCAAUAAAAAAUUACUUCAUUCCAUCCUCAGCAAAAAAACUCUUCAUUUGUGCUCCUAUUGAUAAUGAGUUAUUUGAUCUUUUGCAAGCUUAUAAACCAGAGCCAGAUCCGGUGACUUUGGCAUUGGAUUGGGCAACUGAGGACGAUGGCAGUAACUCUCGUAAAAAGUAUAAAUUAGAUUUAACUCUCCGUUUGUAAAUAUUUCCAGUUGUGGCCAGGUGAUAUCUUCUAAACUCUACUCCUUUCUUUAGACAUUGAGGACAAUGUCUCCUUUGGGUUGGGGGAGGGAAUAGUUGAUAAUUGUGGAAUGUCUCAGUCCUGGUGAUGUUUUUACUAAUUUUUGGUGUAAAGACUAACUUUGGAUAAAAAUUUGAGUCGAAAAUGACAGAAUAUAGAAUGUAGUAUCUCUAAAAACGCAUCUUAAUUUUAGUGUGUUUUCUAAAAAAAAAUUAUUUUCUAACUUUUUAUUUCUGUCUUUUUCUCUUUUUCUCUUAAUCAUCUCCCUUAAGUUUCUGCAAUUAGUCCCAAAUUUUUAGUGUUUUCUUAAAAAAAAAAAGUUUUCUUUUUCGGUGUGAUCUUUUGACAUUGGAUAACAUGAUGAUUUUUAAAUUUUGGUAUUCGUAUUAUCUUUGGCCUUGAGUUAUGUUACACUAUGUUUUUCCCUUUGCAUGUUGAAACGUAAAUUGAGAAAUUGAAUGAGUGAAAUUGAUUAAGCCAUUUGGAGGAAUGUACAUGUUAUAAAAAGUCCAAGCGAGUUUUUUGAGCCUAUUAUCCUUGGAGAGUAACCCUAUUUGCCAAUACAGCUUCUCAAUUUAUUGUACAAUAUCUCAAUAUUUUCUUUAAAAAAAGAGUAAAAAAAAAAGAAAGUUUGUGCAACCGCAUCUAAAAGUUUAUUGAACUAGUGGAUAUGAAAGAUUAUUUAAAGCCCUAAAAGAUGACAGAAGACCAUCUUUGACCCAUUGAGCCUUUCUAGCCAACCUUAUUAUAAAGAAUCCAUAGUUAAUCUCUUUGAGCCUUAAAAAAAAAAAAUUUCCUUUGAUAACCUAUUAUCUUAUCCCACUCCAAUGUGGAGCAUCACCUUAUAUUUUAUGUUUUCCACCACCCAAUUAUGUUUGAAAAUAGGGAUGAUUAUGUAUUCCUAAUAAUGGUGCUAUAAAAAAAAAGAGGAUAUGUAUAUAUAAAUAAAUAAAAUAAAAUAAAAAAGAGAGCAAAAAAAAAAGCACCUUGUAAUCUCCAAAAAGUCCUCUAUUUUUCAAACAUAUAUUUUUGUUUUCCCUAUUACCUUUUUUGUUAGCCAUAACCAUAGCCUACAUUACGUCCUAAUAAAAGUUCUUCUUGAUUUAGGGAAUUAUAGUCUGAAGUAAAAGCUGGUAAUAUGGACUAAAAGAUGUGGUGAUGCAUAAAAAUAAAAAUAAAUUUUGCUAAUAUAAUUCCCUGAGUUGAGAUCAUUUUAUUUCUAAGCGGUGGGUCUUAUUCUUUCAUCUUGGUAAGAGCGUAUGAUAUUGUUUUAUUAUUCUCUCAAAUCUACCUUUUUUUUAGAGUGACAGUUUAAUUUGGGAUAUACUUUCUUUUGAGAGAGUCACUCUUAAUCGUGAGAUUUUGGGGUUUGAUGUAUCAUUUUUAAAAGUGACUUGAUUAAUGUAGCUCUGAUAAUUGAUCAUUUUACAUGAUUUUACUAAACUAUUUUGUGCGAGUGUGAUUUUCUUUAGGCUGAAGAUAAUGCUUAUACUUUUAUUUGAUUGUUGUCAUUAAUACGAUGAAAGAAGUAAACACAAUCCUUCAAAAAAAAUAAAAAAAAAUUCAAUUUGAGUUUGAAAUUUUACUAAACUUUUUUUCGAUUAAAUUAUUAGGGUCUAGCAAUAAGUUGGUUGGGGGGUGUGAUUAACACUAAAAAGUGUACGUGUAACAAAAAUAAAAUUAUUAGUUUUACACUUAUUGUGUAGAUUAAUGCGCUCAUUAUUUCUAAAUUAUCUUAAUAUUCCCCAAAUAAAUUUUUGUGUUAAAUUAAUUCGCAAUAUGUUAAUUUUUAUCUUAUAAAUAUUUUUCAGGAAUAAAUUGGAAUUGAAAGCGGGAUCAAAGAAGGACUGCUGGAGCGAUUUGGAAGCAUUAUUGAGGAGAUGUAAAUAAAAAAAUAAAAAAAUAAAAAAAUAAAAAAUAACAAAAGAACAAAAACCAAAUUUCUCAUUCUCGUAAUCACACACACACACACACACACAUAUAAUAAUAAUAAUAAUAAUAAUAAUAAUAAUAAUAAUAAUAAUAAUAAUAUAAUAAUAAUAAUAUAAUAAUAAUAAUAAUAAUAAUAAUAAAUAAAUAAAGAUAAGGCAUUCCUUGCCUAUAAAAGGCAAGGAAAUGCAGGAAGCUUGAGCGGAGAGUCGCAAGGGGAUUUGAGAUUUUUAAGUCGAGAGAAAGAGUUAUAGCCAAGAGGGAACUGAAGAAUUUCCGUCUUUCUUUCUUUUCUUUUCUUGUUUCCUUUUGUAUCAAUUUUCCUUGUAACAUAUUUCAAAAGUUUAUCAAAUAAAAAGAGUGUUGUGUUUUAUUUUGAUAUGAGUGGCUAAUUUUACUAAGCUGGGGUGAAAGGUGAAGCUCAAUGUUUCAAACUAUUAAAUUUAUUAUUUUCUCAAAUGAGUUUUUAAGUUUAUUUUAUUAUUUUCUAGUUACUUUUAUGUCAUGUCGAUUUAUAAAUUUUCUUGAAUAUGUAUGGUAUUUUGAUAUAAUGUCGACACAUUAAAAUAGUUGUGAUACGUUAGGUACUUUAUUUCAUAUUCAUCCACACACAUAAAAUUAAAUGAUAUAAUAAUUAACUGGUAAAAGUGAGGCAAAAUAUAAAUGAGAGAGUAUUAAAAUUAUAGUUUGAAUACAGAGAGUGGAUCCCGAACCUUAGCAUAUUUUUAAAUUGAUUUCAAAUAAUUUCUUUUCCCCACAAUUAAUUUUCUUAGUUUUAAAUUGACUACUAGAUUUAAAAUUCCCUGUGGUUCGACCCCGAACUCACCAAGUUAUAUUAUAACUAUACACCCUUAUACUUGGGAGUAAUACAAUUUUGAGUCGUGUCACAAACCAUGGUACAAUAUUUACACUCAUAAGUUGCUCAUCUGGGAAAGACUCAUUCAAAGGUAAAGAUUCUGAAAUAAAUUUAAGAUCAAGGCGAGAUAAAUGAUCUGUCACAGCAUUUUCAGAACUUUUUUUAUCUCUAAAUUCAAUGUAAAAUUCUUGUAAAAGCAACACCCAACGAAUCAAUCUUGCCUUAGCAUCUUUCUUAGUAAGCAAAUAUUUCAAAGCAGCAUGAUCAGUAAAAAUAAUCAUUUUACAACGUAUAAGAUAAGAUCUGAAUUAAUCAAGUGCAAACACCACAUCUAGCAUUUCUUUUUCUGUAGUUGAAUAGUUCAACUGUGCAUCAUUGAGUAUCAUACUAGUAUAAUAAAUCACAUAAGGCAUACGAUCUAAUCUUUGUCCUAAAACUGCUCCUACAACAUAAUCAGAUGCAUCACACAUAAUUUCAAAAAGCAAUUCCGAUUAGGUGGUCGAAUGAUAAGUGAAGAAGUCAACAAUUUCUUAAGCUUUUCAAAAGCAUCAAGACAAGAUUCAUCAAAGAUAAAAGGUACAUCCUUAACAAGUAAAUUGCAUAAGGGUUUAGAAAUUUUACUAAAAUCUUUAAUGAAUCUUCUAUAAAAACUAGCAUGUCUAAGGAAAGAUCUUACUUCUUUUACGGAUUUGGGGUGUGGAAAAUUGGAAAUUAAAUCCACAUUGGCUUUGUCGACUUUUAUGCCUCUACUGGAAAUUAUAUGACCGAGAAAAAUAUCUUGUUUUACCAUGAAGUGAUACUUUUCCCAAUUUAGAACUAAGUUCUUUUCUUUACAUCUCUGCAAAACUAAUGUUAGAUGUUGCAAACAUUCAUCAAAAGAAUCUCCAUAAACAGAAAAAUCACCAUGAAUACUUCAAGAAAUCGCUCAACCAUAUCAAAAAAAAUACUAAGCAUGCAUCUUUGAAAGAUAGCAGGUACAUUGCAUAAACCAAAUGGUAUUCUCUUAUAUGCAAAAGUUCCAAAUGGACAAAUAAAAGUAAUUUUCUCUUGGUCCUCUAGAGCUAUAGGAAUCUGAUUAUAACCNNNNNNNNNNNNNNNNNNNNNNNNNNNNNNNNNNNNNNNNNNNNNNNNNNNNNNNNNNNNNNNNNNNNNNNNNNNNNNNNNNNNNNNNNNNNNNNNNNNNACAAGUCCAUCAAACAUUUGAUCAAUAAAUGGAAGAGGAAAAUGAUAUUGUCUGGUGACUAAAUUCAAUUUUCUAUAGUCAAUGCAAAACACGCCAACCUGUAGUUACUCUAAUGGGAAUUAACUCAUUAUUAGCAUUAGUAACUACUGUAACACCAGAUUUCUUAGGAACAACUUACACAUGGCUAACCCUAUCUCUUACCACUUCUUUUAUGUUAGGGUUUAGUCUACGUUGCAUCUUCCUAAUAGGCUUAGCAUUUUCUUCAAGAUUAAUAUGAUGCAUGCAAUUUACUAGAUUAAUACAUUUAAUAUCAGCAAUGGUCCAUUCUAUUGCCUCCUUAUACUCUUUUAGAAUACCCAACAACUUACCUUUUUGCUCAAGAUCGGGAAGAAGAAAUAAUAACAGGUAGAGUGUCAGAUUCUCCCAAGAAUGCAUAUUCCAGUGUGUCGGGCAGUGCUUUGAAUUCUAAUUUUGGUAUUGUCUCAACAGAUGGGCUAAUCUUCUUCUCAGAAUGAGGCACUAAAAAGAGAAAUUUGCAUGUCACCAAAAAGGCAUUUUUAACUGAACAAACCAGCAAUGUACUUCAAUGUAAAAUGCCACCAAAAUUUAAGGAUCCAAGUUCCCUUAAUAUCUCAUAUGUUAUAGGGAACCAAUUGUUUAAUAAAGUAUUGUUGGAUUUAGGAGCUAGUGUUAAUCUCUUACCUUAUUUUGUUUACAAGUAACUUGGAUUAGGUGAGUUAAAGUCAACUUCUAUUAUUUUACAACUUGCAGAUAAGUCAAUGAAAAUAUCUCAUGGAAUUCUAGAGAAUGUGUUGAUACAGAUUGAUAAAUUUUAUCCUGUUGAUUUUAUUGUUAUUGAUAUUCAGCAUGUACAAGAUCCUAAGAAACACACCCCAAUUAUUCUAGGCCGUCCUUUCUUAACUACAGCCGAUGCUUUUAUUAAUUGCAGAAAUGGAAACAUGCAGCUGUCCUUUGGUAAUAUGACCAUGAAAUUGAAUAUUUUUAAUGUUACCAAGCAGCCACAAGAAGAAGAUGAAUUUGUCGAAGCAAAUAUGAUAGAAGAAUUAGUAGAAGAUUCAUUCAUUUCUAACCACACUGAUGAUCCAUUAGAGGCAUGUUUAACUCAUUUUGAUUUAUCUUCUAAUGAUGACAGUGUAAAUCUUUUAAAAACUUGGCAUAUGAGGGAACUUGCUUAAUAGCAUCGAGUAAAUGGAUGUUUAUACUUACAUGCUUGAAGAUUUCCAUAAUCUCACCUGUUGAACUCCCUUUCUUUACCUUUGUUAACCUUUAGGGAAAAAGAGCCUUAGGAAUGUAAGUUGGUGGGCCACUUUCUUCUUGAUCAUUAGGUGAUGAAGCUUGUGAUGGAACUAAAUCUACAGAAGUAUGUUCAAAUGUCUUUCUUGUUCGAACCUCCACCUUAUUGUCAAAUAAUUUUCCUCUUCUUAAGGUCAUAAUAGAUUUUGCUUCUUCAUGCAGAUGGCUCGAACUUGAUCCAACUUCAUGCACUCUUUUAAGAUUAGGAAUUGGUUGACUUGAGAAUUUUUCUUUUUCUCUCUCAGCCACAGUAGUUGCUAAUUGACCCAAUUGAUGUUCAAGCUUUAGAAUAGCUUGAGUGUUUGACUGAAAGGCUUGUUGGAUAGACUGAAUGAAACUUUGAAGUGUAUCCUCUAAAGAAGGUUUUCUUUAUUGGAGUGCAACAAAUUGAGACAUAGGCUGUUGGGCAAGGGGAUAUAGUUGGUUAGAAGGGACAAAUUGUUGAUUGGGCAUGUUAAAUUGUUGCCCUCCUUGGUUCGACAAAGGUUGAUUUUGUUUUCAAGAAAAAUUAGGUUGAUUCCUCCAAUUAGGAUUAUAUGUCGAUGAAUAUGGACUAUUGAAGGAUUUUUCAUACGACUGUAAAACAUGUACCUGCUCAGAAUAAGCCUUUGGAUAGGCUGGUAAUGAUGGACAAUUAUGUGUUGUAUGAGAUAAGUUAGAAUAAAGAGCACAAAUCUCAUUAGCUACACUAGGAUGGUGAUUCAUUGAUUGGUUCAGAGCUAAGACAUCUACUUUCCUAGAAAGAGUAGCUAGAGUGGCGUUCACAUCAAAAUCAUCCUUAACUUCAUAUAGACCCUUUUUAGAAACUUGAGAUGAUUUUUCCCUUUGAUUUGAAAAAUUUCACUGUUGAGAAUUUUCAGAAAGUGAAUUAAAGAAAUCUCAUGCAGCCCCUUCAUGUAGGUUCAAAAAUCUCCCACCAUUCAUAGACUCCACCAUAUGAUGAUUUGACAUGGUUAAACCAUUAUAAAAGCAUUGUAUAAGUCUCCAUUUCUCAAAACCAUGGUGGGGACACUUAAGGAAUAAAUCAUUAAAUCUUUGCCAACACUCAUAAAAUUGCUCACCCUCUCUUUGAUAAAAACAACUUAUCUCUCUCAUAAGGGCAUUUGUUUUAGAUAUAGAGAAAAACUUGGUGAGGAACUUAUUACUCAAUUCAUCUCACGUAGUAUUAGACCCAUCAGGAAGUGAAUUCAACCAAGCUUUCACUUUGUCUUUUAAUGAGAAAGUGAACAUACGAAGCGUAAUUGACUCUUCAUUAAAAUUUUAAAAACAGAAUGUAGAGCAUAUGUCAAGAAAUUCCUUAGUUUGCAAAUAUGGAUCCUCUUUCUCUAACCCUUGGAAAAAUGGUAAAAGUUGAAUGACAGAGGGCUUAAGUUCAAUGUGUGUUGCUGUAGUUUGUGGCAACACAAUACAAGAUGGUUGAUUGGUUGCAAGUGGUGAAAAAUAAUCUCUAGGGGUUUUCUAUGCUUGCACUGGUGGUAGUAUUGGCAAUAUUCUAUUUGGGUCAUCCAUCACUUGAGAAGAACUAGCUUGACUACUAUCAAUUUUAGACUCUUUUUUUACUAAACGAUUUGUUGAAUCGCUUUUCCAAACACUCAUAAACUAACUAGACAAAGAAGAAAAAUAAAACAACAAUAAUAAAAAUAAAUAAAAUUUAAAAGAAAUCAAAUAACCAAACAAGAAUUCAAAGUAAAAAAUAAUAAUUUUUUUGUGUUUUUUUAUAAAAAAAUUAAAUAAAUAAAUAAAAGACAACCUAAAUUAUAACUAGUUGAAGAAUCAAAUCAACUUAGAUUAAACUAACUUUCUAGCACAAACUUCGGCAACAGCGCCAAAAACUUGUUGUGAAAAAUUUUAAUAUACUCGCAAGCGCACGAAUCUAGAGAUAGUAUAGUGGUAACGAGGUCGAACCCACAUGAAUUGUUAUAAAUUGAAAAGUCUAAUUUAAAUCUAAAAUUAAUAUUAAUUCAAACCUAGUUGAGCAAAUUGAGUUUUAAAGAAAAUUAAACUAAUUAAAUAAGAAAACAAUUAAAGUAAAUGAGAAUUCAAUAAGACAAAAAUUACUAAGGUUUCAGAAUCCAUCACUAUUCAACUAGUAAUUAUUUAAAUAUUAAUUAAUUCCCAAUUUUAGAGUGAUAACUCGAAAUCAAUUUAUAUCAUCUCAUAAAUAUAACAAUUGAGCUCAAAUAAAAUUAAUCUUAUGUAUGUUCUUUUUCUGCUUGAUAGUAUGACAUCUAAGCAUCCCAUAUAAAUAUAUUGAAUAACAAAGAGUCAAAGUUUUCAUAAGCACUUUAUAUAAACAAUUUAAUGAAAAAUAUAAAAUCAAAGAUAAUCAUAUAUAAACUUUAUAGAUCCAAACAUAGAUUUAGUCAAAUAUUAAUCUUCACAAUCAAUAAUACAUGACAGAGUUGGUGAAAAAAAUUUAAUAGCAUCCAACUAAUCAUGUGAAACAAGAACUAUAAAUAUUAAAACACACAUGUAGAAAAUUAAUUAAAUAAAGAGAUAAUUACUUUAUUUAAUAGAGUUUCAUCCUUAAUCUCAAUAUAAGAAAAUUAAUUAAAUAUACUUAAAUUGAGAGCAACAAAAUAAAUAACACCAGCCAUGAAAACUGAACAGCUGCUAUCGCUCCUGUCUUCUCUCCUGAAUCGCGUCUCCUUUUGCUUCCUUUUUCAUCUGGCGCCUUCCCCCUUUUUGGUCCAAAAGUUAAAAAGCUUGGUUAUAUAGUCUUCAAAAUGAGCCCCGCCUUUUCAAUUCUAAAGCCAAAAGGCUUUGGCGUUUUAUUUGUUUUGCUCUCACACGCCAAAUCUUUUGUAUAUUAUUUCCUUAUUAAAAGUGGAAAUCUAGCCACACGUUUGACUUCCAAAGCAAAAGGUCAAUUAAUGAUUUCUUCCUUUAAUACCCAGCCCAUGCAUUCCAAAUUGCUAAAUAAAAUCUUUCUUUAAUUAUCUUAAGCUCAUGCGGAAGCUUUGGAAUAUAAUCUUUAAUUCUUCAAUUCUUUCCUCUUAUGGAUCUUUUAUGUAUUUUUUUGUUUAUAAUCUCAAAUUAAUUCCCUAUUCAGUAAAACAAUUCAAUUAAUUAAAAAUAAGAAAUAAAAUAACUAGUAAAUAUACAAUAAAAGGUAAUAUAUAUAUAAAUUAUACUCAUCACUUAUCUUCCUCUGAGAGUUCUUUCCAAGUGAAAUUUGCUCCACGGUCUUACAAUGGAGCUGCACAUCAUCUCGCUAAAUUAGCUCUUUGUAAUUCCAUCGAAAAAGUUUGGUUAGAAGAAAUUCCAACUGUAUGUAAAGACAAAUCGCUGUAAUCAUUUUUCUAUUAAUAAAAUUUUAAUUUAAAAAAAACUAAAUGUUAGUUGAUGCUAUUCAUAACUAAUUAUUUUUAUAAUAGAAUUAACAAUAAAUAUUUUUAAAAACUACUUUACUAUCAAAUUAGCCCUUAAAUUGCCAUCUAAAUUUCAUGGAAUGAAAUUUUGAUUAAGUAAUGGUUGUUGCCCUCCUCAUUAAAGAAAAUAUUGUGAAAAAAUGAAUAAUGCUACACAACCUAAGUUUUUAUCACAAAAGCUAUCUCAAUUAACAUUCAACAAUUAAUUAAUAAGAUAAUGUCAUUAUUAUGAAAAAUUAUCAAUAUUUAAUGAAUAACAUAUCAAUUACAAUAAAAUUUGAGAUGAAUAUCUUUUAUCCAAAACAAAUUUAGUUGGGUGCUUGCGCGAUUGUGACGGAAGCAAUGACUUAUCCUGGAGAUGGAAGAGCCUGGAAUGUUUUAUAACAUCACUUUAUUUUUUAUUUUUUAUUUUUUAUUUUGAACACGAAGUGGCCAGGAGAAGAUCAUAUAUUUCUGGAAAGAAAAGACACCAAUAUUAGCCACGUACGGUCAUCUCAAACAUUUGCUAAGUCCAAACCGAUUAGCGCAAACUUUUCGCUAUAAAUAUGCACUCUCGUAACUUCACUUUCGGCGUGUUUAUCGUGUCUUUUCAUUUAUUCACUGUUGAUUCUUAGUAAGCUUCUGUAAUAAUGGCGGACGAAGUGAUUCUGUUGGAUUUCUGGCCCAGCAUGUUCGGGAUGAGGGUCAGGAUUGCUCUGGCGGAGAAAGGCGUCAAGUAUGAAUACAAGGAAGAGGACUUGAAGAACAAGAGCCCCCUGCUUCUGCAGAUGAACCCGGUUCACAAGAAGAUCCCGGUUCUCAUCCACAACGGCAGACCGGUCUGUGAGUCAUCCAUCAUUGUUCAGUACAUUGAUGAAGUGUGGAAGGACAAGGCUCCAUUGCUUCCCUCUGAUCGCUACCAGAGAGCUCAAGCUAGGUUCUGGGUAGAUUUCAUUGACAAGAAGGUAACUUAGUUGUUGAUUUUAUGAAGUGUGUUUAUGGGUAUUUUUUCAAUUUUAGAUUUAAUUGUAAUUUUAUUAAAAUAGAAGCCGAAAUUUUGUUAUUAAAAUAUUUCAUUGUCGAGUAGAUAUCAUGGAUUUGUUGUUUGAUUACAAAUAAACUGGGUUUGCAUUGAACGGAGGGGGAAAAGAUGUCCCCUAUAGAGUUGAAGAUUUUGGUUUUUACAGCACUAUGAUGCAGAUAUUAUAAACUUUAGUAGGUUUUAGUUGUAGCUUAAGAUCAGUAAAGGGCCCAACGAUGAGGAUCAGAGUGAGAGUACUAUAAACUAGAUUAGGCUGAAUAUUUGCAGUUAAAGUCUAGUUUCAGUAGUAAGUGUAGUAAGUAGUGGCCUUCUUAAUGUUUAUUUCUUGGCUUCAGCUUUAGUGGGUGUGUGAGUUUAUAGAUUUUUUUUUUUUUAAGGAAUAGCUUGAUAUUUGGGAGUUCUAUAUUUUUGAGAUAGUAGAAUCUUUUGUCUUGAAAAUAAUUAAAGAGAAACAAGCGAUUAAGCUGAAUUUUUAGGUGAAAAUCUUAAAAUAUGCUUAGAAUUCAACUUGCUCCUUUAUUUUUUUUGGAUGUUUUUGGCCUGUACAUAAUUUUACAGCAGGCUGUAAGACUGUAACCUACCUGUUGCUGAUUUUGUUGUCUUGAGAGGGAUGAGGAACCUGAAUGUGUUAAAUUUUAUCCAUUUUCAGCCAGAUUUUCUGAUACAAAUAUUGAAAGUAAAUUGCAGAUGUAUGAUGCUUCGACGAAGACAUGGACCACAGAGGGAGAAGAGCAGGAGGCGGCUAAGAAGGAGUUCUUUGAAGCUCUGAAGACCUUGGAAGGGCAGCUUGGAGACAAGCCUUUCUUCGGAGGAGACAAUUUUGGGUAUUUGGAUUUGAGUUUGAUCCCAUUCUAUUACACAUAUGAGACAUUUGGAAAGUCCAGCAUUGAGGCUGAGUGCCCCAAGUUCAAAGCUUGGGUGAAGAGAUGCUUGCAGAGGGAGACUAUUGCCAAGGCACUUCCUGAUGAGAAGAAAGUGCUUGAACAUGCUUCAGGGAUGAGGAAAAAUUUAGUAUUGGAGUAGAGAGAAAAAGGGACAUAUCUAGGAGCUGAGAAUAGGUCAAGUAGCGCAACCGUGCUGCCUGCUUAUUCUUUAGGUGGUUGAUGUUGGUUUGGCUUAUGAUAGUUGUUUUCCUAUUGUGUGUUUGUAUCCAGAUUUGUUGUGUUUCCCUUGUAAAAUAAGCUCCAAUAAAGGAUAAUUAAUUUUGUCCCCGACUGUUAUCUUAGAGUAUUGUAAUCACAAAGAUCACAACGUUGAUAAUUAUUAUAUAAAUGUUAUCACGUGCAGAAAUUGAUUGGACAUUAGAGAAAAUUAUUUGGAUAGUUCAUAUAAUUAUUUUGGUUAGCAGUUAUUAUUUUUCAGCCAAACCUUUCUAUCACAUUAUUUUCCACAAAUUUAUUUCUACGAAGUGUUCUUUGGCUAAUCUUAGGGGGUUGAUGUACUUGGCUUACUUGUAUUCAUAUGAUGUGACUAUUUGUAUUGGGUUGAGUUUCUCUUCCUCGAAGAUGCUUUUGUCAUUUUCCCUUCUAGAUAAACUGCAAUAAAGGACAAUUGAUUUUGGGAGCUGGCUAAGUUACAGAUUCUGUAACAUACAGAUCCAACUUCGCCAGCUCCUGAUUGGUUAGCUGGCUACCAAACAAAAACAAUUGCAUUUUUUUUUCCAUAUGCAGGACAGGUGUGGUGCAUGCAUUGGGUGUGUAUGUUACAGAAUCUCUAAGGUAGACAGGUCCUUGAUUUUGUCCAAUGUCCUUACCACCGCAUCUUGUUUUUCUUGAUCCUUUCGUGUUCGGUGAGCGGAAAGUUACUGACCUAAGAGAAAGAGCAUGAUUCCCGUGAAAAGUUCAAUGAACCCCAUGAAAAGUUCAAAUAUAUUAAGAAGUUUGGCGAAUAAAAGAAAAGAGUUUGUUCAAGUACGCUAAUAAAUUAGUGUGUUCGUUCUCUCUCUUUUUAGUUCUCUCUUUUUUUUGCUUUAUGUAAUCGUCCAAUGUCCCCGAUAUUAAAUUGUAUUUAUUCUUUUUAUAUUUGUGGAAGACAUGUUUACUCUUCAAUUAACAAUUCUAUAAAGUCGCUCUCAGCCAAAUCUUUUAUCGUAUAUGUUGUAGACAAUUUCUAAGAUUUUCUUUGGUAUCAUGGGAGAGGUAGUGAAUUAAAGUUUGUUUUGAAUUGUCCACCUCCUAAUCAAAAAAUAAUAAUAUCAUAAAAUUUCUGACAAAAAUCUUCUCCUGCUGCAUUUUUUUUUAAUGGCUUUCUUUUUUGGCUUUUUUAUUUUGUGAGAUUAUUUGUCGUUUUAUUUAUUUGGUGUGCUUGAUUAGUUUAUUCAUAAUUAUUAAAUGGGUAGUGUAUUAUCGUAAAAAUAAACAUAAAAUCUAAAUUUUUAACUAAUAUGUGAGAACUGAAAUGUGUUUAUGAUAUUGAUGCUAACAAAAAAAUAAAAAUAAAAUCUACUUUGAAUCUAACAAAAAAAAAAAGAUUUCCAACUGAUGUAAACGGAGAAACUAAACUUGAAUCCAUUCUCACAGUGUUUAAUUUUUAUCAAAAUUUGUAUGCUGAGAAUUCGGAUUCUACACCGGUCUUUCCAUUGGUAAUGUUAUCACGAAGCUAGUCCUGAAGAUAAUGAAAUGCCAACUAUUGUUCCUAAUGUGUCUGGAAAAAGGAUGGGUUUUUUUGGUUUAGAUGCCUCUAGUGCCCCAAGUCUCAAAUGGUUUUCCUGGCUUAUUUUUCCAUUGGUUUUGGGAUAUUAUUGAGAAUGAUCUUAUUUAGUAUAUUCAUUCAUUUUAAAGCAGGGCGUGAUCCUCCUGAACUUUGUGGCUUUGAUUCAGAGAUUGCACGGAGCCACUGAGGUUGGUCAAUUUCGUCCCAUUGUUGUUGUCAACUUCCUUUUCAAAAUCAUUCAUAAAAUAUUGGCCGACAGAUUAAGCCUGAUUAUGUCAAACCUGGCCUCUCCUCAGCGAGUUGCCUUUGUAAAAGGUAGACACAUUCAAUGUAGUACAUGUAUGGUUCUGGAAGAUAUUAUCCUUUUGGAUCGAAAAUCUUUUGGUAGAAAUUUGGGCCUAAAUAUUGAUACGCCAAGGCUUUAGGUACUCUCCAAUGGGAAUUUCUUCUACGGGCUCUGACUCAGUUUGGCUUUCACUCGACUUUUAUUGGUUAUCUAUCUUGAUUAAUGGAUCUGUCCAGCGGUUCUCUUCUUGUAGUAGGGGUGUCCGCCGUGGUGAUCCGCUUUCCCGUUGCAAAUGUGAUUUAUUUUAGGAAAAUUUUAAUUCCAUCCUCAAAAUCAUACAAUACAAGAACUUACAAUCAUUUUAAACCAAUCCACAUUCGAUUUGGAUCAUGUGGAUCUUGGGUCAGAUCCAAUCUAUUGCCAUCCCUAUGUUCAAUAAGGUGGAAUGAGAAAUGCGAGUCCUAACAAAAGGUUGGGAUUCAAACCUUUAAAUAAAGCCGUGUGACGAUAGGGUUGAUGUUAAAUUAUAAGUUUCUUUUCGACAUUAUCAUUUUAUUCCUUAAUUAUUUUUCUAAAUUAUUCUACAACCAACGUUUUUUAAUAAUUAUUUUUAAUAUCUAAUGUUUUAGUUUUUAUUAUUUUACGACUAAAUGAUUAAUGUUACUAAGAAAUUGCCGAUGUUAUAAGGAUAUCUUAAGAAAUUUGUUCCAGCAUUCAAGGUUCUUUAUUUUUUGGGCAAGUUUUGUACUUGGGCUUUUGGGGUGGGGGUGUAAGGAAAAUUACCAACUUGACCUUUAGUCCUAGUGUUAUUUUUGAUUAUUUAGUAAAAUUCUUUUUUUGGAGGAGAGCGAUGGAUUGUUAGUGUGGCUGAUUUGGAAUGGAGGUCAUUGUUAGGUUUCAUUUGUAUAUUUGUUGGAAUCUGGUAUAUCUUAACCAAGAUUUUUGCAUGGGCUCGUCGUGCACUUGUAGGGUUUAAGGAGGCUGACUUAUCUUAUAGUUUAGGUGCUUUGUCUGUUUUUGGUUUCAUUGCUUGUUGCUUUGUCUGGUUUAAUAAUACUGCUUAUCCUAGUGAGUUUUAUGGUCCAACUGGGCCAGAAGCUUCUCAAGCUAAAGCAUUUACUUUUCUGGUUGGAGACCAAUGUCCUGGGGCUAAUGUGGGAUCCUUGAGUCAAAACUACUAUAAUAUUUAUAUUUAAAAUAAUUAAUUGAUAAAAGUGUUAUUUCUUUGUAUAUAAUUAAUUUUAUAUUUUUUAAAUUCAGAGGUAAAUUUGUACCUACACAUUUUAGGGAAAAUAAACUUUUACCGUAACUUUUAAGGAAAAGGAUAUGUGCACUCUUAAAACUUGGAAAAAAGGGUCAUUACACCCCCAAGUCUCAAAAAAGGGGCACCAAGACCUUCUUUUGACUAUAAUAUCGUUUAUCUCUAUUAUCACGAAAAAAUGAACUCUAAUGUAUUAUAACAACAUUAAAUAAAAUAUGAUAAUAUAUACAUUUUAAAAUAUUUUCAAUAUUUACAAAUAUUUUAAUAUUUUAUAGUCUAUUAGAUAUUAUGUAAAAUAAUAAUUUUAGCAUUAUUAGUAUGUGACUUUCUUUUUAAUUGCAAAAUGUAGCGUAAUGUAAAUGUUUAUUUAAAAUCCUACAAUAAAUAGAAAUAUAUUACUAAAAUAAAUAUAAUAAUUUACAUAUUUAAAUUUAUUAAAAUAUUUUAAUAUUGUUAGUCUACUGCAUAAAUUACAUUAUUUAUAUAAUAUUCAUAUUUAUAAAAAAAAAUUAAAGUCAAUUUUUUUGGAUAAUAAAGAUAAAGUGCAUAAUGGUUAAAUGGUGGUCUUGGUAUCUCAUUUUAAAUACUUGGGGUCUUGUUGACCAUUUCCUCAAAUUUUAGAGUAUAAAUGUUUUUUUUUCUUAAUUUCUAUUAAAAAUCCUGCUUUUUUUUUAUUGAUGGUAAAAUGAAAGAAAUUAAAAUUUUAAGUUAAGAAAAGCAAUUGGCAAUAAAUUUUAGUGAUAAAGUGAUAUGUUUGGAAAGAUUUUGUGCUAAUAUAUAUAUAUAUAUAUAUAUAACCGUAAGGUAGAUUGCUCUUUUGACACAAAUACAAGGUUAUUUGAGUAGUUGAGAUUUCACACAUAUUGCGUAUAAAAUAUUCUACUUAAUUACCUUCUGGUUUCCACAAAAAAAAAUAAUAAAUAAAUAAGAAAAUAUAAUGGAAAUAUGACAUUGAAAAUCUGAAAUGAAAUCAAAUCUCUUUCCGUAGCUGAUGGCUAAAUUGGUGGUGUCUAAAACAGUCCAAUAACUAGAUCAAAUGAGCUAUAGUUUCCCCAAAGAAUUUUCUAUAUGAUCAUUAGAACUCUAACCAUUAUCAUAAAUUUGAUUAUCAUUUAGCCCUCCGAAGAUUUAGCGCUUUUAUUUUUUAUUUUUUUUGUCCUAAGGUCUAGCUCAACCAAACAUAAAAUUGUUGGUUUUGAUUAAAAAAAUGAAGACAAUAUUAUUACAAGAAAGCUUUCUAAUAUUUUCUUCUUGGUUUUGAGAACCACAAAAAAAAGAAAAAAAUAAAAAAUAAAAAAGAGAAAACUGGUUCGAAACUGUUAAAAUAUCUUGUUCUCACAAGGAGGAUUCCUUCUCCCUCGACAACAAUGCCAUAUUAUUUUUAUAUAAAAUUUUUUUUAUAAUUAAUUAAUUAAUAAGCCUAGCAAAACACUAAUAAUUGCACUUCAACUCAAUUUGUCUAAAUUUUGAAUAAAUGUGAACAUGAAUUCUUUUUAACAGCAACAUAAAAAAUCUCAAAAAAAUUAUUUUUAUGCAUUCAUCUUUCUAAGGUCCCACCCAUUAAGGACUGUCGGCUAUGGCAGCCUAAAUACUAUUUGUGAAUAUAAAGUUCAAAUAAAACAGAAAAUGUGUCAUUUAUUUUGAUUAUGUAGAUUUAAUUUCAGUACUAAUAAAGUAGAAAAUAAAUAAGUUAGAUUAUUUGAAACUAAUUUUUAAAUGUACCAAAAUUCCUCAAAUACCAAUUAUUAUUAUUAUUUUUUUACAAUAAUAUAAUUAGAAAUCUACCUAGAUUAACGUAAUGUCUUAUUUGUUUAAGCUGUUCGGCAGCUGGGCUGCCAGCUGCCAAGCAUUUGAUAAAAACUUAGAUUUGGCAUGCAGCUAUUUUUGUUGAAUUAACUAAUUAAAUUCUCAUUAAUUGUUUAAUUUGAUUAUGUAAAAGCACAUGUUUUGAACAAUUGGACCUUUUUUUAUAAGGAAAAAUAAUUAAAUUAAAAUUAUGUUCAAUAUCUCGGUCAAUUAAUAAUGAUCCAGGUAUUUAUAUGAAUAAAGGAUUAAAUAUUUCUAGAAAAAUGAAAAAACGACAACACAAAUUAGCUGUCACCGGGACCAGGUAUUGUUCGUAGCACACACGGCAUCUCAAAUAUUGUUCAAAUCUAAAAACGACCUGCAGCAAACUGAACGCUAUAAAAUACACACUCUCAUAAAACCUGACUUUUCGAUAUUCAUCGUUUCAUUUAUUCACUCACUCGCCCUUAAUUCUCAGUAAGGUUCUGUGACAAUGGCGGACGAAGUGAUUCUAUUGGAUUUCUGGGCCAGUAUGUUUGGGAUAAGGGUCAGGAUUGCUCUGGCAGAGAAAGGCGUCAAGUAUGAGUACAAAGAACAGGACUUGUUCAACAAGAGCCCGCUGCUUCUGCGGAUGAAUCCCGUCCACAAGAAGAUCCCGGUUCUUAUCCAUAAUGGCAAAUCGGUCUGUGAGUCAUCCAUCAUUGUUCAGUACAUUGAUGAAGUCUGGAAGGACAAGGCUCCAUUGCUUCCCUACGAUCCUUACCAAAGAGCUCAAGCGAGGUUCUGGGUCGAUUUUAUUGACAAGAAGGUAACUUGUUGAUUUUCUGAUAGAUGUUUAUGAGAAUUCUGUUUCUCUUUCAGAUCUAAUUGGUCUCUUAACUAAACUAAAGUAAUUAGCUUGCAAAGAAGCUGAAACUUUCAGAUUAAAAUAAUCAAUUUCAAGAUGAGAAUUCUGUUUCUCUUUCAGAUCUAAUUGAUCUCUUAACCAAGCUAAAGUAAUUAACUUAUAUAGAAGCUGAAACUUUCAGAUUAAACUAAAGUAAUUAACUUAAUGUUUAUGAGAAUUCUGUUCUGGGUUCUUUUUUUUUAUUACCAAAAAAAAAAAAAAGAUCCAUAUUGUUGAUGCAAGCUGUGGCAUAAUCACGAUUUUGAUUCGACGGGGCUAUAAUACAAAUAUCAUAAACUUGAGUAGACUAUGAUGUAAAUUCAGAAAAAAAUGUGAAGGCCAAUGAUGAGGAGCAAUGAAUUAUGAUCAAAAUGGAGAAGUCAUGAACUUGAGUUUAUCAUAAAAUAUGCAUACUACUAAGAAAACUUAAAUUCAGUCCUUUAUUUUGGCUCUGUAAGACUUGCACCCCUCGGCUGCUGAUAUUGUUGUCUUGAGAUGGAUGCUAAAAGUGCUAAAUUUUGUAUAUUACAAAUAAACUUUUUGAUACAUUAUUAAAAGUAAAUUGCAGAUGUACGAUACUUCGAGGAAGACAUGGGCCACAAAGGGAGAAGAGCAGGAGGCAGCAAAGAAGGAGUUCAUCGAAGUUCUGAAGACCUUGGAAGGGGAGCUUGGAGACAAGCCUUUUUUCGGAGGAGACAACUUUGGGUAUGUGGAUUUGUGUUUGAUCCCGUACUAUUGUUGGUUUUAUUCGUAUGAGACAUUUGGAAAGUUCAGCGUUGAGGCUGAGUGCCCCAAAUUCAUUGCUUGGGUGAAGAGAUGCUUGCAGAGAGAGACUGUUGCCAAGGCACUUCCUGAUGAGAAAAAAGUGUUUGAAUUUGUUUCAGUGUUGAGGGAAAAAAUUAGAGUUGAGUAAAGGGAUAUAGCUAGACGAUGAGAGAAGUCAAAGCAGCACAAUCGUGCUGCCUGCUAUUUUCAGGUGGUUGAUGACUUAAAUGUUGGGUUCCGCUUAUAAUACUUGUAUUUGUAUCGUGCAGGUUUGUUGUAGCGAGUUUAGUUGUAUCUCUCCUUGCAUCUCUCCUUGCGACAGAUGCUUUGUCAUUUUCCCUUCAAAAUAAACUAGGACAAUGAAUUUUGUCUAUUACUAUUUUGUUUUUCUCUUGGGAAUAUUCUGUGGCGUCAAUCUACCAUGCUUUAUGAGUUAAAAUCAUUUCUCUUCCAUUAUUUUUUAUUCAAUUGUGAAGUCUCAUGACUAAUUUACCCUUCGGUAUGGAUGUCAUGUACCAUUAAUAUGUUAAAAUCAAAUAGGGCAUGAAGACUUUUGCAAAAUUAUGAAGACUUUUUUGAUGCAAGACUUCUUUUUUUUUUUUGGAAGAAAUUAAAGAGUCUUUCAAAUCAGUGGCUGAAAUUAUUGACAUGUAUUUGGAGGUGGCCGAAAUUGUUGAAAUGCAAUUAAAGGGUUAGGUGCAAUAGUGAUAGUGCAAGCUUGAAGGUAUUUUUUUAUUUCAUUUCAUCUCAAAUUUUGAGAAAAAUAAUUCAAGUGAAGAAUUGUUGAAAGUGAAUAAUUAAAAUACUUUUUCUAUUUUAGCGAGUGUGAGAGUACUCGAUGUAUUUAAGGUAUGAGAAGUGACAUUUUUUUACUCAAAUAUUGUAUUUAAAUAAUUAUUAGUAAUACAAUUAUUUUCUCUUGCUCGCAUAGAUGUAGGCAUAAUUGCCGAAUCAAAGUUAAAUUCCUGUCUUUUUAUUUUUCUAUGAUUAUUUGGUGCGUUUGAUUCUACAUUUUACACACAACAAGUGGUAUUAGAGUCAACAGUUCGUACUUAGUGUAGAUGGUACUAUUUACACAUAUGGUACUGUUCGUGUAUACAAUAUUAUUUACAUAUAUGGUACUAUUCUCAAAUAUGUUGGAGCCAACAGAUCAUACUUGUGAAAUGGUUUGGAUUUGUGCAUGCUUAGGAGAGUUCUAUCAUAAAGACAAUAAGAAUUUAAGGAGUCUUGGUUUCAAGUAGGACCGGUUUGACCCCUCUAGUCUUUUAUGAGAACUUUUGUAAUGUAUUUUUUUCAUACAUAUUGAUCUCUCCGGUAGAAAUAGUUUAUUGAGAAAAUAUUAUAAGGUGAAACUUCUAGAAGUACAGAGAUAUCUGUCCAGACUAUUCUAGGAGACACUUCAGCUGGGAGGUGAGACUUAUAACAUUAUCAUUCAGCAUCGGUUAUAAGACGCUUAAAGAUCGAUGUUGAAAAGUUUAAUGGGAAAAUCAACUUCAACAUAUGGAGGCGCAAAGUUAUGGAUGCCAUUAUUCAAGACGAUCUCAACGUUACUCUAAAAAAUAAAAGACACUUGUAUAACGAAGAAACUUGAGAUUGUGUGAAUGAGAAAGUCAGUGGUCAAAUUAGAUCUUACUUGACUAAGGAGGUGAAAUAUUUGGUGAAAGAUGAGGAGUGUACAAUGACCUUAUGACAUACAUUAGAGGAGUAGUAUUUGCCGAAAGGCCCUGAAAAUCACCUUCAUGCAACAAGCCAGGUAUAUAGCUUUUGAAUGAAGUCCAAUGUGUCAAUGCAUGACCAUGUCUCAAAAUUUGAAAAGCUACUUAUAAAUUUGAGAAAUUUUGAUAAAAAUAUUAAUGAUGAAGUCAAGGCUAUAAUUUUACUGCACUCACUUUGAGAAGAAUAUAGUCAUUUUAGGACUACCUUAUUUUAUGAUUAAAGUAUAAUCAUUUUUAAAGAUGUCUGCAUAACAUUGACUAAUUUGAAAAUUCAAAAUAAUGACAAAUAUUCCAAAAGAGCAUCAUCUGAAGCCUUGUCAAUCGGAGAAAGGGCGAUGGGAAAAAAGAAGAAACGGGUAUAAAGAAUUCUUGGUCCAUAUUGAGAAGCAAAAAUGUUGCUCGAGAUAAGUGUCUCUUUUAUCCUGAAAGAGGCCAUUGGAGGAAAGAUUGUUUGAAAACUUAGAAGAUAGAUGAGAAGAAACCAAUAACAGUAAAUAUGGCACGUAAAGAUGAAGACUCUGACUAUUCACUAAGUAUUACGCCUACAACAUAUGUGGCUAAUUCAAGUGAGUGAAUACUUGAUACUGGAGCAACUAAUCAUUUGUGUCUCAUGAGGGAAUGAUUUAAGGAUUUUCAUAAUUUGAAAUUUGUGCAGUUAUGUUGAGGAAUAAUCAACUUUAUCGAACGAUAGGGAUAGGAAAAAAUUAACUCAAGAUGUUCGAUAAAAUAAUUAGAGAAUUGAAAGACGUUAUAUUCCAGUCUUAAAGAAAAAUCUAAUUUCUGUAGGUGCUUUAGAAGCUAAAAACUGCAAGGUUACCAUUGAAGCUGACACAAUGAAGUUCACAUAUGGGGCUAUAGUGAUUCUACAAAGGGUUCAAUAUCACAAUUUUUACUAUUUGAAAGAAGAUACAACUGAUGAAGCUAAUGUUUCUGAGGCGUAUAAUGACACCACUAAGCUAUGGCCUUUACGAUUGGGAUAUACUGGAGAAAACUCUCUAUAAACUCUGAUGAAGCAUGGGCUUUUAAAUUGUACCAACACCUGUAAAAUGAAGUUCUAUGAACAUUGUAUUAUAGGCAAGAAAAAAAAGGUCAAGUUUGAUAUGGCUAAUCAUGAUAUUCAUGAGGUUCUUAAAUAUGUUUAUAGCGAUUAUGAGGGUCCAACCAAGACUACAUCAUUUAGUGAAAGCCAUUAUUUUGUUUCAUUUGUUGAUGAUUUCUCUAAACGUGUAUGGGUGUACAUCAUGCGAGCAAAGAAUGAGGUUCUAGAGAUUUUCGUGAAAUUGAAGAAAUUGGCAGAGACUCAAGCUGGUAGAAAGAUCAUAGUACUACGAUAUGAUAAUAUGGGUGAAUAUACUUAUGAUUUGUUCUUGCAAGUAUGCCAGAGUGGGGGUAUACAAAGACAUUUCAUAAUGAGACAUAUUCUACAACAAAAUAGUGUAGCUGAACAUAGGAAUCGUACUUUGUUGUAGAAAGUAUAAUGUAUGUUAUCUAAUGUUAGUUUAAAUAAAAAUUUGUGGGUUGAGGCUAUAAGCUAUACAAGUCAUUUAAUAAAUUGAUUGCCUUCUGCUGCAAUUGGAGGAAAAAAUUUUAACGAAAAUGUGGUCUGCAAAGCAUGCACAAGAUUAUAACUCCAUUCAUGUAUUUGGGUGUUUAGUUUAUUAUCAUGCAAAGAAUGAUAUCCCCAACACCUUCAAUGAAACUAGAUAUAGUAGUGAAAGUGGUGAAAAGUUAGCUAUAGAAGAAGAAAUGAAGUCUCUUCAUCAAAAUCAGACUUAAGAAUUUAUAAAGUUACCUAAGGGGAAAAUGUUUAUUAGCAAUAAAUGGGUCUACACUAAGAAGCAAAGUUUUCUAAAUCAAACAACUCUUCGAUACGAAGAAAAGCUCAUAUCAAAAGAUUUUGCUUAUAAAGAAAGUAUUAACUACAAUGAAGUAUUCUCUCUAAUUAUAAAACAUGCUUUCAUUUUUAUCCUACUUGCCUUUGUAGUUGAAUAUGAGUUGGAAUUAACUCAAUUGGAUGUUAAGACAGUAUUCUUACAUGAAGAUUUAAAGAAAGAAAUCCAUACGAGUCAACCUUGUGGUUUCAAAGUUGCUAGGAAGGAGCAUGCGCGUAUAUUGAUUAAAUCUUUGUACAUAUUAAAACAAUUAUCAAGGCAGUAACACAAGAGAUUUGACUAGUUCAUAAAAGGGUAAAAAUUCACCAAAAGUCAACACGAUCACUAUGUUUACUUUAUAAGACUACAAGAUGGAAGUUUUAUCUAUCUAUUACUUUAUAUUAAUGAUAUGCUUAUAGCUUUAAAGAAUAGAGGUGAGAUUGAAAAAUUAAAAAAGCAGCUAGCUUCUAAGUUUAAGAUGAAAGAAUUGGGUGAUGCAUAGAGAAUACUUGGGAUAGAGAUUAAUAUAGACCAAAAGAGUGGGAGUGUGUGGUUGAUUCAAAAGUCUUAUUUGAAAAAAGGUGCUAGAAAGGUUUUGUAAGAAUGAUAAAACUAAACCAAUUUGUACUUUUCAAAAGGAGUGCAACUACAUGGCUCGUGCUCCAUAUGCUACUGCUAUGGGUAGUCUUAUGUAUGCUAUGUUGUGUAUAAGGUCUGAUAUAUCUUAAGCUGUGAGUAUGAUUAGCUGAUACAUGCACAAUACAGGAAAAAACCAUUAGCUUGCGAUGAAAUAGAUUUUCCAAUAUCUGUAUGGGAUAGUUCAUGUUGGAUUAUUAUUCAAGAAAGAUUGUGAUUAACAAUGUGUUGGAUAUUGUGAUUAUGAUUUUAUCAAAGACCUUGACAAGCAAAGAUUAACAACAUGCUAUAUGGAGGUUUGAUUAAGUGGAGGUUGAUUCUAUAAUGGAAAAUUAUUAUUUCCACUAUGGAAGCGGAGUACAUGGUAGCAACAAAGAUUAUAAAGGAAGUUAUUUGGUUGAAAGGUUUAUUAAUUGAUUUGGGAGUAAUCCAAUAGAACAUUGAGGUCUUCUGUGAUAACCAAAGCGCGAUAUUUCUGGCGAAGAACCAAACAUAUCAUGCUCGAACAAAACACAUAGAUGUGAAGUAUAAUUAUGUGAGGGAGGUUAUCGAGAGUGUUGUUGUGUUGUUGAAAAGAUCAAUACCAAAUAUAACCCAUCAGAUAUGUCGGCAAAAGUGAUUUAUGGAGUUAAGUUUUAACAUCGCUUCAAACUAAUUUAAAUCCUUCGAAUGUGUUGAGUUUGGAAAUUUUUUUUAAUAAAGGUUGACUUGACCCUAGAUUUUGGGUACGUAGGCAGGAAAAAGGAAAAAAUGUGACAGAAUGGUGACGGAAACAAUGACAAAAUGCCGGUUUACUCAAUUGGCAGGAAAAAGGGAUACUUUCCUGUGAGCCCGCCAAAGAUUUAAAUAAUAAUUGUAAAUACUUUCCUGUGAGCCCGCCAAAGAUGACCAAGACUAAAACAAUUUAAUAACCCUCCAAUUACUAAACACUGAACCUUCAGUCCAGCCUUGAACGACAAGGAUCUUUUGCUUAAAGAAUUCUAAUCUAUUUUUUCUUAAAGACUAAAAUGAAUUAAAAUAUUUAGUUAGCGUAAGAAUACGUUUGAUUUAUUUUCUAUUUCAAUAUGAAAGACCAAAUGAAGUGAACCCAAAAUAUUUAUACAUAAUAAAAGAUCAAGACUAAAACAAAACGUCACUAUAAAUGCACACUAAAUACCCUUAAUUCAUCUUUCAUCAACUUCAUGGCCUCUUAAAUUUGAUAUUUUCGGGUUAAUUAAUUUAGCUGCAAGCUUUUGCUACGAUGGCGGACGAGGUGAUUCUGCUGGAUUCUUGGCCCAGCAUGUUUGGGAUUAGAGUCAGGAUUGCACUAGCAGAGAAAGGGGUAGAGUAUGAGUUCAGAGAUGAGGACUUGGUUAAUAAGACCCCUAUGCUUCUGCAGAUGAACCCGAUUCACAAGAAGAUUCCGGUUCUCAUCCAUAAUGCAAUUUGAGGCUCCAAACAAAUGUGCGGAUGUCAAAUUUAGAUUCUGAAAGUCCGAGAAAUUAUGUCAUUGUCGAGAAGGAUUCGAGACUUUUGUUGUAAAUUUUUAAGUUUUUACCACGGUAAAUGUGGUAAUUAUAAAAUUAUAAGUUUUUAUCAUAUUAGGUAUGGUAAUUGUGAGUGGAAUGUGUUGGAUAUACUUGAGUGGAUUAAGUUAAGUUUAUACUUUAUUAGUGUGACAAAUGUAAGGCUAAGAUAUAAUUAGAUUUAUUUAUUUGUGUGGUAUGAAUUUACCAUGUAUUAGUAUACAUAGAGAGGGUGGGGAACACACCUCUUCACACAUUCUCUUCUCUUCUUUCCCCCCAAAUUAUUCUUCUCAUCUCUCUUUGUAAUAUAUUUUCAAUAAAUAAAAUUAGUUUUAUUUCAAUUUUCAAAUUCCAUUUUUUUAAUUAUGUGUUUUUCAAUUUUAAUAAUUUCCUUUAUUUCAAAAAUAUUUAGCUAAAUAUUCAUAGUUAGGGGAAGGCGGAACUCUUAGUAAAAAAAUAUGAUUUAAUUAAAUUCUAUUUUUAAUUGUACAAAUUGAAUUAUUUUCUAUUUAAUUUUACCCAUAUUUUAUAUUUUGAAAUUUUGAUUUAUUGUACACAAACAUGGGAGUUUGGCAUAAUGAAUUCUUAAUAUCUUAGUAUAAUAUAUGGAAAAAAUGGUAUUUUGACUUAUUGUAGACAAAUUGAGUUUUGGCACAUUAAGUUCUUAAUCUAUAAUAAAACUAAUGGGAAACUUAUUUUAAUUUAUACAAUUAAUCUUUUGAGAAAUAAAAUAAAAAUAAAAAGAAUUUGUAAAAUUGUAUUUAUUACUAAAAGUGGAUCCAUAACACUAACUAAUUCAAUUUCAUAGUUUUUCUUAAAUUAAAUUGCAUAUUUUUAAUUUUUAAUUUAAUGUUUUUGAUAAACUUAAAUAAAAAAAAAUUAAAUCAUUUAUUUGUGAAUCGACAUCGGACUCACCGAGUUAUAAUAUAAUAAGACACUCUUAUAUUUGGGAGUUAGAAAUUACCUUAAAGUCGUGUCAAGUUUUUAGUGUCGUUGCCGAUGAGAGGUAUUUAUUUUGUUUUUUUUCUUUUUCUUUUUUAACUUUUUGUGUAAAUUUUCUUUUACCCCCUUUUUCUUUUCUUAAAUUUUGUUCAAUCCUCAACUCUUUCAUAAUUUCAGUUGUACCACAAAAAGUUUCUGGCUCAUUCUUCUCAUAAUUACGGUUGGACCACCAAAUCACAAAACAUUUUCGAAUAUGUCCCUUGCCAAAAUUUCCCAUAAACCUCAAAUUCGGACAUAUAACUUGAACUUUCUUGGACCAAAAUUUGAUUUCUUUGGACCUAAUUUGGACUCAAUAAAAGGAAUUUGACUUUAAAAAUUACAAGGCCCAUUAAUUUGAACUAAUCACUACUUGGUUGGUAAUUUUUAAAAUUUGAAAAAAGAAAAGAAAAAGAGCCUACACUUUAAUUAUUUCUUUUCUUUUUUUUCUUUUAUUUAUUUCUGCAAUUUAAUUUUUGCAUUUAUUUUAUUUUUGGCUUUUACUUUGUUUAUAUGUUUGGUUUAUUGCCUAUUUAGUUAUUUUAAUUUUAGUUAAUUAAUUUUUUGUUUAUUUUUUUGUACAUUUAUCUUAUUUAUUUAAUUUUUCUUUUGUCUUUAAUUUGUGUAAUUUUUCAUUUUUUAUUUGUUAUUCAUUUGUUCGUGUAUCAACUUUACAACAUAAUUUUAUACUUACACAUCAUCAUCAUUGCAUGAAACAUUGGUCUCGAACUUCAAGUGGUAGGUUAAUUCGUAGAUCUCAAUCACCACCACCAAUCAUGGACGAGAUCCAAGAUGAAAAUAUUUUAGGCCAAUUUAAUCCUCCAGUUGAUCAGGGAGACAACUAAUCUCAACAUGAUCAGAAUCAACUAAGAACUUUGAGAGAUUACAUGAAUCCAAUGAGAACCGGAGCACCGUCGCGUAUAAUAUUUUCUCUAGAAGCGUCUCGAUUCAACUUCAAACCAUGUAUUAUCCAACUUUUACCAACAUUUCAUGGUUUCGAAUAUGAGAAUCCAUAUUUGCAUCUAAGAGAUUUUGAGCAUCUAAGAUAUUUUGAGGAAGUUUGUAAUAUAUACACAGACCAAAAUUGUAGCAUGAACAAUUUUGGGGUAAAUUGAAAAUGAGAACAGUGCUAAGCAAUCUCUCAGGUGCUAACAAAAGCUUCGAGUCCUUUGCAUUUAAAAAUUCUUUGUUAACUCUUGCAUUUAAUUUGUCAUCUAUGCCAAUGUUCCUCUUCCAAGUCAAUACAACAAAACACAAGUGUUAGUUUACAACCCUAUUCUUACCUCAACCUGAAUAAAACUUUCUUUACGUGGUCUAUUAAAUUGAGUAGGAACUUUAGACCAACUCUUUUUUAAUUCUACGUCCUUACCCUAAUUUCCGCCCACCACAAAGUGUUUACUUUUCAAACCCCUACAUGAGCUCGAAAAGUUGAGCAUUACUCUUCUACCUUUUGAUUUGGACAAAAGAGUAUUAUCUUUUAUGACAUACCCCAUGUUUACUAUAUAGAUACAAGUGCGUGAGUUCCUUAAAACAAGGUUCAAUAUUGUUCUACUCGGCCCACAAAACAUACAUAUCACUAAAAACCCUCCAGCCAUUUAAAUUAAGUUGACCGUGACUCAAACCCUUUAACAAAAUUCGAGCAAAAUAAGGUUGAAUUGGCAACCUGAAACCAAGUUUACUCAUCUCUAUGUAUACCGCAAUUUCUCCAUCACCUAAUCCACUAGCUAUCUCAUCUUCCCUCAAUAACCUAAGUGUAAUAUCAUUUGGAAUCUGGACUCGUCUUUAAUCUCUUCAAUUGUUGUAUCAAAUUUCAAUUCUUCAUGCUGUAUUACUCAUGUUCAUCUCCGUUAUUUUUAAGCAACAUAUCAUCGGAUUUGUCAUCGGCCUGCCUGUGUAGAUCAUUCCCCACAAUUACAUUUUCAUUUAUUGUUUUCUUGGACUCACUCUCCGCCACACUGUAAUUUGAUUCUAGUUCAUUAUCUCCUCUGAUUUCUUGAUUAUUGUUCAUUCCCGAUUCAAUAUCACUUAACCCAUUUAACGAAUUUCUAACUGCAUUUUACAAAUUCUCAAAGCAAAUUAUUGUUGCCUCUAAACUCCAUUACUGCCUAAACCUUAACACACUUAAAACCUUAACUUUCUAUUCAAUACCAAUACACAGUACAUCAACAAAGCAAAAUGAUAGCAACCUCCAACUAGACACCAUGUUACUUUAUUCAUCAGUGACUGGAUAGAACAAAGUAGGACAAUUCUAAAACCUAGCAAAAUUUAUAUUAAAAAAUGUGAUAACGCAACAAGCAAAUGGUGCUUAAGACAAGUCACCAGAUUUUCACAAACCCAAACAAAUUCAAGUUUCUUUUUUUUUUUUUAAAGAAAAAGAGCUGACCCAAGCGCACUCGGAACCUAUUGCCAUUCAACUGACUAUAAGUACAACUUGAAACCUAUGUUAGCGACUAAGUUUAUAAGUACAAGCUCAAGUCUAUAUUGGUGACCUAGUUUAUAAGUACAACCUCAGGCCUAUAUUGGCGACAUGGUCUGUAAGUACAACCCUAAACCUAUAUUGACGACCUGGUUUAUAAGUACAACCAUAAGCCUAUAUUAGUAACCUAGUAUGUAAAUAUAACUUGAAGCUUAUGUCGCCAACCUGGUUAUUAGUACAACCUAAAGUUGUUGGACUUGAAAAUUUGUUUGAUAAAUGUGGCUUAUUUUUUAGGAAAGUUAUGUGCCACUACCUUUUCAAGCACCCUCAAUUGAUAGACAACUACCGGUAAUUGUUGGAGAGUGUGCUGAAAUCGAGGAGGUAACCACCCACAAUCCAGGUCCUAUUUAAGCUAAAGAGAGCAUUAGAUGAAGAAUUCAACUAACUCUACAAGUUAUCAACCUUUCAACCAUUCUACUUACUACAUGAUCUUCAACAACAACACCAAAAAUCCAUGGAAUUCCAACAUUAUCUCUAAUUUUUCCAACCCAUUUUCCCUUCUUAUAUGGCAAAUAUCUAACUUAGAUAUUGGAGGAUCUAUGCCCGAAUCCCCUCCAUUGCAUCCUAACCAUGUUUUGUGGUUGGCAGAUUUGAAACGUUGUGAUCGAAUUGACAUUUGAGGUUGGGUUCGUUCUGUUAUCCUCCAUAAAAUAAAUUCAGUUGUUGAGGUUUUUUUUUUUUUAGCAUCAACAACAUCACUCUUUUCUUUAUCCUUCCCCUUAAUUUUUGCCCAACCAUUAAUGAUUGCUCCCAAUCCAAAGCACCGUUUUCUAUUCGAAUCAACUGUGAUGCAGUUGAAUCACCGAAGCACUAACGCUCUUUGAUCAAAGAUUGCUACAAUUCCUCUUUCUGCCAAAACUAUGACCUAAGCUUCCAUAUAGGAGUGGCUAAGCGCCUAAGUAGUCUUUAUGAUCAUAACAAAGUCUAGAGAGCUCUUCUUAUAGGACCAAACUAGGGAAAAACUCUCCCACAACAGAGGAGCAGAAACACGCCUUUAACAAGCAAGCUACGCACCCUUGAGUUCCUUGGGUGAGGUGCGAAGCUAGUCCCCGAUUAUAUUGACAAGAAUGUGUGUUUAAUAUUAUGAUUGAUAGAGUUAAUAUUUUAUGGCAAUUUUGGUGUUCUAUCUUUCUUUCUUUUUGAUUUUUUUUUAUUUGUUCUAAAUUUUGAUUGUAGUUUUUUGGUAUCUAAAACGAUAAAAUUUAGGUAUCAUUUUUUUUCAUUUGAAAUUUGAAUUUGAUUAAAAUAUGAAUAGAUACAAAUUUAAAAAUCUAAAUAAUAGAUUUGUUUUUAUUUUUAUUUAUAAAUUGAUUUUUAUAAAACAUUGAGUAAGAUAAAGGUUCUUAAUAUCAUAAAAAAAUUAUAUCUUAAUUUAUACAAAUGUUUUUUAAUAAGUGUUUUGGUCUCCAAUUAAUUUGGUAGAAUAGCUUUCAAACAGUUUUAUUUAGUUUACCAUCCGAAUUCGAAUUGCAGAAGAGAUAAGAGGCUAAAAUAUAAAUAUAAUCUUUAUUCACUAUAUACAUUCAGUCGAAAAAUAAACUGUCCUAGUCAUGAAUCAAAAAAAUUGUUGCUCUAGUAAAUAAAUAACGAAUGUUAUUAAAUGAGGUAAAAUAAUUAUUUGCAGAUUUAUACAGAUAGAAAGUAGAUAUGGGCCUUAAAAACAGAACAACUGGAGGAAGUAACGAAGGAAUUAAUUGAAAUUCUGAAAACAUUGCAGGAAGAGCUUGGAGACGAUCCUCAUUUUGGGGAGAAAAUGUUCGGUUUCGUGGAUGUGGCUUUUAUUCCUUUCUAUUGUUGGUUUCACUCAUAUGAAACAUUGGGUCAAUUCAUCUUUGAGACUGAGUGGCCCAAAAUUAUUGCAUGGGCAAAAAGAUGCAAGCAGUGAGAAUCUGUUUCCAAGUCUCUUCAAGAUGAGAAGAAUGUACUCGGAUUUAUUUUAGAGCUGAGGAAAAUGUCUGGUGUGGAUAAAAGAAAGAUCACAAAAUGAGUUGAUCAGCAGGGAAAAAACAAACUGAAAAAAAUAAAUAAAUAAAGGACCAAAGAAGCACGAUCGUGCCAGGUACUAUCCGUCCAUCCCUAUUCCCUAUGAUUAUAAAAAUUCAUUUUGAUGUAGUUUUGUUUCUUCUUUUUUUUUUUAAAUUUCUUUUCUUUUUUGUUUUUAUUUUGUUUUCUUGUGUUUAAAUCUUCUGUGCCAUCUCGUCGUCCUUAUCAAUAAAUUAAAUUUAUAAAUUGAUUUUUCUUUUUAAAAAGGUAAGGUUGGUUAAAAUUUUAUAUUUAUUUUAUAGUGCUUUAAUUUUUUCAAAAUUUGAAUUUGAUUCGUCAGCUAAAUAAAAUUGUUUUAACACCACUUACCUACCUCCUCGGAGGCAAUUAAAAUUGAGGUUUUUCAUAAAAAUAAUGUUCAUUUUUUUUCAAUCUUUAUUUGUGUAAACAGAGAUGACUAAUGAUUAAAAUUCUCAAUUUAUUAAAAACUGGUAAAGUUUAAGUAGUUAUUUUAAUAUAAAAUAUGAAAAUAGUACAACAAAUAUUUAAAAGUACACCUGAAUGUUAUUAUAUAUUUAGUUUAAAAGAUUAAUGAGGAAAACAAGUAAAAUAGAUUGGGGCUCAACAAAAGCUACCAUUCUCAUCCAAAGGUUUAAAAACUCUUUCAAUGGGGACUUAAAUGAAUUUUGACUGGGGAAUUAAGUGAUAUUUUACAAGGACUAUACAGUGCCAUAUGGUGAUUGAAUUCUCCACUGAUACGUCUCAAUUAUGAUAUAUGAAAAUGAAUGCUCUAUUAUCAUCAUCUUGACUUGAUUUGUCUUUCAAGACUUGCGGACGUGUACAUUAAUUAUGAUAGUUUAAAUGUAUCGAUUUAUUCUUUUUCUCUUCCCAACCUCCGAUCAGUAGAUCUAAAAAGGAAGCUAAGAAUAGAAUAAGUAGAUCUGAAUCCCUAAUGAUUAUACAUUACCUUAUAAAACCUAUUGUGAAAAAUUUUUGGUGCUAUAAUGGCAGAUCAAAACUAUGUCAGGCUCCAAUGAGAAAUGUGUUGGGAUUAUGUGCUCUUUUAAAACAUAUUAAUUUAUUUAUUUUCUGAUCAAUAAAAUAUUUGAGAUAUUUUUAAUUGCAUAGAUAUUUUGAAUAAGGUCCGUUUAAUCAUAUUAUAUGUAUCAUAUGGAUUCACGGAAGACAUAAAUACAACUUAUCUUAUGAUUAAAUAAAUUAAGUUCGCAGUUGAUAAAUAGAGUUGGGCGCUCUAUUUAUGUUUAGACUGUAGUAAAUUCAUUGAAUGAUUUGUCUUAAUCAUAUCUAAAUUUACUGAUAUACUUUGACUACAUUGAGCUGGAUCACAUAUCAAUUUAGUUGACAUUGAAAUGAUUGUCAGACUUAUUAAAUCUUAUAGGCAUUGAUUUUACUGUAAUCUUAAUCUUGAGUUAGUUAUAAUUUCCUGAUUGUAAUUGUUAUUCCAUUUGAGUUAUCAAUGGGCACGACACAUACUUGUAGUCAAGAUUACCCGAUAUCUUAGUGGGAGCAAUUAUGAGUAUUGAAGUUAUAGAUUAACAAUAUAGAAUUUGUACAACACAUCUCUUGAUGAGUUUUCGGCACUUGAUCAUAAAAUUCUCUUGCCAAAGUGUGUCAAUAUAUUUAGUAUGUUGAAGAUGAUCAUUAGAGAAAACUAGUAAGUAUCAAGGAAUAAGAUGUAAUUAAAUUGAUUGUAGAGUUGAGAUAUCGAUUUAAUUAACGAUGUGGUAUAAAAGAUUAUGAAGUAAAGAAAUCAAUGUGGCUUGCGACAAACUAUUAUUCGAGCAUACAAUUAUGGAGGUCAGUUCCAAUCUUAUAGUGGAGUAGAGUUGGAAUUAAAUGAUUAGACUUGUUCAUUUACAAACUUAAUUGUUAUAGCCACUAUUGUAUGUUCUCAAAUUAUCCCCGGGUUAGCUUAUUUAAUUGACUACACCACUACUGGACCUAAAAACAAGAAAACUGGCAUAUUAGGUGUUAAACCUAAUUAUAAUAUUUGUUUAAACCUUAUGUAUUAUAUUCAUGGGCAAAUGAGGCCUUGUGUUAUUUUACAAGGUGGGCCCCAAAGUGGUUGCACAUGGUCUCCACUUUCACGUAAUCGGAGAGAUAAUAUUAAAUUCAAAAUAUUUAUUAUUUUGAAUGAUAAUAAUAAAUAUUUAGGGUUUUACAAGAGAUAUUAUAUAAGUGUAUUUUUCUCAAGCCUAAGGAUGAACGUGAUUUAAAAUACACGUUUUGAGAAAAACACUGAAAAAGAAGCAGCUAUUUUGGAAGUAGUGAAAUGGACGCCCACACGUCCAGUGUUGAUCAAAUUUGAGUCAUAGCUUGGAAGAUUAUUUGGUGAUAGAUCGUGAUCCAACAAGCACAACGGAAACGUGGUGGUGACGGAUCGUGAUCUAAUAAGCGUGGUGGUGACAGAUCGUGAUCUAACAGGAAAAGGUAGGUGAUGGAUCGUGAUCUGGGGGCCUAGAUUAAUUUUGAUUGUUCAUCUUCUCAUACUGUUAAGGUAUGAUUUUUUAAAUUACGAAUUUUUAUAUAUUAUAUGAGAUUGAUCCUGAAAGUUUUUUUUUUAGAAAAACUGUUUUUUAACCAACAAAAUAUUCUCAAUAGGUUAUUCAAAUUUAACUCUUAGUUGCUCCAUUCAUUCAAAAAUGAAAUGAUUGAGCACAACAUCUUAUCUAAUUUCAAAUUACAGAUCCUCUUCUGUACUCAAUUUUUUCCAUUCAGUGCCUUUUAUCCAUGCUAGAAUAUGAAAACAAAGGAUGUUUAUUUCUCCAUGCCAGAAUUUCCAUAACCCAAUGCUUGCAAAGAUCAUUUAUUUUCUCGUGUUGGAGAGACUAAAAGCAAAGAUCAUGACCAUAAUUACAUUACAAUUAUGCAAUAACACAAACAAGCACUUGCAUGGAGUAACUUGAGCAAACACAAUAUAUCGCAUCAAACUGAGUGAGCGAUCAUCAGCCAUGGAAGGCGGCAACCUCAAUAUUCUUGCCCGAGCAGGCGAUAGGCGCGUCGUAUUUGCUGAAGAGUUUAUAAGAGGAGAUGAGCGAAAGAACAACAUAGCAAGCCACUGCAACAAAUGUAAUUAUCACUGAUGCUAUAGCUUUAUGACAGAAUCCACCAAAUGAACCACAAACUGCGCUCCAAGUGAUGGCUAAAUCUCCCUUGCGUUCCAGGUACAGCACCUCCGUCGACACGGCUCCAGCCGCCAGAAUCAAGUAAGUGAGCAACUGGGUUCAUGAAUUUAGCAGUAGCUUUUGAUUCUUGUUUUGACAAAAGUUAGAUAAUUGAAGUAAAAUUAGGGUUUGAUCAUCGUCACUAAAGGAGUUUUCGUACCCGUUGUUUUUAACUUGAUUUUUAAAACUAAAAAAUUUAAGUAUCUGGUCAACAAAUUGUAUAAUAGAAUUUGGAUGACCUAUAUGGAUCUGUUUCUCGUUAUUGAGAACUAUGAUGGACGAAGAUUCCCUGAUUUGGGUUUCUUACUUACAUGUAAUUGGUGGUAAUGGAUAAGAAGAAGAUUAUUUAGUGAGUACUAGUAUUUAUGGGAACUCAAAUUUCCUUCCUCAAUUAAAAAUAAUUGAGUAGAGACAAUUUUCUUUUUCACAAAAUAUUAUAUCCCCAAAUAUUAGUAAGAGUGAAGAUUUAGGUUAAUUUCCAUAAAUUGAAUGUAGAAUAAUCUUAAGAAUUAUCUGAUUAUAAAUAUUAAUAGUUGUUUAUGUAAUAUUAGUAAUAAAAAAUUAGAAAAAUAUUAAACUGUUGUUUUAUUAUAUUAAAGCAUGAUAAUAAAGUGAAAUUUUUUUUCACUACUUUUUUCCAUAAGACAAUCAAAACCCUAAAAUGCCCAUAAAAUUAACGAAACAACUUGUAAACGAUGGCUCAGUUUUUGGUCCAAAUUAUGUCAAUAAAUUUAAGUCAAACUAGCAUUUUCACGUGAGUAUUCGAAUUCCAAUCAUGCACUACCCUUGAUGUGAUGUACACUUUAACACAAGAUGUGUUGAAAGCUUAACAGAAGAGCUAAUUAAGAUAAGGAAAGGAAUCAUGUAGAAAUUAUUUCAAUUCAAGCUGAAUGUCAUCAAAAGCAAGCAAAAAACGAGCCCUAUUUACCUGAUCAAGGAAAAAGAAAGUCCAGGCUUGAGACAUGGUGGAGGGACGAGGCAUGGCUGCAAUAAUUGCUGAAAGAAGCGAAUAGCCUGCACAAAUGCCAUUGGCAUGCACUAAAUACCUACAUAUUUGAGGCAAUUUUUAAACAAUUAUAAUGAAUCAAUUCCAGUUGAGUCUCUUGAAAUCCUCGGAAAGUAUACAAUUUAAUGAAAGAAAUAUGAAUCUACAAACCUGAAGGCUCCAAGGUCGGAGUAAGAAAGAGAGCCAAAGUCACUAGUCUCAGAGUUCUUAAGCAUGAGCACAAGUGCAGCAACACAGAGAGCCAUUGGCACCAAACGUGCAAUUGGCUCAGCUGUGCGCAAGGCAGCGUUGCCAUCCUCAUUGAUCUCUUGAUGAGCCCUCGAUCCCAUCAUUGGCAGAGGAGAGCUUGCAGCAACCGCACCACCAAUAUUAUUACUCUUCUCCAUGUGCACCAACUACUGCUGUUUGUUGUUGUUGUUAUUGUUGUCUCAAUCGAGCUAGCUCAGCCAAUUGGGAGAGUUGAUGGGAAGUUCUGUUUGUGGCCUCUCAGAGUGAGAGGAGAAGCUGCUGCUCAGAGGUAUAAAUGCAGUUUAGGUGAGGUAGUUGAGGAUGCUUUCAAUGUCAUUCAUAGCAUGCCACACUUUCCGAAGUGACUUGGUCAAUAUCACUGUAAGCCCAGAAUCAUCAUCUACCGAAUACAUUAUUGGAAAUUUAUUAUUAACGUAGUCAUAUCACAUGGAAUUUUAUAUCUAUAAAUUUUCCAUUUCUUAUUAUUUAUGGAGAUUUUUCUACAUUAUUGGGAAUUUUUUUGGGGGAAAUUUACAUUAUUGGAAUUGGAAUUUUGGAAUUUCAUCUAUACAGAAAUUUAGGUUUCGAGACAUUUGAAUCGAUUUAAACCCUUGAAUCAAAUAGUUUUGGUUUAGUUUGGGUUUUUUUUUUCUAAUUUUAGUUUCCUUUAUUUUUAAAUAAUUCAAACCAAAAUAGAUUUUUAAAUUCAAUGAACCAAAUUAAUUUAUUUGAGUUUAAAAUGGUUUGGUUUGAUUCCAUUAAGAUAAUUUUACCCACCCUAAUUAGAAGUAUUUUAUAACCUACAAAACAAUUCAAUAACAUUUUAUCAAUAAUUUUUUGUCAAGAAUGUAAAUUAUAUUUAUAUUGAGAAGUUCUAAAAAAUUACUAAUUUUGUGUAAAUAAGACAUUUUUUUAAGAUGGAAUAAAAAAAUAUUUUUACUAGUUGGAUACGUCAAAAAAAUUUCUCAAAAAUCACAGAUUAUUGUUUCUAAAAAAAUUGCACAUGUUUUAUUUUUCAUAAAUAUUUUUAAAAAAUAUUAUUGAUUCCUCAAUAUUUUUUUUGAAGGCAUCCAUGGUUUUAGAGAUUGAUCACCUCAUUGUUUGAGGUUUUUAUUUUUUAUUUUUUUGAGAAAUCAUUCUUUGAGUCUGAGCUCUCAUAAGUUUUUUUAGAAUCUAUAAAUAAUACAAAAUAAGACAGAUGUGCGUUGCAUCUGGACGGAUGCCUCAUAGUUAAAACUCUUUCUAAAAGAGGAAGAAAAUGUUAAUUGUGCAAAAGUUGAUUUCAAAAGGUCGAUUCAUAAUUAAAUAGCAGGAACUUCUCGUCAGAGCACAGCAACGUAUAUGAAAAUUCUAUCAAUAAUCACUUUUAUAGCGUUAAAAAAUAUCUACCAUUUAUUAUAAUUAUUUUUUUAGGGUUAUUUUUCGCCGACCCCCAUAAAAAUCGACAAAUGUUACUGUGUACCCUAAUUUUUCAACAACUAUCAAAGCGCACCCAUUCCGUUAAAAAUCACCAUCAACUUAACUAUUAUAAGGGUAGAAUAUUAAAGUUACAUCGAUGAAUAAAGAUAAAAGAAAAAAAAUUAUUUUUUUCUCUUCCUUCUCCGUGACCCCAUUCAUGCUCCCAUGGACGGACCUAAUUAAGGUCCAGGAGGGGCUUCAGCCCCCCUGGACCAUUAAGUUUUCUUUUAAAUGUAUCCCAAGCCCCUUUUGAAAAAGUUAGAUAAAAUAAUUUAGACACAUUUUUCAUAUAUUAAAAGCCUUGUGGUUCAAUGAUAAGAGUGCUAUUUAAUGAUUUUAAAACCUGAUUCAAAUCCCAUUAGCCAUAUUAUUUUAUUUUUUAAAAUGUUUUGUGGAAACUACUUCGAAAAAUAAUAUUUUCACGCAUUUAAAAUACUACUUCAAAAAAUGAUAUUUUCACUCAUUUAAAAAUAAUAAUUUAUUACUAUUAUUAUUUAGAAUUUAAAAAAAAAGUAAUAAAAUUUGAGUUUACAAGACUUAAAACAUAUUCGAGUGAAUAUUAAAAAAAUCUAACUUAAAUAAAAUUUUUUGAACUAAGCCCCCCCUCAUUUUAAUUUCUGGGUCCACCACUGAUGAUGCUCCAUCUUCCCUCCUCCAUUUACACUUUGCAACAAGUGCUCAUUUUCUUCCCUUCUCCAUUCACGCUCCCCAACAAGGUUUUUCGCUUUUCCCCUUCCAUCGACGUCACAAGGGUCACAUAACCAAUUGCACUACCGCAACGAAUGACCAUUUCUAGGUGGAAACAAGCGACAGGAGCUUGACGCAAGAUCGAGAGGCUUUUGGCAGUUCAAAGAAUCAUGGGUUGCUGCUGACUGAUGCGGCACCAACACUGGUGACUAGCAACUAUAAAAUCCCAAACCCAAAAUUUUUGGAUUUCCAUGUUAUUGUUUAUUGAUUUUUAGGUUUGGGUAGUUGACAAUUUGUUUGAUAUAUAAAUUAUUUUGAUUUUGCUAUAAAAUUGGGAGUUUAUGUUGUUGUCUGUGUGCUUUCAAAGAAGAUAUUUGGUUAUUGCUAUAAAUACUGGGAAAUGCCAUGAUGUUGGAGCUUGGAUUGGAGAUGUCUUCUGGGUUUUGGUUCAAGGACUAAUAAUGUCCAAUUAAUUUUAGUUUUAAUUUAAUUUCUUUAAAAAAACUUUAAUUUAAUUGUAAUUAUUUUCUGGUUUAUAUUUAACAUUGUUUUUACACAUUCUAUAAUAAUUUUUUUUUUUAAAGAAAAUAAAGUGCCAACUGCCAAUUAAUAUAUGUUCUUAUAAUUCCAGCAAUUGCAAUCAAUUCAAUUUAUAUGGAGGCAUUAUGGUGAUUUCAACAGAUGUCUGAUAAAAUCNNNNNNNNNNNNNNNNNNNNNNNNNNNNNNNNNNNNNNNNNNNNNNNNNNNNNNNNNNNNNNNNNNNNNNNNNNNNNNNNNNNNNNNNNNNNNNNNNNNNAUGAGGGCUCGCAAAAAAUAACCCUUUUUUUAUCGAAGAGAAAUAACUAAUAUUAUUGGUCACGUUUCACUGUCAUAAAUCUAACAAAAUAAAAAAUAAAUUACGUAUAAGUAGCUUGUUAAUAAACUUAUAAGAAGUCAAUUCUUAUUAUUUUCAAAACAAUUACAUGCAUCACACAUAUAUACAAUCAUUGGAAGCUAUAGGGAUGUUAUAUUUUCAUAUGGGAUUUGUGCUUUACUAAAGUGAUGAGCCACUACUUAACAACACUCUCUCUUGGAUCAUCAUAUUAGUUAAAUUUCAUUGAUGUUAUUAUGUGAUCAAUACUUGUUGGGGAAAAAUUAGGUUUUUAAAUUUUUAUAAAACCUUUUGAAGAUCGCUCUCAUAUAAUAUAUAAGAAUUUGUAUUCUAGAAAUCGUACCUUGAAAAUCCGAGUUGGCUUUUUCCGCUGAAGUGAUUUAGGCUCCUAGAUCACGAUCCGCCACCACCACUCCUGUUAGAUCACGAUCCGUCACCACCACGCUUGUUAGAUCACGAACUGUCUCCAAUGAUCUUCCAGGUUAUGACUCAGGUUCGAUCUGCACUUGACGUGUGGGCGCCUUUAUCACUACCAAAGCAACUAGCACGAGAAAAUUUUUCUCUCAACAAUGGAGAGAAAAAUCUUUUUCUCUAAUCUGUAUAAAAAGUGGCUUCUCUCUAUUCUUUAGAGAAAAAUAAGUCUUUUUUAUAUCACCCUUUAGUGAAAACCCUAGGCUCCAAAAUAUCAAAAAACAAAACUCACGUAAUUUGCUUUUUCAAUAGGGGACCCACCUUGUAAAAUAACAUAAGGCCCCUUAUACAAAAGCUAAUUAAAUGGAGCCUCCCACUAAAUGAUAUAUUUAGGCUUUUGACCCAAAUAGCUAGUUAUCUUACUUAUUAGUCCAGUAGUGGUGCAGUCAAUUAAAUGAGCUAACCCGGGGAUCAUUUGGGAACAUACAAUAGUGGCUACAAUAAUUAGGCUUGUAAUUAAACUAGCCCAAUUAUUUUAUUCCAAAUCUACUCCACUAAAAGAUUGGAACUGACUUCCAUAAUUGUAUGCUCGAAUAAUAAUUCGUCUCAAGCCACAUUGAUUUCUUUACUGCACAAUCCUUUGUACCACAUCGUUAAUUAAAUUGAUAUCUCAACUGUCCAAUCAAUUUAAUAACAUCUUAUUCCUUGAUCUUUACUGGUUUUCUCUAAUGAUCAUUUUCAACAUACUAAAUAUGUUGACACACUCUGGCCAGAGAAUUCUAUGAUCAAGUGCCGAAAACCCAUCAAGAGAUGUGUUGUACAAAUUCUAUAUUGUUAAUCCAUAACUCCAAUACUCAUAAUUGCUCCCACCAAGAUACCGGGUAAUCUUGACCACAAGGAUGUGUCGUGCCCAUUGGUAACUCAAAUGGAAUAACAAUUACAAUCAUGAAAUCAUAAUUAACUCAAGAUUAAGAUUACAGUAAAAUCAACGCCUAUGAGAUUUAAUAAGUCUGACAGUUAUUACAAAGUUAAUUAAAUCUCAUAUGUGAUCCUGUUCAAUGUAGUCGUACUACAUUAAUAAAUUCAUACAUGAUUAAGACAAAUCAUUCAAUGAAUUUAUUACAGUCUAUACCUAAAUAAAGUGCCCAACUUUAUUUAUCAACUGCGAACUAAAUUUAUUUAAUCAUAAGAUAACUUGUAUUUAUGUCUUCUGUGAAUCCACAUGGUGAUCACAUAAAUACAUAUAAUAUGAUUAAAUGGACUUUAAUACAAGUAUUAAUGCAAUUAAGAUAUUUGAAUAAAAUAUCUCAUUUAUUUUAUUAAUCAGAAAAAUAGUUUAUUACAAUUAAAUAAACACAUAUGCUUUUAAAGAGCAUAUUUUCCCAACAAUACUGUAUUGUUAAAAUUUAAUAAAACAAAACUUAUUCAAAGAAAAAAGGGAUACAGUGUACAUUUACCGGUAUAAUCAUAUUAUCCAAUAUUAAUCACCUUAGGUUCUCUAAUUAGGCCCAGCUUUUGUUCUUAGAACAGUUGUACAUUAAAUAAAAAAAAAAUCAUUACCAAUUAGAAUAUUUUUAUUAGAUUUUUUCUGGGGUUAUAUUUUUUGAACUUUGUCAUUAAGCUUUAAUAUACAAUUGCGGUAUUGUGGUAAAAUAACUUUCCGCUAACAAAAGAGCAUGGGCGCCUGGACGGGAUAGGUACACACCACUGCACGUCCAUUUCAUUGAUGUUUGUUUGUCCUGCAUGGCUAAAAAGACGGUGCCAUCAGGAACACUCAAUUUCUAAUUACCUAGAGAAAAAGAAAGUUAAAUCUCGAAAAUCUUUUGCAAAAGUAGAGAAACAUCUCAGUAAAGUCCUUGUCCUGACGACAAAUAAAGACAGACAUGACAUUAAAUCGGGCUCUAGGAACAGUAGAUGGUCAAUAGUAUCAAACAAAAAUCAAUAAAUAGAUGAAGCAUUAAAAUGGGAAACGUGCAUAGGGUGAUGGGAACCGAUCCUUUUAUUUAUUGAUUCCACAUAAAAGCUAUAUCCAUAGUGUGUUAACCUAAAAAUAAGCAGUAAACAUUAAAAUGCUUUUAGAUAUAAUAAUUUUAUGGCAAUAUCUGAGUUAUAUUUGUUACAAAUUACGGUUAGUAAAAAUAAUGUAAAUAUGUAAAAAUAAGUAAUAUAUAAGUGCACAUAUGGUCAAUGGGUUAGAUCGCCUGUGGCAUCCGCACAAUACGGUACAAUAUGAACACGUUUUGGUAAGGCACGAGGUACAGUACGACAAGCACGUGGAUUGAGCCGAGCUCAAAAUUUUAGGCAUGCAGACCUUAAAAAUAUGGUAUGAUUAAAGAUGGGUUAAGCAUGACAUGAUGAAAAAGUCCGCAAUAAGCACGUUUUAUUUUUUAAUGAAAGUAAAUUUAAAAUUUUAUAAUUUUACAAAUAACUUGAAAUUGAAUUAUUAAAUUCAUUUAAUUUUUAGUUUCAUAAACAUACUAUAAUUGAUUUAUAUUUAUAAUUUAUUAAAUAAAUAAUUGAUAUCAUGAUUUUAAUAAAUAAAAUUAUAAAUAUCAUGAUUUUAUAAAUAUGCAUUAAUAAUUUUGUGAACUAUGAUCUAUGACUCAAUGUAAAUUCAAGUUAACAAUUAAGUUAACUCUUAAGAAAAAUUUAAUAUUGUUGUUGUUGUUAAGUAUUAAAAAAAUUCUAAUACUAUAAGGUCAAACUUAGUAAUUAAUAUCACAUUCUCUUAUUAUUAUUAGUUUAUUAUUAUUAAAUAUUGACUUGAGUUUUCAAUUUUUAAUUUUAUUAAAUUUGAAUAAAGGUAUAGACCUAAAAAAAUACUUAGGCUUGAAAAAGUAAACCAACAGCUUGACAUGCGUUCUUAAAAAUGUUUUUUUAAAAAAACUUAUUAGGCUUUUUUUCUUAGGCACGGCACGACACAUGUGGUGGGCCUAAGCAAAAAAAUUAAGCACGACAUGAAAUACAUAGUGGGUAUGGCACGACACGAGUACGAGCAUGCAUGGGCCUUGCUUUGAUGCUGGCCAUCUCUAUAUAUGAGAUCAAUAUUUUAUUUUUAUUUUAUUUUUAAUGACUAUAAGUUACAUUAAAUACAACUUAAGAAGACCCCAAUUUUAAGCAUGGUAGAUAGUACAAGUCAAUACAUAAUAACGACAACUUAAAUGACAUGAAAAGAUUGAUUAACAAGUUAAAAAGAUAAUAAAAAUAAUUGUAUCUUGUGAUUAGAGAUGGUAAUGGGAAGGAAAGGUAAGGGGAUUGACAUUCCAUAUCCAUCCACAAUGUUAUGCUUAAGGCCUUGAACCUUCCCUGUCUCUGUUAUAAUUACUUGAGAGGAGGGGAUGGGGAUUGCAAUUGAUAAAAGGAGAUCUCGAGAGUACUCGAUCCUUAAAUAACUAAUAAUUUUACUUUCAGAACUUGAUAGUAUAAAAUCAUAUUACCAACACAAGAAUAUCAAAAUAAACUAAUGUCAAUUAAAACAUUUUUGUUAAACUAAGUUAAUGAUGUAAGUUGGUUGCGUAGGAUGAGUAAGAUACCUUUCUGAGGGCUUUAACUUGGGUUAUAGGUGUCAAUUUUGGGUGUAUAAUGUAAUAUUUCGAAGCAAACUCAGAAUAAUUAUGCCGUUUUGCCUUGUGGUCGAGGCAGAAAUUCUAUUUCUUUUUUAAUUGUUUUAUAAUUUUUACUUAUUUUUUAUUUUUCCUAUAACUAUUAGGAUUUUUAUUUUUAUUUUCUAAAUAUCAGAUUUAGGUGUUGUUAAUUUUUUUUCCUUAUUUAGAUUAUGAGAAUUUCAUUAUAAAAGAAAAUUUUCAGACUUGCCCAUUUUGGUAAAUUCGUAAUAUUUAAGGUUAAUAUAAAAGGGACCUCAAAUCCUAGUUUUGUUCAUUUAGAGUUUUCCAAUAAAAUUUUCAUUAUUCAAAAAUUUAGUUUCUUUUAUCUAUUAAUCUCUUAUAUCUCCACAUCAUCAGUUGGUAUCAGAGCUAGGUUCGUUUGUGACCAUGGUAUGACCGAGCGAUAAAAGAAACAACUAUCCCAAAGGUGAUGAUCAAGAGAUGCAGGCACAGGCUAUAAAAGCUAUCAAACAGAUAGCCAGAGAAACAUCCUUGCAAUUCAUUGAGGAAGCUUGUAACCCAAGAAUGGAGGCAAUAGGGCGAGUAAUCGAGGAUCUUAGGUUUUUUAUUAACGAUAUGAACAAAGCGACAUAUCAAAGGCAAGUAGUUAAUCGCGAGGAAGUAUUUCAGGGAGUCAAUUGUGAAGAACAAGAUUAUAAUAAAAAAAACGAUACUUCAAGGAGACAAUCAUGAAGUAGUGCCUCAGUGUGUCAAUUGUAAUAUAGUACAUCAGUAUCCAGGGCUACAAGACGAAUGCCUACGUGCAUGCUAGAUAACACAAGUAGAUAAUUUCCUUAAGUAUAUGGAAAAUCCUUAAGAGAAGUGGUUUAAGCUAGUGGCAUUUAAGUUAAAGAGUGUGUCAUCCACAUGGUGGCAACACAUACAAAAUUGAAGAAGAGUUACGGGAGAGCCAAUAAUCAAAUUGUUGGCUAGAAUCCAAAGGAUAAUGGAAAAGCCAAUAGAUUAUAAACAACAAUUAUAUUUGAAAUAUCAGAACUGCAGGCAAGCAAAUUGCAGUGUCGAUAACUAUGUAAGAGAAUUUUAAUCGACCACGAGUGAGAAAUAGUUUGGAUGAGUCAAAAUUUAGAACAGUUGCAAAUUAUAUUGAUGGAUUGAAAUAAGAGCUUCAAGAUGAGAUCAUAGAGCCACUUUGGAAUAUGGGCACAACGAUCACGAUGGUGAAGUAGUUGGAAGAACGGAAGUAGGUUACUGUUUCAAAAACUCAACAACGUUAAUUCAUUGGUCUGCAGAAUUGGCCAAGUAGUCAUAGGGUUGAGAACAAGCAAAAGACAUGGGCUAGAAGUAGUUAGUCACAACAACCAUUAGAGCAACAAACAAGACAGUAUCCACCUAGACAGCAGCUGUACCAAUAGCAGCCGCAAAAUAAUCCAUAUGCAAAGCCUAUACUAGAUAAGUAUUUAAGGUGUGGGAAACCAAGGCAUUGAUCAAAUGAAUGUCAUGGUAAAGAUAAAGUAGACAAGACAGAGACAAACGUUGUUAAGGAUGGAGAUGAGAAGAAGCAUUAAAUAUUGGUUCAAAUGAAAGAGAGAUACUGAUUGUAUCAUGUAAAAGAUUUUAUUAGCACCAAAGUUUAAAGAUGAUAACCAAUGCAUUAAGAUUUUUAGGACAUGUGGCACCAUUAAUAAUAAUGUUUGAUUUGAUUUCUAAAAAAUAUCACUAAUUCUUAACUUCCUAUAAAAAAAUGGUAAUACAACCCUAUUUGUAAUUCCAUCAAUUAUUCAAUUUAAACGAAAGCCAAGUACAUAUUGUAAUUUUUAGUAUUAAUUGCAAUGUGAUAAUCGAUAGAGGUAGUAGCGAGAAUAUAGUUUUGAAGACACUAGCUGACGUGAUGGGACUAUAAAAAAAAAAUUAGCACCUUACAAGAUAAGGUGGAUAAAGAAAGGACAGCAAUGUGAGUUACAAAAGUUUGUCGUGUUCCUUUCUUUAUUUGAAAGAUUUAUAAGAGUGAUGUGGUUUCUGAUACAAUGGAUAUGGAUGCUUGUCAUCUUUUACUGGGUAGACUAUAAUAGUGUACUGUUAAUGCAAUUAAUAAAAGAAGGGAUACUAUAUAUGAAUUUUGGUGGAACAGCAAGAAGGUUCAUUUGGUGCUUUCAACGAAUAAGAAAAAGAAUUCUAAAGCUGAAAGGAAGAGUUUUCUUACCAUUUUUAAGAGUCAUUUGGAGGAUGAUUGUGAUGACCGCAAGAAGUUAAAAAAUGAGAAGGAACUUAAGGCGAAGACUGUUCUUGAUGAAGUAUAAUUAUUGUUAGCUGAUUUUACAUCCUCUAAGAUGCUAGAUGGCCUACCACAUUUAGGAGAUAUGCAGUAUUAUAUUGACCUAGUUCCUGGUGCGAGUAUACCUUAACUUGCCUCACUGUUGCAUUACUCUUCAAGAGCAUGCAAUCUUACAAGAAUAGAUUGAUGAGUUGUUGCAAAAAGAAUUCAUUCCUGAGAGCAUGGGUCAAUAUGUUGUACUAGCUUUGUUGAUGCGAAAGAACAAUGGGAGUUGGCGUAUGUAUACAGACAAUAGGCAAAUUAACCAUAUUAACGUGAAAUAUUGAUUUGCUAUUCUAACAUUCCAGGAUUUGUUAGAUUAGUUAGAAGGUGCUCAAAUUUUCUUAAAGAUAGACUUGUGCAGUGGUAUCAUCAAAUUAGAAUUAGGCCUUUAAAUGAGUGGAAAACAGUACUCAAGGCAAAGGCAGGGUUGUACAAGUGGUUUAUGAUGAAAUUCAUGUUAUUAAAUGCGCCAAGUACCUUUAUAUAUUUAAUGAAUCAAGUUGUUCAGCCUUUUUUCCAAAAACUUUGUUGCGGUGUAUUUUGAUGAUAUUUUGAUUUAUUAUGUGGACACACUGGAGCAUUUGACAAUGAUUAUAGAGGUGUUGUAAUAAACUUUACAUUAAUUUGAAGAAACAUAGCCUUUUAUAUAGUAAUGUGGAGUUUUUGGGUUUCAUGGUUGGUAUAGAUAGGAUUAAAUCUAUUGAAUGGAAGAUACAAGCCCUUAUAGAAUGCCCUAUGCCCAAGAUAGUGGGUGAAGUUAAGAAUUUUCUCAUGGACUGGUGAAAUUUUAUAGGAGAUUUAUUCGCGAUUUUAGCACUAUAAUCAUGCCAAUUACGAAAUGUUUGAAGAAAUAAACUUCAUAUAAGGAGAAGAGGAAGAGGUGAGUUUUGAUUUAUUAAAAGGAGGAGUUUCUUCCCUCACUUUACUCCAAAUAUGUAUGUGUAUAUUAGUAGGGGUGGGAAAAUUGAGUUUCGGUUUAAGUUGUUCGGGUUUCGGUUUAGGUUACAAUCCAUUCAGGUUGGAAAAUUCAACCCAACUGGACUCAAAACUCAAACCCAAGCCAAAUUGAACCAAAUUGAACUCGGUAUGAAUUCAAGUUUUGAAUCGUAUUAUAUUGAAAAUCCAGGUCUUUAUUUUGAUUUAGGUUACAAUUCAGGUUACAACCUAAAAUUUCAGAUUCACUUUUAAAUGAAUCAAAUCCCAACCGACUAAAUUCCAAAUUCAGCUUCAUAUGUAUCAAAUUCCAGCCUAGAUCAAUUGCAAAAGUUGUUGGUUGUCGAUAGAAGAAGAAAUUAGAAAAGUAAAUAAAUAAGAGAAACUCAUAAAAGCUGUUAUUUUUUACUUAUUAUUAACGAUGGUGAACACCUUCUCAACCAAGCCAUUUCUUUAAGAAUGUCACGACACAAAUUAUGGAAUCAAGAGAGUAAACAACCAAAUUAUAGUAUUUAAAACCCAUUUCUUUAAGAACCCUAAACCCAUUAUAAUAUUUAAAUAACCAUCACCCAAAUUACAGUAAACAACCAUCAAUAACAACACCCAAAGUCCCAAAUCAAAUACAAUAAUUUACCCUGCACAACUGACGACGACAAAUGAAGAUGGAAGCAAUGACGAGUGACAGUACAGACAAUGGUAGCUAUAACAAGUGUCAUGGCCCAAGCCUCCAAGUAGCAUGGCCUAGCCCAUGGAUGACUCUAGACUCAUGUGUGUAGAUAUUUCUCAUGUACUUAUUAUAAGUAGGUGGUAGGUUGUAGUUGAGCAUUAACCCACUCUCUUGUACUCUAUAUAUAGGAGCGGCCUCAUUUGGCCAAGAUACAAAAGACAUAACAAGCAACACAGUACACAUAGCUUGUAAGCAUUUCAUCGACCAAUACAAGUCUUUUCCUCCCAUCUUGUUUGAGUUUGAGUGAAUAUUCAUUCCAGUUUUCAAAUCCAACAACCGAUUUGAAUGAAAUGUUGACUUAGGGCCAAGAGAGUGUGAAUUUGGCACCUAAGGCCGCACGGCACAACAUAGGAUAUAAGCGGGCUGUGAUAGUUGGUAUCAGAGCCGUAAACACUCAUGGGGUAGUUGCGUGGUUUGAAAAGAAGGAUGUCGGAACUCACUCAUGAUGACCAAAGAUGGAGGGAUGCGAAGAAGGGGAAAAACAAUAAAGAGAAGUCUGUAGACUUGCUCAAUGCCAAAGAGAAUCGGGUUGUCCAUGGGGAAAUUAUUGUCGCCGAGAUUAAGGAAUGCCUCGAGAUCUUUGAGUAAAAGAUGGAGGAGGUGGAUGAUCUUGGGGAACGAAUGGGUGACCUGAGCCAAGACUUGGUGGCGCAACGCCAAAGCCUUGAGGAGUUCCAAACAGGGGCAGAUCUAUUAAGGGACAAGUAUGGGCCGUGACCCUUGUUAAAAAAAAUUAAUACUCAAUAUUUUAUAUUAUAUUAAUAAUUACUUAUUUACUUUAAAAAUUUUAUUUAUUUAUUUUUUAAAAAAAUUCUUUGGCCCCCUCAACUAAGGUUGGCUUAUUUCACCCCUGGUUUCAAGUAGUGGUCAUGAACUCCAUUGAGACGCUAAGGGCUCAAGUGAAGGAGCUUCACGCGGGUCUUAAGGAAACUAAGACAGAUUGGGCACUUUGCAAGAAAACGGUGGCUGGGGGGGUGCUUAACACUAAUGUAGCACCUCCGAUGAGGAUCAAGACUAAGGAGGUAUGGAGCAAGCGGGAUGCCCAAGAGAUCGAGAACUUCUUGUAGUCAAUGGAGAGGUACUUUGAGGCCACCAAUAUUUAAGGUGAGCAAGAAAAGGUGAACAUUGCGACGGGAUAUCUUGAAGACUACGCGAUCGCUUGGUGGCAGCGAAAGCAUGCAAAGAUUGUGCGAGAGACGUGCAUCAUCAACACAUGGGACUUGCUGAAGUGCGAGCUCAAGAAGUAAUUCUAUUCGGGGAAUGUGGCGUAUGAGGCUCGCAAGAAGAUGCGAGAACUGAAGCAUACCACAUCCAUCUCAAAGUAUGUCAAUGAUUUCUUGAAGCUCAUGCUCCAAAUCGAUAACAUGGACACGGAUGACUUAUUGUUCAACUUCAUGGAAGGACUCAAAUUGUGGGCACAAUAAGAGUUAUAGUGACGUUAAGUGAAUGACUUCUCUACAGCCCUUACCGAGGUGGACAUGCUUGUAGAAUUUUGGAAGCGUGAGUCAUCUAAGGCGAAGAAGGAUGAUAAGCCUCAACAUGGCAAAAGUGGGGGAGCAAAGGGUAGCACAUGAUGGCAAUGAUAAGCCACAAAAGAAGGAUGACCCGAGGGAUGGUCCGAAGGAUGGCAAGAAGGAAGCCAAACGCAAGCACAGUUGCUUCAUUUGUGAUGAGGACCAUUGGGUGCAGGACUGCCCAAAGAAUAAGGUUUUCAACGCCAUGUUUAGCGAGACCGGUGAGAAGCAACCGGAGGCACCACCAGCCGACACUACCAACAUGGAUUGUCUCCAACUCUUCAAUGCACUGAAUGCCAAGCCAAUUCUAGCAAAGGUGCAGGACAAGUCGCUCAUGCACGUCGAGGCCACAAUCAAUGGGAAGUAAGCUCAAGCCUUGACUGACACGGGAGCGUCUUAUAACUUCAUCAAGGUGGAUGAGGCCAAGCGGCUUAGACUCAAGGUUGAGAAAACGAAUAGAUGACUGAAGACGGUGAAUUCAGAGGCCAAACAACUUAGCGGCGUAGUGUGGGACGUGGAGCUACACUUAGGCCCUUGGCAAGUUAAGGCCAAUUUUUUCGUUGUACCUUUGGAUGACUUUGCACUUGUUUUGGGCGUGGAAUUUUUGCAACACUUCAAUGCGGUGCCACUUUUGAGGUACAACCCAAUGUGCAUCCUGGAGGGAAUCCCAUGCUUGGUCCCGACAGUAAGCAAGGCCACAUCACCAGGCCAACUUUCUGCAAUGCAAAUCAACAAGUGUUGCAAACGACAUGAGGAGACAUUUCUCGCUACCAUUCAUGAGGCUGGUGAAGAGAAAGACGCUACGGCCAUGAAGCCCAUCCGGAGGCGGUAGCCUAAGUUCUUAAGGAGUAUAGGGACGUGAUGCCAUCUGAAUUGCCAAAAACAAUUGCUCCCGUGAUAGGAGGUGGACUACAAGAUUGAGCUGGAGCCAAGUGCCAAGCUGCCUGCACAAGCACCUUACUGUAUGUCUCCAUUAGAGUUAGAGGAGUUUCAAAGGCAAAUCAAGGCACUGCUAGACGCGGGAUAUAUCCAGACCUCGAAGGCACCAUACAGGACACCAGUGCUGUUCCAACGGAAGCAUAAUGGCUCACUUCGAUUGUGCAUUGACUACUGAGCUCUUAACAAGGUGACCGUGAACAACAAAUAUGCCUUUCCAUUGAUAGUGGACUUGUUCGAUCAAUUUAGACGGGCCAAGUACUUCUCCAAGCUGGACCUUAGAUCGGGAUAUUACCAAGUGAAGAUUGUACAGGGAGAUGAACCCAAGACAACUUGUUUGACUAGAUAUAGGGCGUACGAGUUCAAAGUCAUGCCUUUCGGCCUCACCAACGCGCCGGCCUCAUUCUGCAUCCUCAUGAACCGCAUAUUCUAUCCAUACCUUGAUUAGUUUCUGGUGGUGUAUUUUGACGACAUCGUGGUCUAUAGCGACACCUUGGAGGAGCAUGCCGAACACUUGCAGGUUGUGUUCGAGGUGUUGCGGGACAAUGAGCUAUAUGUUAAACGGGAGAAGUGCUCAUUUGCUAAACCGGAAGUUGAUUUUCUUGGCCACAAAAUUAGAGAUGGGACGUUGCUCAUGGACAAGGCCAAGGUCCAAGCCAUUGCCAAGUGGGAGCUGCCCACGAAGGUUACAGAGUUGCGAUAUUUCUUAGGCCUCACCAACUACUAUUAGAGGUUCAUUAGGGAUUGUUCCACCAUUGUCUCACUACUCACUGACUUGCUCAAGAAUACUACUAAGUGGGAAUGGAUGAAGAAGAGCCAACAAGCCUUUGAUGCCUUUAAGAAGGUCGUGACGGAAGAGUUGGUACUGACGCUGCCGAACCAUGCUUUACUGUUCGAGGUACACACGGAUGCUUUCGAUUUUGCUAUUAGGGCUGUAUUUAUGAAAACUGAACAUCCCAUAGCCUUUGAAAACCGAAAGCUCAAUAAUACGGAGCGGCGAUAUAUGGUACAAGAGAAGGAGAUGACUGCGGUAGUGCACUAUUUGCACACAUAAAGGCACUACUUGCUUAGGUCCAAGCAGCUGGUUUCUCUCGUGCAGCAGGGGAAAUCAAAGAGAUUUUGAGUCAAAGAUGGCCUUUUAUACACCAAAGGACGGCGUGUCUAUGUUUUGAAGUAUGGAAACUUGAGGAAAACCUGAUCAAGGAGUGUCAAGACACCAAGUGGGAUGGACACCUGAGGCAAAGACGGACACGAGCCUUACUUGAGUCGGCAUGCUAUUGGCCUCAGAUGCGGGAUGAGGUGGAGUAGUUUAUGCAGACAUGCUUAGUGUGCCAGUAGGACAAAACAGAGCAACAAUGUCCCGUAGGGUUGCUUGAGCCAUUGUCUACUCUGGAUCGACCGUGGGAAAACAUUUUGAUGGAUUUCAUAACUUGUCUUCCGAAGUCUGCGGGGUUUGCGACCAUUGUUGUGGUGGUGGAUCGCUUAUCCAAAUAUGCCACUUUUAUUCUCGCCCCGAAUGAAUGCACUACGGAGGACACGAUCAACCUUUUCUUUAAGCAUGUGGUGAAGUAUAAGGGACUUCCGAAAUCCAUCGUUAGUGACCAUGACAGCUGGUUUACGGGGAGGUUUUGGACUGAGUUGUUUAAGCUAAUGGAGUCGGCGUUAUACUUCUUUACGAGCUUUCACCCACAGACCGACGAGCAAACAGAGAGAAUGAAUGACUUGUUAGAGCUGUACUUGCGGUGUUUUGUGAGCGUCAACCAACAUGAUUGGGCGAAGUUACUGGAUGUGGCCCAAUUUUUCUACAACUUGCAGCGAAUUGAGGCUACUUCGAAGAGCCCUUUCGAGGUGAUCAUGGGACAACAGCCGCUAACGCCACACACACUCAUCAUGAGCUACACCGGGAGGUGUCCCACAACAUACAAGGUGACUAAGUCGUGGCAUGAGCAAGCAGACAUAGCCCGGGCGCACCUCGACAAGGCAACCAUGUGGAUCAAGAAGUGGGCGGAUAGUAAGCGUAGACACUUGGAGUUCAAUGUAAGGGACAUGUGCUAAUGAAGAUCUUUCCGUCCCUACCUAAGUCUACUCGUCCACUGUACAAGAGCCUUAUCCAGAAGUACGAGGGACCACUUCCCUUCAUCAAGAGGGUCGGUAAUGUGUCGUACAAGCUAGAGUUGCCCUUUUGGCUAAAACUCCAUCCAGUCUUCCACGUGAGUUGCUUCAAGCCAUACCAUGAGGAUACGGAAGAUCCGAAGCGAGGAGAAUCCAAGCGCCCUCCACUCGGUAACAUGAGGGUGUAAGACAAAGAAGUAGAGACCAUCUUGGCUAAUCAUGUUGUUCAGAAGAAGAGUUUUCUGUCAUGCCAAGAGUACUUCGUCAAGUGAAAGGGACUACCUGAGAGCGAAGUAAGUUGGGAGCUCGCAAAUGAUUUGUGGCAGUUUUAAAACACGAUCAAGGACUUCCACAGCGAAUCAACGAGGACGUCUCCUAAUUAGGUGCAGGAGAAUGUCAUGGCCCAAGCCUCCAAGUAGCAUGGCUUGACCCAUAGAUGAUUCUAGACUCAUGCAGUGUGUAGAUAUUUCUCAUAUACUUAUUAUGGGUAGGUGGUAGGUGGUACCUGAGCAUUAACCCACUCUCUUGUACUUUAUAUAUAGGAGGGGGCCUCAUUUGGCCAAGAUACACAAGACAUAACAAGCAACACAACACACAUAGCUUGUAAGCAUUUCAUCGAACAAUACAAGUCCUUUCCUCCCAUCUUGUGUGAGUUUGAGUGAAUAUUCAUUCCAGUUUUCGAAUCCAGCAACAAAUUUGAGUGUAAAGCUGACUUAAGGUUAAGAGAGUGUGAAUUUGGCACCUAAGGCUGCACAGCACAACGUGGAAUAUAAGCGGGCCGUGACAUAAGGAAUCAAAUCAACUAAAGAACUUAAGCAAUAGAAAUAAUUGCAGCUUCAGUUGACCAAAGAUUGAGCCAGCACCAGAACACCUGAAAGUAGGUGACAAUGGCAGCGAUGUAGCAUGUAUGUUUCUUAGCUUAAGGUUAGCGCUUAUAACAUGUGUUUUACAAUAAGGAGAAGGGUAUUGGGGAUUACGUGUUUUUAUUUUUGCCUUUCAUACCCCUUGUUUUUAUUUUUUUAUUUUUAAGGACAAACCCGAUUGAGUUUUUAAUUCGGUUCAAAAUGAAAAUUGAUUGGACUCCAAAUUUACCCAUUCACCUUCUUAUAGCUAAUCUGAACCAAAACAAACCCGAACUAAUUUUGGGUUUCGAACACCCAACCCUAGCGAGUAGGGAUGGCAAAAUCUGGAUCCGGAUUGAUAUUCUUAUAUCCAAAUCCACUUACGGAUCUAAAAAAAAAAUUAAGAUCUGGAUAAAGUAAUAUCUGCACAGAUUGCGAGUGGAUAUUCCGAAUAUAUGGAUCCGUAAAAAUUACAAUUCAAUAAUUUAAAAUUCAACAAUUCACCUAAUAAUAUCAAAUAAAAUUCAAUCAUAAUUUAACAAUCAACAAUUUAAUACCUAGAAUAACAUACAACACUAUAAAGUUACAAAUAAAAAUACCACAACAUAAAUCAAACAUCAAGAAUAACAUAAAUUCAAGUCUAGCAUUACCACAAAUCCACAAAUAAAAUUAUAAAAAGACCACAAAUCCACAUAAAAUAAAGCGGAUCCCAAUAUAUUUCUUAAUUUAAAUUAACUUCUAUAUUUUUUAAUUAAUGCUAUUAUGUUUUUCAUUUAAUUUAUAUAUAUUUUCAUUUAAUUUUAUAGUAUAAAUAAUUUAAUUAAAAAACAAAGCAAAUCUCAAUAAUUUCUUAAUUUAAUUUAACUUCUAUAUUUUUAAUUAAUCCUACUAUGUUUUUCAUUUAGCUUAUAUAUUUUUUCAUUUAAUUUUAAUUUAAUAAAUAAUUUAAUUAAAAAAUAAUGCAAAUCCCAAUAUAUUUCUCAAUUUAAUUUAACUUCUAUAUUUUUUUAAUUAGUCCUAUUAUGUUUUUUUUCUUAUAUAUAUUUUAUUUAAUUUUAAUUUAAUAAAUAAUUUCAUUGAAAAAUAAUGUGGAUCCAAAUAUCCGAUUUUCCAAAUGCAUUUUACAUCCAGAUUUAUAUUUGAAUAUGCACGGAUCUUAAUUUUAAGGAUCCGGAUCCAUAUUUUUUAAUAUGCGAAUCUGAAUUUUUGUAAAUCCAAAUUUUCCGGAUCCUUCCGAAUCCAGAUACCCCUACUUGCGAGGUCUAAGUAGUGAUACUGGUGCGUGUGCAAAGAAUAAGAGAAAAUAAUUUAUUUGUUUGAUACAGCCUGCCUCUUCAUAUUUAUAAAAAAAAUACACAGAAGUUUCUAGAUAUAAAGAGGUUGCAUCUUUCAUACAGUAGAAGGAAUCUUGUAAAAUUUAUAAGACAACCCUGAGAGAAGAAAUUUUCUGUUCCGCUGCAUGCCUGCUUAAGCAACUUUGGGUUUGUUAAUGUUGCAAAUUUUAACCUCCCUGCCAAGAGAUGAAAUUAUACAGCCCAACAUGCAACUGCAGAAAAUCGAGUAAUAUGUUCCCAGAACAUCAAUGGAAGAAAGAACAAACAGAAUCCUCUUUGCCCUUUUCUAGGACAUAACUCACAAUAUAUUAGAUAAUUACAACUAUACCCCAUAGACAUCAUUCUGUGGGUUUUACUCCAUCUCGAUAAAAGACCCACACCUAAAUUCCAUAAACUUAGGUCCGCUAUUCAGCUCAUGAUUUUCCUUCUCCAGAGGCCAUAGGCAUCAUUCAAAGCAUAUUGGAUAUAUACUUUGCAAUAAAAAAUAUUAAAAUUUUGUCAUAGAAGUGUAGUUCACAGAAAGAAAAAUUGAUUAACAAGUAUAAACAGUAGAAGUUCAUUUACAUGUAGCUCAUUCUGGUAUUCUGGCUUGAUAUUCAUACCUAUUUUGGCUUCAGUUUUAAGGAAGCACUGCAAAGUAGUAUGAAAAAGAUGUUAAGCAUAACAUUACAUAUUUCAGGUAAAAAUUUAAAGGCCACCAAUUGAUUGGAAGAAUUUACCUGUUGAUACAGUAACGCUUUCCUGUGGGUGGUGGGCCAUCAUCAAAGACAUGGCCAAGAUGAGCAUCACAUUCGGCACAAAGGACCUCCUGGCGAGGCAUGAAAAUAAUUGACAAAUCCAACUUUGACUUCACGUUGCUUCCUAUGGGCUGAUAAUAUGAUGGCCAACCAGUACCACUGUCAAAUUUGGUUGAUGAUCUAGAGGAAGAAUAGCAGUUGAUCAAGGUUAUUGAAGAUCCAAUGAAGAUUUCUUAUGAAAAGUGCCUAAACAAAAUACAAACUCUUACUCGAAUAAAGGUGUGUCACAACAAAUGCAAUGGUAGGUACCAGCGGUUUUGGUGUUCCAAUAUUCCCUGAAGAAGAACAAAUACAGCAUAUUGUAUUGUACAUCAGUUGUUAGUAAAAAUAGCACUCUAUGCUGACAGUGACUCCCAGCUGGUCCUUUUAUCAAAAUUAAAAUUGUAAAUGCUAUAUCUAGGAAACCAACAGUAAAAAUUCUAUGGUCUGACCCAAUCCUGAGUAAAGCUUUGGAGGGGCAAAAGUAAAAAGCAGGUCAGUGUCCCACAAGGCUAUCACAUAACGCACAUGCAAACUGACACCUGCCAACUACGGGUAAAAGUAAUGUAAAUGGUUUACAGAACAUAAUACAUCAUACCCCGUAAAAGCCCUCUCAGUCCCUUUUUGUCGAGUUAUGUAAUAUUGCUCCCCUGUGAGCCUUCCUUUCCACUCUUCAUCACUUAUAGAAGCAUAAUCAACCCUGUUGGCCUCUGCAGAAGACAACAGAUGAAUUCCUGUCAAAUAAGAAAGAUAAAAAAUGCAACUGCUACAGAUUAUAAGGUCUUUCAAGACACAUAUUCCAACCAAUCUCAUCUCUUAUUUAUGGAGAAUAAGCUAAGGGAAAUGAGUUUCUUUUUUUCUUUUUUUCUUUUUCUCUUAUUUAUGGACAAAAAACCAACUAGACUCGUUAUCAACAAAAUCCAGAAGUACUUUCUCUCCAUUAAUAUCCCCCUAGAAUUAACUGCUCCAUUGCAAUUGAAUCCUGAAGUCAGCAAAAUAAGGUAUAGUACUAGCGGUUAUCUCAUAAAAGAGAUAGAAGAGAAAAUUCUCACAAGUUCCUGAGCAUACGCUGCAACAAUGAAUAAAUAAGUUUACUGUUUAACAUAUCAAAGUUGUUUACAAAUUUCCAUCUUUUGACCGUCUCUGCUUCACAAUACGAUUUAGAGGAAUGCCUAUACUUAUCCAUGGACAUAAAUGUUGACUCCCCCAAUGAAUUAUUUCAUGAUGAUCAUUGAUUCCCAGGACAUCCUAACCGAAUGCAAGUGAUACUAUCAGGAGGGUAUCACAGAAAAUAUUCUUUGAAUAAAAUUCUUAGCUCUAUGGAAAUGAGGCAUCAUUUUUUGCAAUUUGCUUUUGACUGUUAUCAAUCCCAAUUAGUCCAUCAAACAAUACUAAAUAAUAUUAAAGGGUAAGUCGAGGAUUAAUGUGGCCUGGCUUUUAGUGCAGCAUGGAACGGAAUCAUUGACUAUCAAGUAUGCGUAGUUGGGAAACAACAAUCCCAAACAUAGCCUAAUUAAAAUCGGCAAUUACAAUUCCACCUAGCCAACUGAUUAAUACUAAACCAAGAACACAAAUACCAGAAUUCUAGUUCCUGACAAUCCAAAAUGGCACUAUUCAUAAUAGAAUGAAAGGCAAAAACAAGAGACAUAUGAUGAAGGAAAAAAAAAAUGUAAACAACUAGAAUAGAAAAAGAAAGAGAGACCUUGAAUGUUGUCGGGUUUCUGGGAAGAAGCAGAGGAGCCCAUGGCGCGAAUUACUGACAAGGAAACUCUUUUGGGCCGUCUUAAAGAAGGAGAAGCUGAAACAAAUAGCUUGGACUUGACGCCAGAUUCGAAUUGGCUGAGAGUAGAAAUGUGCAUCGCCGUUGGGAUGCUCAUUAAACUAUGUGAAAUCGCCAUUAUCAUGACAUCAAUUGCUGACCAUUUCCAUUUGUGACAAAAGUACAAUAAUUUUAAAAUUUUGAGGAAAAGUGAAAAAAAAUAAAAGAAAUAAGAAGUGGUACACGUGGUCUUGUGUGGAGAUGAACCGAGAAGAGGCUCUAUGUUGCCCACGUAGACAGGCAGAAUUCCCUAGUCAAUCGACUUGGGUCUACAGCCCAGACUGCGGAAGGAUUUGAGUUCGUGGAAUUAUUAUUAUUUUUUUCGCUUUCUUCGUUAAAAGUUGAAUAAGUUUGAAUUUGAGUGGAGUUUAAAUAAUUUUGAAUACAAACAUGAUAUAUUGAAAAAAUAUAUUUAUUUUUUAGGACUUGUCUAUGUUGCAACAGUUGCAACGUACCACAUCUUUUUGUUUCCAUUCUAAAAUACCAUUGGAUGGAAAGUGCAUGAAUCUAAUAGUUGAAAUUAGUUAGUGGAUAAAUGGGGUAUUCAUUGGCAACCGUUGAAGCCGAUUUAGUGGCUGUUAUAAGGAGUGUCGGUUUGACAAAAUUCAUCGGAAGAAGAACAACUCUGUUUUGAAAUAGAAAUUAGGGUUUAACAGAUGGCGCUUGAGAAUUAAUAUGGAGAGACAAGUCGAAAGAAGAUAAUCGCAAUUUAUUGGGGAGAAAAGAUUUCGCUGAUUCACGUAUGGUCAAACUUGGGUUGUAAAUCGUAUGAAUUCAAUUGCGAUGUUGUUGCUACAGGGGGAGUAAUUGAUUUCGUUUGAGAAUUAAUCUGGAGAUGCCGAAAUCAGAAGAAGAUGAUUGCAAUUUCUUUGGGGGGAAAAGAUUUUGAUGAUUAACGUAUUUUGUAGCUUGGGCUAUAAUCCGUACGAAAUCGAUGGAGAUUUUGUUACUGCAGGUGGUGUAAGUGAUUUCAUUUUGAGAAUUAAUCUGGAGACACAGAAAAUGAAAGAAGACAAACGCAAUUUAUUGGGGGAAAAGAUUUUGAUGAUUUUUAUAUGAAAAUGGGCUGCUGUGGGUAGGAAUCUGAUUGCGAAUUUGGCACUGUAGCAGACACUUGCAACCAAGACAGAGCCUUAUCUGAACCUAGAUUGAAUAUUGCGUGUGUGUGCUCUGUUGUUGUGCCAUUGGAAGCGGACGCAUCAAGUAAUCCGUGAUAAAAAUUAAUUAAUUUUGUUUGAAUGAGUAUGACAAUGGUAAUUAGCAUGGAGGGCCGGUUACGCUUAGUUGUUAAAAUGAGAGAAUGUGAGAUUGAUCGGAAGGAGUUGUUGUUAAUUUCAUUGCAGGAAGUGCUAUAUUGAAGAGCAAGCGUGAGGGAAUUAAUUUCUUGGAGAAGAAAACAAAGAAGGAUCCAACAUUUACCUUUCAACAAACUAUGCUUGUAGAUAUUGGUUUCUUAUUGUAAGGGUUAAACGUGGCCAUAUCGGUAGUUGAAUAGGUCUUACUUGAAUGCUUGGUAUUCUGAAUUCUCUAGUGGUGACCAAGUAUGUAGGGACGAUAUUAUGGUUAUGAAUUGUUAGUUUAGUUUUGUUAAUGGCUUGCACCUGGUUGAUAAAAAAAAAUGACUUCCUUGUUUAAUUUGUAAACUUACAUGUUGAUAGGCUGUGGGGACAAAUCCCCUCGAGUUGAAUUAUAUACUCGAUAAAACAAGCUAUCUUUUGAUGAAAAUAAUUAAGUUUCCUUUGACACCAUGCUCUUGAUGGGCAUUGAGUUGAUAUUCAUGAUUGUUUUAUAUUGUAGGCACUGGCAUGUUUGUUCGUUGUAGAUGAACAUGUUUGUAUGGUAUGAUAUUCUUAUUCCUCUUUUCGCCGUAUGUUGAAUUUAAGUUAAUGCAAAAUUUAGGUUAGUGCAAACAGCUAUUGUCCUAGAAAAGACACAACAAAUUGAAAAAUGGGUUCGCAGUUGCCAAGAAAGGUCUGCCUAGAAUAAUGGGGAUAUACUUCCUUGAAUUCUGUAUUGGUUGAGUGUCAAUUACAAUGAAAUCAACAGGAAAAUAAAACUUGUCUACCUAGAUAAGCACGUCCUCCACAAUAUCACGAGGUAUUUUCAUGGACCGAUCUGCAAGCUGUAACACCACUGGAGUUGGAUUUAAUUCUCCAAGUCCAAGUUUCACAAACACUGAAUAGAGUAACAGAUUUACACUAGCUCCUAAAUCCAACAAAGCAUUCUCAAUUGUGUGGUUCCCUAUACUACAUGAGACAGUGGGGGAGCCUGGGUCUUUGCAUUUUAGAGUAAUUUUAUGUUGGAGGAUAGAACUAACGUUUUCAGUUAAAAAUGCCUUCUUUUGAACAUGAAUGUUUCUUUUUUUAGUACAAAGGUUUUUAAGAAACUUAGCAUAAGAUGGAACUUGUUUAAUAGCAUCAAGCAAAGGGAUGUUAACACUUACUUGUUUGAAGAUUUCAAGAAUCUCACCUGUGGAUUUUUCCUUAUUUCCUUUAGCUAACCUCUGAAGAAAUGGAGCUUUGGGAACGUAUUCUCAUGGGUUAGUUUCUUCUUUCUCCUCCGAUGGUGAGUCCUCAACAUUCACAGGUACAAUUUGAUUUUCUUUUGUCACCGGCAUCUCUACUUUGUUGUCGACUUCUUUUCCUUUUCGCAAGGUCAUGACUACUUUUACCUCUCUAUGCUGCUGUGGUGAACUGGUACUUGCUUUAUGCACUCCUUUAGGAUUAGACAUUGGUUGACUUGGAAACUUGCCUUUCUCAACAGUCAUUGCCAAGGUCUGAAUUAAAUAAGCAAAUUGUCCUACCAUCUUCUCGAGGCUUGAAACUGAUUGGGCUUGUGAGUUGAAGCCUGCUCUCAACUCAUUUUGUAGUCCAUCAAUGGUGCGAUUCUGUUGAUCAAUCGUGGAGUGAGUAAGAUUCUUGAGAUUUUAGAAUGAAUCCUCCCAUGGUUUGGGUUGAGAGUAGUUCUGGUUCUGAUUGUAUGGUCUAAAUAGUGGCUGAGAGGCUUGAAGAACUUGAGGAAUUUAUUGCAUUGGUGGAGGUGGAGCUGCUGGUCCAUUAUGUUGGAAUCCUUGAGACCAUGAAAAAUUAGGGUGGUCUCUCCAUCCAGGGUUAUAUGUGUUGGAGUAUGGGUUGUAAUUUGAGAGCUUUCUCAUUACACCUAUGGCAUUAGCUUGAUCUGAGUAUGAGUCAUGGUCAUGUGGUUCUAUUGAUUUAGCAGUCGAUAACGAUGCUAUUUGUCGAGCAAGACCUUCAACCAUCUCCUUGAUUUCUUUGAUUUCUGAACUUGACAAACCAAUGUGAACCUCUUUUACUCCCUUAAUUCUUCUAGUGUUUCUUAGUGAUCGACACUGUUGUUGGGAAUUAUCUGCUUGUCGCUGGAAGAAUUCCCAAAUUUCUGAUGCACUUUUUGACAUUAGCUCUCCUCCACUUGUUGCCAUUAGCCAUUCUUGCAUAUUCGGCAAUAAUCUCUCCAAAAAGUAUUGACAUUGGUGUCAUUUCUCGUACCCAUGAUGUGGACACUUCAAGAGUAGCCCAUUGAAUCGCUCCCAUGUUUCGAAAAACUGCUCGUCUUCUCUCUACAUAAACUCUGAAAUUUCCCUGCGAAUAGCAUUGGUUUUAUGCACUGGGAAAUAUUUAUUCAAAAGUUUUGUUACCAUUUGUUCUCAUGAUGCAAUGCUAUUAGCAGGCAAUGUAUUAACCCAUGAACGAGCUCUAUCAUUUAAAGAAAAUGGGAAUAGUCUAAGUUUUACACCAUCAUCUGAAAAAUUCUCAUAUUUAAAUGUUUGACAAAUAUCAGGAAAAUCAUUCAAAUGAUUAUAUAGGUCCUCAUUUUCUAGGCCAUAGAAUGUUGGGAGACAAUUUAGCACACUAGGUUUUAGUUCAAAACUCCUAGCAGCUACAUUUGAAUAUCUUAUGUAUGAUGUGCUCAAAUUAGCUAAAGGACUAAAAUAGUUCUUAAAUGGUUUCUCUUGUGGUUGUAAAUCCAUUUUAUUUUUAACUUAUUUGUGUGUGCGAAGUGUUUUCUCAAGUUCAAGGUCUAUAGGUUCAAGAUUAGGUAAUAAUGACCUUCGACCAUGCAUGCAAAGAACAAAAAAAUAAAUGGGAACAAAACAAAAAAAAAUAAAGGAGAAGGAGAAAUUACGGUACUAACCUUAUUACGCUGUUAAAACAUUUCUAUAAAAACACACUAAAAAAAUACAUGAAAUAAAUUAACUAAAAAUAAAUUAAUAAAAUAAACAAAAAACAUUACAAAGAAAAUGACUUAAAAAUUAAAUUGCAGAAUUGUAAAGAAUAGAGAAAGAAAAGAAAUUAUUACCUCUAAAUGUAGAUUCACUUUUUUUUCUUUUUUUCUUUUUUUUAAAGAAAAAAUACAAGAAAAUAAAUAAAAGAAAUUAUACAAAAAUUAAUUAUACGAAUUAAAUAACUUACCUCCCCGGCAAUGGUGCUAAAAACUUGUUGUGCAAAUUUUAUUGAACUCGCAAGCGCACGAAUCUAUUGUAGAAUAGACUAAUGGUGACGAGUGUCGAUCCCACGAGGAGGUGAAUUUUAAUUGUGUGUAAAAUUAAUUUUGUACGAGGGUAGUUGGAUUUGUGGUGAAAAUGAUUUGGAUUAUCCUAAAAUUGAAAUUUAAAUAGCGAGAAUAAAUUGAAUAGAAAUCUAUUAAAAUGACGUACUUGGGUAUCUGGAUCCGUAUCAACAUGCAUCAUGGGCUAAAUAUUCCUUAUUAAUACCAAUUAAAUCAUGAGGGGGGAAUCCACACCUCAUGAAUCACACUCUAAUCAAUAUGGUGCUAAGAGCUUAUCGUGCCAAAUAAUAAUAACCUUAUACUAGGGAGCCGGUGUAACCAGGGCGGUAUCUAGACAAGAUUAUUAUUAUUUGUCGAUGAAAAGUCAAAUCAUCCACAAAAAUUAAAGGAGAAAAGAAAAUAAAUUUACCAAAUAAAGCCCAUGACACAUGUUGAGACUUCACCUUCAACCCAAGCUUAAAAGAAAAUUAGCUACUCAUAAUUGAACUAGGGGCAAAAUAGAAAUUUAUUAAAAUACAUAGAAAAUACAAGAUGAAGAAGGAAUUACAGAAAAUGGAUCCCAAAAAUGGAUUCAGAGCUAUCAAAUUAGGGGGGGCCCUUUUUAUAUAUACAUUGAGUAAAUCGUGGCCAUCGAAUUAAAAAUAAUUUAGACGCUCAGGAUUACGCCACGUCAUCAGUCAACAGUACGUGGUUUGACCACGCGGGUGAACAGUAACACAGUUUGACCCGAAUUGAACAGUGACGCGGUUUAGUUGAAAAUAAUCUUGUGUAAUGCAUGUACCGUACACGAUAUUUUUGGUCCAUUGAUAUGCUGCCACGUCAUCGAUCAACAGUGCAUAAGAAUUUUAGUCCAACAAGAUCGUGACACCUCAUCAGUCAAUGCCACAUCAUCGGUCAAUGCCACAUCAUCGAUCUAUCUAUGUGAAAAGUGUCGUGAACAGUAACGUAGACAAUACCGUACAUGUGAACAGUGCCAUUUUUCCUUUUAUGCUCCUCCUAAGGUUUUCAACCGUCCUGAGUUCAAAAGUGAUGUCCGUUUUGCUGUCUGAUCUCUCGUUCAUUGUGAAAUGACUAUGAUGCCCCUAAAAUACAUAAAAUACUUAAUUAAAAUAAAACACACAUAAUUAAAUUACAAGAAGCUUAAAUACAUAAAAAUAAGGGUUGUUAAUAAGGCUUGAAAUGUAAACUGACGAUUUUCUCCUUUAUAAAUAUAGAUUUUCUAACACUCAACAUCUAUUAAAGUAAUUUUAUAAAUUUUUAAUAAAAACUCUUACUGACAAUUAAAGAACUAAAAUUUUUUUAAUCAGGAUUCGUUUAUUCAAUUCGAUUCGAUGCAAAUUAAAUGGGUUUGGAUUAGAAAAAAAAUUGAUUUGUUUAAUAAAUGAGUGAAUUUGAUUCGAUUUGUUAACUAAAUGAAUCAAAUCCAAGUUUGAAGAUAUUGAUUCAUUUAUUCGUUUAUGAUUCAUUUAAUAAAUGCGUCAUAAAGAAAUUGAUUACAAGUCGAUUUAUUUAAAAUUCUUUUAUUAUUCAUUUAAUUAAAUUAACUUUUUGUCCUUAAAUUUUAUUUGAAAAAUUUUUAGAAUUUGAAGGUUAAUAUUUUAAUUUGGAUGAUUGUGUAUUUAAUCCUAGAAUAUGGUUUGGAUUAUUUGUAUUUUGUUGUAGAAUAUUAAAUUUGUGACUUUUUUAUAUUUUAUUUUGCUUAAUUUUGUUUAUUAAUUAUAUUUUUCUAAACGAAUCCUGAUUCGAUUUGAUUCAUUAUGCAUUCGUAAUAGAAUAAAUGAAUAAUAAACAAAUCCGGAUUCGAUUUGAUUCGUUUAUUAAUUCUGCUAAACGAAUUAAACAUUAUAAGAAUACAAAAUGAAAAAAAAACUUUAAUGCCUAUAUUUUUUUACAUUAAUAUAUGAUAUUUAUAAUGUUAUUUUUAGUAUAUUAUAUGAUAUUUUUUCUUGUUAAUUGCGUAAGCUAACCAAGAAUUGUUUAAUCAUUUAAAUUAAACUCAAUGUAUUAAAUAUAUUUAAAAUCUAUUUAAAAAUAGUAAUUGUAAGUACUAAAAGUUCAAACUAUUAUAAAACACACUCACAUAAAGACUUAUUAUGUUUAGAAUUCUCAUUCACAAUUUAAAAAAAAAAAUUGAUUGUUGAAUUCGCACAGAGCAAAGAAGAUUGAUUGUGUAAUAUGACAUAAAUAUAUUUAAUAAGAGCAUUAAUGAAAUAGAAAAGUUUCAUUAAGAUGUUUUGCUAUUCAGUAGAAGUCAAAAUAUUUAACUUUUUUCAUUAAGGCCUAAACAUCUUAUAAUCUGACAUAAGUUAUAAAAAAAAAAAGACCUAAAACUCUAAAUGUCUGAAAAUAAUUAAAACUUAUAAUUCAGACAAAAAACAACAACCUCUAUUAUUCUUUUUUAAAAAUUGGGUGAAAUUGUCUAAGUUAAAUAUUUUAGCCGCAUGAUUUUAGAAUUAAAAAAGGGGAAACUAAGGGUUUAUUUGUUAAACACCUAAAGUAUAAAAUUUUAUUAAUUUUAGAUUUUUUUUAAAUUUAUUUGUUUGUUUUUUGUAAUUUAUGUCUAAUUUUUAUAGAUUUAUAUUUGAAUAGAAAAAUAAAUUUUUAAGACUUUUAUUUAAAUGGAAAAAUUUCUGAAUGAAAAGUAAAUAUUAUAUUCUAAAAAUAUCUCUAUUACAUGUACUUAUUUCCUGAAUUAUAAAACUUAAUCCUUUUUCAUUUUGAUAUAUAUAAAUAUAUAUAUAUAUAACCUAUUGAAGAUUUUUUUCUUUAUAAAAUGAAACAAAAUAUAACUUAUGUUUAGAUAUUAAAAAUAGAAAAAUAAAAAUGUCACUCAAAUAUUUAUAUUGAAAGCCAUUCAGGUUUAAAAAAAAUUUAGAGUUCAUUUAUAUUUUAGACAAAAAAACAAAUGUUACUUAGGAAAGGGUUAACUAAAAAUAAUUAAAAUAAAUCACUCAGGAUGUGUCUGACACAUUGUAUUAUAUUACAUUGUAUUAACUAUAUUAUAUUAUAAUAUACCACAUUAUGAUGCGUUGCAUUAAAUUGUAAUGCUAUACUAUAUUUGGUAUAGUAUAAACCAUAUUAUAUAUAAUAUUAUUUUGUAAUAUUAUUUUUAUAUUAAUAUAAAAAUUAAAUUAACAAUGUUUAAAUUUUUUAGUAUUUUAUUGUUUUAUUAGUAAUUUUUGAAAAAUAAUUACUAAACAAUAUUUUAUUUAUUAUAUUAUGAAAUAAUAUAAUAUUAUUAAAUGAUAUUAUAAAAUUACUCAUUUCUAAAUAUAAUAUUAAAUAUUCGGCAUUAAUAAAUAAAAAUAAAUUAUAAUUUAAUAUUUUAUCUUAUUAUUACAUACUACAACUUACAUUAUAUUAUAUUUUACUAUAGUACAAUAAAACAUUAAAUUUUGAUUUAUUUUUAUUUAUUAACAUCAGAUAUAACUUUUAAUUUAAAAUUUAGUAUUUUAGUAAAUAAUAAAUUAUUAAAUAAAAUUAAAAUACUUUUUAGAUAUUUAAAGGCAAAAAAUUAAAAUGAUUCAUGUAAUAAAAAUAAAUUAAAUAUUCACGUUUAUUAAUAGUUUAUAUUAUUAUUUUUUAUUUAAAUAUGUGUAAAAUAAUAUUUAAAUUUAUUAUAAAUUAUUUAAUAAUAAAAAAGUAAAAUGGUUAAAAUUUAAAAUAUGCAUAGUAUUUUAAAAGCAAUACGACCUAAGCCCUAUGCCUAUGAGUUUAUUUUAUGCACCUUUUAUUGAAUUAGCCACAUUUUUAAUGCAGUUAAAUACACUUAAAAAUUAUAGCCAAAUAUGGAUUAGUAACAAAAAUAAUGUUUAAAUGCAAUGCAAUACAAUAUAAUGCAAGUUGCCAUACACAAUCCUGACAUAUCAUCAAAGAAAAGUGUUUUAGAGUUGGAAAAUUUAGAGCACGCUUACAAUAAUUACGUGAAUCACGUAAAGUGUUUUGGAUUAUUCUUGGGAUGCUCAAAAGUGAUUUGAAAAAGUUAAAACAUAAUUUUAAUGUUUGGUAAAUUUUGUUAGAAAUUAUUUUUGGUAAAAUCUUUUAAAAGUUAGGGAAAGAGUAUAUUUUCAAAAUCUGAUUUUGAGAAUCAAUUUUGUUGGUGGUAAAAUGUAGACCAAAAGCAUUAAAGGCAUGACAAAUAGAGAACGUUAUUAUGGACUAUGAUAAAAGAUGAAGGGGAGAUUGAGAAGGGAAAAUGAAAUCCUCAACCACCUAAAUUACGCAAGAGUGACAAAAUGUUGCCUCUUACAAAAUAUCUAGGUUGCCACGUGUCUAUAUGGUACUAUAAAAUAAUGACAACACGCCAGCAUCACCAGGCCACGCAGCUAUCGUUCAGUCCUUUCUAGCACUGUCUCCAAAGUACCUCCUUGUGAGUUGCCAAAGUUAGGACUAAGAAAGGGUACAGACAAACCACACACACCAUCCCCAGUAAAAUCAUGUGCUCCUCAGCCCUAUUGGUUCAUUCAAAAAAGACAAAUUAGAGUUAAGGGCACACUGUCAGCACAAAUUGUUCCUAGCUGGAUAGUUGUCUAGCCUAAGCAAGCUUAAAAGCCUCUACAAAAGGAGCCAAAUUACUCUUAAGAUCUCAUCUGAGGAGGGGAAUCACCAAUAAGGGUUCGCCAUGUGUCUAAAAGGACAUAAAGACGCCCUUAAGGGCACUCCACUUUAAAAGGUCAGGUUGGUCUCACUAAAGGGUAAGUUCAAUCUUUUACAGAAAAACACCCAACCUCCAACUGACUUGACAGUUGGAGUGCUAUUACCGGUCACUGCUAACACCGCCUUUAAUAGUUGUUUCUUGUGAUUUUAGGUUCGCCUUAGCUGUUAUUGUCCCUUGAAAACAGAUAGCCCAUCUCCAUCUUCACCAAAAAAUCGCACUUUGUAAUGUUUUGGGCUAAACUAAAAUCAAGCUAAAACAUUUUGACGUUGUCUAAGGGAUGACAAACAAGAAUCCAUUGUUCUAAUCUCCAUUGACAAAGAGAGCUUCUCACCUUAGAAAAAAAAAACCAUCUUUUCUUCUCAAACAUACUAUUGUUCUCUUAAAAAGAACCCAUUCUUCUCCAAGAAGAUAUGAUUUUUCUCUAAAAAAGUUACUCUUCUUCAUAAAGACUUGAUUUUUCUCUACAAAGAUAUGGUUUUUAUCCACAAAAGUAAAUUUUCUUCAUAAAGACUUGAUUUCUGUCUACAAAGAUGUGAAUUUUCUCCACAAAAAUGCCAUUUUUAUUCACAAGAUAAAAACCUCUCAAACACCAUAAACAAGGUCAUAUAAGAUGUCAACAAAAAGUGACCACUGAAAGAAUCCCAGAGAGACUGUCUCAGGCUAAGAAGACUUCCUUGGGGGAGUACUAAAUACGAAGAACUCCUAGAGAGACCGUGUCAAAAUAAGAAAAUCUCCUCAAGGGAGCUCCAGAUAAGAAGAACUCCUUAAGAGAUCGCCUCAGACUAAGAAGACCUCCUUGAAAGAGCCCUAAAGUAAGAAGAAUGGCCAGGGCGAUCGCCUCAGAUAAAAAGAACUACCAAACGAAGCCAUAAAGUAAGGAAAACUCCUUAACAAGAGAGACUAUCCUAGAGUGAUCAUCCCAGAGUGAGAGGGACUCAUAAAAGAGCCCUCGAAUAAGAAGAGCUCCGAGAAAGAUCCUUAAGAAAAAUCCCCAGUAGAGGGAUCACCCAUGAGUGGAAGAACCCGUUAAAAAAGGGAUCAUCCCUCAAAUAAAACAAGAACGCGUUGUUCUAUUUAAAAUUUCAACAUAAUAAGAAAGUCGCCAUUUUUUAGAGUGCACUUCAGACCCCUAAGUAUCUAAAACAGCGUGGAGUUCACCUUAAAUGCGGAUUUGUUCGAGUGUCCAAGAUGUUGAGAAGGUCCUCUUACUUAAAAGCCUGCCAAAAAUUCCUCAACUCCCUCUUUUUAGUAUUCCCGAUUAUCUUUCUAACUUUACUUUUAUUUUUAAAAUUUAUAUAUUUUAAACAUACUAUUCACACUUAAUGCUUAAAGGCACCUCAACGAUCCCUCAUAUGAUCGAUCCUCUCUUAGAAAGACAUCAUGAUUUCAUCUCGCUUAGGCACCAUUUAUAAUUUGUUUGAGGUUUUUAUUGAUAAAAGCAUGCUUUUACCUUCUUGAUUGAUUGUGUUUAUAGCAUAAUAAGGACCUAUAAGGGCGGCCAUGAUCAUUUUUUUCGAUAUUUUACAUAUAUUUGAUUGCAUUUGAAUUUCAUGAGAUCCCCAAAGGGAUAUUAUAGACACCGUUGAAUUGAUUGACAUCCUUUGGGUCAUAAAAAUCCCAAAACCACUUGCCUAAGAUUUGAUUGAAUGUGAUUUUGUUUAUAAUUAGACAUAUUGAGACCAUUUAAGGUUAAGAGUCCCUAAAUCUUUUAAGGUCAGAGCUAGCAUCUAGGCAACAGACACUAACUUGACAUGCGUAUUAAGGAACUUGAGUUCCAUUAUGUUUUAUGAUUAUGUGAACCUUAUUUUUGCUUGUAUCUGGUUGUUCUUUAUCAUGUUUUCAAUACAUUGGAUGGGAUAUGUUUUUAUAAAUAACUAAUCAGGGGAAGAUCCCACACAACUAUAUGAGACGUACCUCAAAUUGAUUCUACUUUAAAUCAAGGGAAAAUCUCACGUCACUAUCUGAGAUGUUCCAUAGAACAAUUCCACUUCAAGUCAAGAGAAGAUUUAACAUAACUAUCUGAGGUAUUCCCCAUAUCAAUUUUGCUUCGUGUCAAGAGAAGGUCUCAUGUAACUAUCUAUGUUACUCAGAUCAAUUCUAUUUCAAGUCAAAGGAAUCUCAAGUUACCAUCUGAGAGAGUCCCCAGACCUAUUUUACUUUAAGCUAAAAAGAAUAUCCUACAUAAUUAUUUAGGACGUCCUUAGACCCUCUAGUUUAUGAGAAAACCCCAAGAAGUUAUAAAAAGGUCUUGAAAAUUCUUAUGCUCUUAUUGAAGAACCUGUAUUACUAAGGGAUAGAGCCAGGGGGAUAGAGUGAUAGGCCCACUUAUGACUUAAAGCAUGCUCGAAAAUAGAAUCCCAGCCAAAUAAAAAACACAAUCGACACUCCUGAUAAAGAAGACCAUUUAGUUAGAUAGUCACUCGUGACUUCCUCAAUCACAAGGCUCUCAAUCCUUCAGUCCAACACCACUGACAAUCAUCUUCUUUGACGAUGACAUCGAUGGAAUACUUUAUCCCUAUGAUGAUGUACCUAUGAUCAUUAUGGGUAUCCCAUCCCAAUGGAUAUCAUCUUUGUCGGUAUCUUACGUUGAAUGAACAUAAAAUCUAUAAAUAUGUGCUUGUAGAAGACCCAAUUAGCGGGAUUUGCGGGCGAGACAAUUAUGCUUAAAGGAAUCGUAUCUUUACCAGUUAUUUUAACUAACAGUAAUCACAAUAUUGUUUAUCUUGUUGAUUUUUUAAUUGUCCACAGGGAAAACGCCUAUAACUAUAUUGUCAGCCGCCCAUAAGCAGCCGCACCUAAUGUGUUAUCCUUAAGCAUUAAUUGGCUAUAAAAUUCCCCACCGCAACAAGCACCAUCACUAUCGAAGCACGUAAAAGGUUGUGAAGCUAGUCCAAUCCUACAAAAGAAAUGUUCUUUAAAACAUACAUGGCCUUGACUAAGGCCUACUACUGCCAAUAUAAGUAUAUCUCUAAAACUUUGAGAGAUCACCCUAAGAAAGGGUCGUGGUAAAAUAGAGCCAAACAAUAGGGCCCCGAAUAUAUGGGUCAAUCUUAUAAGAUUAUCUCCUACUCUAUUGGUAUCCUCUCUUUAAUUGAUCAAGGCUAUGAGAUCGUCUUUUAUCUAUGAGGACCGUUCUAACCUCAACUUUUUCCCUCAUUCACUAUUAGUAAAAUAUUCUUCAGAACUUAGUGCGUUUGACAUCAUCUAUAGAUAUUCCUCUCAAUCAAAGCAUAAGUCAUCAUUGAUUUCAAAGUUAAAUUCACUGAUGACUUGGCAGGGAUGAAAUAGGGAUAAGAGGUGAUCUCUAACAAGACAAACACUAAGAAAACGAACUCUCUGGCCAAUGGCUUAAUAAGAAUGGUCAAGCUAUCUUUUCCUAAAACCGUUAUUAUAGAAAAGACGCUCAAACCUUGUUGGGGAUCAUCCCCAUGAGAUAGAAUCUGUAGUCAUUUAAGGAUCUUCAAUAAGCCCCAUAAUUAAUUGGUUGUAAAAGGAAACCAUCCCCAAAAAGAAAAAUGAAGCUCGAAGACUCAAAUUCAGAGCUUUUAAAUACUGUCUAAUUGGGGAUGAACUAUAUUGUUGAGGACUCUCAACUCUUUAUCUUAAAUGCCUUGAGCCUUCUUAUACUAAUUAUUAUGCUUGGAGAAAUUAAAAAAAGGACAACACUCUCGGUGCAAAUAGGGAAGGUCUUUAUAAAGUUGAACGGGUUCUCAAAUUUAAGACAUACAUACUACUGCACCUCGAGAGGAAAAAGGUCAAGCACCUUUGGAAUGUCAUCAUGCUCAGAGCAUAUUACCAAGAGGAUCAUUUCAAUAGGCAAUCUCCAAAAGGGUCAGUAUAUUUAUUUACUUUUGUAGUUUUCAACCUUAUUUUUAUUUCCUGUUUUAUACUGCAAGUGAUAACCUAAGAAAAAGCCUCUUAUGACUUCGAGUGGAUCAUACUCGAUUUAAGUAACACCAAUAUUAUAAUAUUUAGAUGGGGCAUACAUGUCAUCUUUUUCUCAACCAUUUGGACGAGGCGUGCAUGCUACCACUUUCUCAACUAUUCGGAUGAGGUGUACAUGUUGUCUCUUUCUCAACCAUUUGAAUAAGGCAUACAUGCCACUUUUUUUCUUAAUAAAGAAGUAUUAUUCAACAAUAUAUGUGUCAAACCGUUAAUUUAUCUUCUAAUGUGGCUACAACACUUGAAAAAGGGCGUUAUCUAUAAGCCUUUGGAAUCUUUGCAAGCUAUAAAGAAAGUCUCACAUGCAGAGGGCAAAAUCCCCACUUUGCAGAGACAUGUUCUCUUAUCUUUAGUAUCUCUAUAGUAAGGGCCCAUACAUGAUAGGAUCAACCCCAUAUGGCGAUGAAGGUAUCUAGUAAUCUCUAUAUAAAAGCCUACGAAUGAUAAGAUCAACCCUACAUGGCGGUGAAGGGAGCCGUUGAUCUCAUUAUAAGGGCCUACAUAUAAUAGGAUCAACCCCAGUGAUCUCUAGUGAAAGGGCUCACACAUGAUGGGAAUACCCAACAUGGUGCUCAUGGGACCUCAUAAUCUUUACAAAAUCAAUACAGAUUUUGUACAUGAGAAGGGCGCCCUUCUCGAAAAGCAACUGCCUCUAUGCGAGGCCAUAUCUAGGUGAAGCCACUUCCGGGUGAAGUCAUCUCGAUUCGCUGCCUUCAGACGUGAUUGCAAUUGGGUGAAGAUACCUCCAAGCACAAUCGCCUUCGGGUGAUGUUGUCUCGAUUCGUUGCCUUCAAGUGUGACCGCGUUUGGACUAAGAUGCCUUUAGGCGAAGUGGCCACCAGGAAAAAUAGCCUCCGGGCAAAACUACUUUCGGGCAUAAUCGCCUUUGGGUGAAAUCACUUUGGUUUGCAGGCUCUGGGCCUAACCACACCGUGACUACAUCUCACAUACAAGGUUGAGAGGUGAAAGUCAAACUUGGAUCAUAAGGAUGGUCUGACACCUCUAAAACCAUUUCUUCAGGAAUCUAGGAGAAAUCCUCCUUUUUUUGCAAAUAAUUCAAAGAUUUUCUUAGGAUCACGAAGUGUUCAUGUCAUUUGGGCAUAAGAAAAAUACGAGGUAUUUCUCUACAACUGUAUUGGGAUGGUCCACCUGGAUAGCAUAAAGAUAAUUUAUUAUAAUGCGCUGAGCCUGCUGCUUUGAGUUUAGUGCCUACACUUCAGCCUUCUUUUUGGCCCUCUUCGCUUCGCCACAGAUAGAAUCCAAUUCCUUCUUAAAAAGAGGUAUUUCUCUUCGUAGGACCUUUGUCGUGGAUCAACUACUUCCUUGUGAAGCUUUGUCAUCACAGAUCUGGUCCAUGACUUGGGCAUGAAACAUGAUAACCUAUAGGGAAAAAAAAAUGUCUCGUGUGAGAUAUUAGCAUGCUAAAAACACUGUCAAAAGUAUAAGAUACGGUCGGGGCCAACUAACAACCAACUUGGUGAGAACCUCUUGUGGCUUCAUCUUCUGCGUAUUCUAAGGAGGAUCCAUAAGUUGAACUUGUAGCCCUCUUUGUAGAGCUCAAUGCUCCAUUCUGGCUGACUUAAAGAGAACCUUCCUUUAUCUUAGAUGUCUUUCCCUCAGAAGAGCUAUCUAACAUACAAAGAAGAGAGCGAUCGAAGGUUACUAAAAGUGGCUUGAAAAGUAAUAAAGGCACGUCACUCAGAACAAAAGACAUUCUUCAAAAUAAAAUAAACAGUCUCGAAAUAGCAAAGGACAUUCUCCAAAUUAUUAAAGACAAACCUCGACCCAACUGAGGUUGAUCCUCAAAGACAAGGGAUAACCCUAGAGGCUAUGAGAGUUUAUCCUCCAAAGAUUGUAGAUGGUCCCCUAAACAUUAUAUGCAAAUAAAUAAGAAGAAGAAGGCCCAUAAAACCUUCUACUUUAGGAUCCUCUCUGAUCUUAGUCAUCCAUAGGCCUAUUUUCUAGAUUUUAUCUUAGGUUGUGAUAUUCCUUAAGGUCUUCACGUACACUCCCCCUUUAGAUUCUUAACAAGUCUAAUGGUCAGAUCCUUGUCCUAUGGGCUUGCCUUCUACACUUUUACCUUUGCAAAACAAGGGAUUCAUGCGAGGAAAAAAAAGACAAAGCCGCCAGAAGAAUGAUCGAACUCACAAAAGGGGGAGCGACGAGCUUCUUUUUCCACAGCACAAAUAAGGAAUUUCGUUAAAAGAUGUCGAGAUAAACCCCACUAAGAUUGUCCCUAUAGGAGAUCUUCCCAUGUGUCAUGAUCCUUCAAGCAAAAUAUAGGAAUCUUGUUGGUAGAAAAUAUAGGCUAGAGGUAUUAAGGGCAUGACAAAUGGAGAGUGUUAUUCGGGAUUGUGAUAAAAAAUGAAAGAGAAGUUGAGAAGGGAGGAUGAAAUGGGAAGAUCUCGAAGAACAGGCUUCAACCACUUAAAUUGCCCAAGAAUGAGAAAAUGUUACCUUCUACAAAAUAUCUAAGUCGCCACGUGUCUAUACGGGACCACAGAAUAGUGACAACUACAUUAGAGUCGCUAGGCCACGUAGCUACCAUACGGUCCCUGCUUGAACUAUCUCCAAAGUAUCUCCUUGCGAGUCGCUAAAGUCAAAAUUAAGAAAGGAGGACCAUACACAAAUUAUCUGCACCAUCCCUAGUGAAAUCAUGUGCUCUUUAGUCCUAUUGAUUCAUUCAAAAUGGGCCAAUUAGAGUUAAAAGCACACUAUUAGCAUAGACUGUCCCCAAAUGGACAGCUGUAAAAACUAAACAAGCUCAAAAGUCUCUAUAAAAGGAGCCAAAUUACUCUUAAGACCCUAUGUGAGGAGGGGAAUCACCAAUAAUUUGCUACGUGUCCAAAAGGACAUAAAAAUGCCAUCAGAGGCACUUCACUUUAAUAGGUCAUAUUGGUCUCACUAAGGGGUAAGUUCACUCUUUCACCAAAAAUAACUCAGCUCUUCUCAUAUUCCAAAGUUUUUUGCAAACCCAUCAUCUCCUCCAACCUCCCAUUGACUUGACAGUUAGAGUGUUGUCGCCAACACCUCUAAUGACUGUUUCUUGUGAUUUCAGGUUCGUCUUAGCCGUCACUGUGCCCUGAAACCGUCUUCAAAGAACCCAUCACCAUCUUCACUAGAAAAUUACCCUUUGUAGAGAAGCUUCCAUAAUGCUUUGGGCUAAACCAAAAUUAGGCCAAAACAAAUUUUAUACCUAGUACAAUUCCAUAUAUAUCAUUAUAUAUAUUAUAAAAAUAUAAAAUUAUCCUUAUUUAUUAGGAAGUAAAAUUAUUAAAUUUAAAGAGAUUACUAAUAUUACCAAUUAUAUUAAGAUAAGAAAAUAAAAAUAAAAUUAAUAAUAUAAAAUAUUUUUUUUAGUUAUCAAUUGUUAUAUAUACACAAUAAAAAAUAUUUUCUACAUACGUUUAUAACUGUGUAAAUAAAUUUAUUUAAUAUUUUGUCAAAUUUAAUCAUUUACAUUCUUAUAGUUGUUUAAUAGUAAGAUUAACCAAAUACAUAUGACUACUUUAAAAACUAACAGUGCUUUUAAAAAUAAAUUUUAUCAAAUAUUUAAUUCAUUCCCUUUAUAGCUAACUAUUUCUAUACUACAAAUAACAAUAAUUAUUUUAAAAACUACAGCAUUUACGAAACUUACCCUUAGAAUGCAUCAUGUGAUGGAUAAUAAAAGAAAGAGACUUAAGGCUUAGGAAAUAAUGACUGAAGCACCCAACAUCAUGUUAAAAGAAUCAGGUGACAAAUGUUGAACUCGAUGUAUAAUCAUCAUAUAAUCAAAAUAUAGACAAAAGAAUGAAUGGACAAUAAAUUCUUUUUUUUUAUAGAUUGAUAUAUUACAAUUAUAAUUUUACUAAUAUUUAUAGUAAGAAGCCUAUCGAGAGUAUCCUUGAUAAUUUUGAUAUGGCACGAUCAAAAUUUUUACCUUCACAUAAUACCAGAACGACAUAUAUUCCACUCUUAUUAAUGAGGAGACAAUUUCACUCUAUCCAAUUUAAUUAGAAGGAAAAUCGAGUUCUCACAAUGGUUGAGACUCGAACCCAUUUACUUAAGCUAACUUAAGUGCAUGAGUGCAUGGAGUUGUGCCCUUUGGUAUGAAUGGACAAGAUUAAUUCCAAAAAUGAACAGACAAAGUUAGAUUACCAAGGAUAUAAAUCUUGCGCUAAAAUUUGAGUGCUCGAUAUAAAUAAUAGAUCAAUAGAGUGAAAAGAAUCAAUCUUCAGAUCAUUUUCAGUUUAGCAUCUCUUUAGGAACAAAAGGAAUGGAAACUCAAUUUAAGAGCAUCUCCAAAAGCUUCUAUAAAUUUUACUCUUCAAAUAUCUAUUUACUUACCUAUGUGGCAAAUAAAAGAGUGAAAAAAUAUGCUAUUCUCCAAAAGACUCUUCAAAUAGAAAUAAGUUAAUAUUAUUUUAAUCAAAUAAUUAUUUUUUAAAGGAAAGGUCAAUAGCAAUUAAAAUAUUUCUCUAUUCUCUAAUAAAAAGUAAUAAAAUAUAAAUUGAAGAGGGAAAAAUCAACUCUCCAAACUUGAAGAGAAAGAAUCAUUUUUUAUUUGAAAUUUUUUAAUUGAAAUGUCUUUUGGAACCUUAAAUAUUGAUGUGGCUCUUCAUAUAAGUAAUAAAAUCUUAUUUGAAGAGUUUUUUAGUGAUGCUCUAAUAACAUUCUUGAGUUUCUUAGUUUUUCGAAGUUAUAUUUCUCUAAUUGGAAUUUUCUUUUUUUUUUCCUCACUUCUAUUAAAUAAAUGAUGACUUAGUUAUAUAUAUUCCUUCUGGACGAUUAUUUGUUUAAACAAUUCAAAUAAAACUAAACUAGACCUUAAGAAAUAUUUAUGCUUGAAAUGAAACAAAAAAGGCGAAAUUAAAGGUUUGUUAAUGUGUUGCUACUCUUGAAAUCAAUAAACAACAUUCAACAUAUUUAUUUAUUUAAUAAAAAAAAAGAACAUUUAUCUUUAGAAAUAGCCAUUACUAAACAAAGCUUUUGGCUUCAUAACUCUUCAGUAUUGACUUCGGUAAAAAAAAAUAUCGGUCAUGUUUAAUACCAGAUAUAUAUGGAUUAAUUUUAGAUUAUCUUAUCGUAAAUUUACUAUUUUAAAUUCAUUUCUUUUACUUUUAAAAAUCUAAAUUUAUUUUUAUUUUUUGUUAAGAAAACAAAAAAAAAAUCAGCCCACCUCUUUUUAUUGUUUUUGAAAUAAAAAUAAAAGUAAGUAAAAGUUUUAAAAAAUAAUAAGAUAAUUUAAUUAUAUUCAUGAGGGAUAAUAUAAAAUUUAUCUUGUAUAUAUACAUUUUUAAAAGGGCUGACGUGGGGCAGUUUGAUGACUGCUAAGACAAGAACACGAGGGUGUCUUGUUAUAUGUUACAUAUGAGGGGGCUGAGUGAAAAACAAUACUGAAAAUUAGAGCUUGAAAUCUGCGUAACUUCAAGAGCACGAUGCCCGUGCGCACACCAAAGUCCACGCCUCCACUUCACUUGUAUUCUUAGUAGUCGUCAAAAUCCCAGGAAAAAGAAAACGAUCAAUUCACUCCUUGUCUCAUAUCAAAGUCUGAAAUUUCUCUGCUCUGCAAAAGCUAAUAACAAUAAUAAAAAUAAUAAUCAUGAAAGGAAUAUCGCUUUCACCAUCAAACCAUUGUCAACUCAAAUUCCAAAACAUCCUCGCAAAACAACUCAACAAACCGAUCAACACAAUCCCAUUUCACUUCACCAUCACAAAUCGCCAAUUCCCCGCACAUGUUAUUAAAUGCCAAUGUCAGCGAAGAGACCAAAACCCAGUACCCAAAAACCCCAUUAACACGCCACCACCACUGGUAGUAGUUGGCUCAGCCAAUUUUGAUAUCUAUGUGGAAAUCGACAGGCUUCCUAAAGUAGGCGAGACAGUUGCAGCCAAGACUAGCCAGACUCUUGCUGGGGGCAAGGGUGCCAAUCAGGCUGCUUGUGGGGCGAAACUCUCCCAUCCAACUUACUUUGUGGGUCAAGUGGGUGAAGAUGCAAAUGGGAAAUUGAUCACUGAUGCUUUGAGUGGAUGUGGGGUGAGAUUGGAUUAUAUGAAUGUUGUUAAAGAUGGUGGUGUCCCUACUGGACACGCUGUGGUGAUGCUGCAGUCUGAUGGGCAGAACUCUAUUAUCAUUGUUGGUGGGACUAAUAUGAGUUGUUGGCCUGAGAAGUUUGGUGAUGAGGAUUUGGAGGUUGUGAAGAAGGCUGGGAUUGUUUUGCUUCAGAGGGAGAUUCCUGAUUCUGUCAACAUUCAAGUUGCAAAGGUCAGGUUCUUUUAAUCUUGUCUUAUUGUCGAUUGCAAUUAAUCCAUAUAUUUGUUAUUUUUCAGUUUAUUCAUAGGCAUUAGAUUCGUUCUGAGUAUUGUGAUUUAUACAAGCUAUGGAAAUAUGGUUUAGAUUUAAAGAAUAUUGAUAGGAGUGUAAAGAGGUUUACACUAAUAAUUUGAAUCAAUCUAAUAAUUCAGUAGACAUGUCAUAUGUUAGUUAUUUUUAAGUUCAUAUGCAUAUGAAGUGCAAGAUGAAUUCUUGGUUCAUAUGCAUCUGGACCUUUAACUUCUUUCUGUAGAGAGUUAGGAUUGUUCUGUAGUCCUGAAGUAUGCAAAAGAUGAGAGAAAUAUUGAUAGGAGUGUAAAGAGGCAACUUAAAAGAUCAUAUGGAAUUGGACCAUAAAUAGGGGAAAUUUAUUCAAAUGUACUAUUUAUUUCCUAGUGUAUACCCUAAGUAAGAAGACCGCUAUUGUGAACAUGAGAGUGGUGAAUUUAUAUCACUUUCUUGAAUGAGGAUUGCAGCAUUAAUAUCUUAUAUUAGGAGAUAAUAUCCAUUGGGAGAUUAGGUGCAAGUCUGUGUGAGACGAUUGAUAAACAGAUAGGUUGGACUUAAGACAUAAAGAUAAAACAUAAGUAACCAAAGUUCUAGGAAGACAUAGUUUGAAAUUGCAUUUUGGUCUUGAAUUGCAAGCCUGACUGUAUAGUUUGGAUGUUCAACUGUGGCUUUGUUACAUUGUUAACUCAACAGAGAAAUUGGUUUGUUUAUUCAAACAAAUUCCACUUCAACAUUCAAAUUUGAAAUUUUGCAUCACUCAUUGAAAGUUCCUCGGGUCUCAACAUGGUAUGUGGAUAUGCUGUUAUUUUAUAUUCAGGUGAUAAUUUGUAAUUUGUACAUCCUUUUCGCUACAAUAAUGCCAUACUUAAUGAAAUAACUUUUUAGCUACGAAUACUUUUAAUCUCUUCUCUCUCAUAGGUGCAAGUAGUGUGGGCUACAUAUUGGCCUCUCUGAUCCCUGAAUUCCCCUUUACCCAUUAUAGUGGUUCCCUGUAAUUUCUCAUCAGAGGAAGUUAGAUACCACUAAUCAAAGCUUAAUGGUAUUUUGGAGCCCACCAAAACAUUACCCUUUGACUCGAUUAAAAUCUUUAUAUGGAAAAUGAUGUGGAAAACACAAAUAGUCUACUGUUAUGUGAUCGAUUAUACUCUGCAAUGUGGAUAUGAUUGUCACCGGGGUCUUCAUAUGGAAUUGUACAUUUUUCUAGGGAAAGAUUCACUUUUUUGUUUAUUAUUUUCUACACAUUCUGUUUCUUUUGUAUCCGGAGUAGAUUUUUGUGGUAGUAAAAUAUGACUAUACUUUUUUUUAAGGGGUGAAUUAAUUAUAAAGGUUUUGAAGAACUGUAGUAUUAUUUGGGAAAAAUGAAUUUAAUUGACUACAUUUAACAUAGCCAAUAUUAUCAAUGUGAUUGUAAUAGAAAUUAAAGCAUAGUCCUUAACAGAUGAAGUCAACAAAGAGCUGAUACAUUUAUCAAUUAAUGUUGGACGUAGUUGGAAUGUUAUCUUGUCAAUUUGGGAUCAUUUUUAAUCUAAUUUUGUUUACUUACGGAGUUAAGGAUGUUACUGGUUUAAGGUUACCUGUUUUUCUUUCUGAAAUUUUUAUAAAGUUUAUGGAGUCAAGGGGAAAUCAAUAAUUCUGGGAAUUUUAUUAUCCAUGCUUCUUAUUUUGGGUAUUAAUUGCUGUAGGAGUCUGUUUCUGUUAGUUUGUUGGGUCUUCCCUGGUUCAAAUCUGGUUUGAAUUCUGAAAUUAUAUUUUAUGACAUUUAUUUUUACGAAUACAAUCUGAAAAAGCAUUUUAUUAUGCUUUUCCUAGUUCAAGUAUACAAUCUUUCUGUUGACCUGGAGGGAGAACAAUAAUAAUAAAGUAUUUUCAUAAGCUUUUAAGAUUAAUUUGCUGGAGCAAUUACCUAGUGUUUGUGUAUAUUAUUUUUCUUUAUUAUAUGUCUCUACAGUAUUCAUUAUUACUUCUAGCAACGGUAUGACCCUAAACAUCCAACAGUUUUCCCUUAAAUGAAUCCUCAAUUCUUCUUAAACCUUUUCACCUCAAUGCAAAGAUAGUUCUCAGUUAGAGCUGUGAAUUUAAGAUCUUCUGCAGCUGAGUGUUCUUGUUCUGCAUCCACCAAAUGUUUGAAACUCUAAAGCAUCGUUAAGGGAAAAGGAAAAAAAAAUAAUGGUGCCAAAGUCUUCUUUCUUUAGUUUGCAAGCAAUCAUUUUCCCUCUCGAUCCACACAUGAUCUGGAGAUUUUGAUUGAAUAUUAUGUAAGUAUUGAACUUUGAAAAUAUUGUGGUUAAGGAGUUUUUUUGUUUCAUUAUUUUCCACUGUCUCUUGGAAUUUGUCACUUUGAAUUGCAUUGAGGCUUUUUAUGUUUUCAAUUUGUUUGGUCUGCUUUCUUUCGAUAUUUAGUUUUGCAUAUUCUGAUGCCAUCAUAUCUUUAGGCUGCAAGAAGUGCAGGUGUUCCAGUCAUUUUUGAUGCAGGGGGAAUGGACGCUCCAAUCCCUCAAGAGCUGUUGAAUUUUAUUGAUAUCUUGAGCCCCAAUGAAUCCGAACUUGGUCGUUUGACUGGAAUGCCAACUGACAGUUAUGAACAGAUUAGUGAAGCUGUGGUGAAGUGUCAUAAAAUGGUGAGUGUUGGCACGUGAAAAUUUCUUAUUUUUGGAGGCUUCAUAACUCAGCAAAUAUUUCAUCUCUAGAGCAAUAGACUUGUUAAAUAAAAAGAAAGCAGAUGUUGCAGAAAUUGAAUUGUUACAUUGCGAAGUAUUACAAGUUUAAUGAAUCUGAGAUCCCGGCAACCAUCUUUUACCCAUAUGGUUUGUUCUUGGCUUUUAAAUCCAUCAAGUGCCAAUGCAUAUAAAGUGUUUUAGUAUUUAUUUGAAUGUCGGAGGUGUCUGUUUUCAGGGUGUUCAGCAAGUCCUAGUGAAACUUGGGGCCAAGGGAUCGGCUCUAUUUGUAGAAGGGGAGAAACCAAUUAAACAAUCAAUUAUACCAGCUGCAAGAGUCAUAGAUACAACUGGAGCUGGUGACACUUUCACUGCCUCUUUUGCCGUGGGUUUUGUUGAGGGCAAGUCAAGAGAGGAAUGUUUGAGAUUUGCUGGUACGUUGGUGAAGAAAGAUGGUAGUAUUUGUCAUGGUGAUAUUCACUCCCCAAAAGCACAGCCAAAAAAAAAAAAACAAAUACACACAUGCACACACAAAACAAACAAGUAUUUAUUAUCCCGGAAUUAAUAUUGCAUAGCAACAAAUUUUUUAUUUUUACCUUUUGCAACUUGUUACAGCUGCAGCUGCUUCUCUUUGUGUCCAAGUGAAGGGAGCCAUUCCUAGCAUGCCUGAUAGGAAAUCUGUUUUGAAUCUUCUUCAGUAUGCUUGAUAAUAUUCUUGUUCUUCCAAUAGCAAAGAGCUAUGAACUUUCCUUUUGCAUAUAAACAAAAUGAAGAGGUAACUCAAUUUUUUUUUUUUUGAAGAACUGGUAAUUCUUUACUUUUGUUUUUCUCUGCAAAUGGUCGCUAAGAUAGAUUUUAUCCUUUCUCACAUUAAAAUUGUAAGAAUCUGAAGUUGAAAAGUAUCUAUGAGGUAUAGGAAAUUUAAGCAGAGUUCUUCUCUGAAAUGUUUGGGCUCAGCAGUAUGAGACAGUUCCACUACUCCUAAUGAUAUGAACUUUCUGCCUUAAAUCUGAGCCGUCAACGCUACAUGCCAAUGCUAUUUACUUUAACAAGACACGUCAGUCGGCUUAGCCUAUCUAUUUGAAGGGGUUGAUUAUCAUUUGGAACCUGAAGAUUUUACUUGCUGUGACACUAGGACUUUAAACUUAUUGCUUUCUCAUACGUACAUACCCUUCUUGUUUUAUCCCUUUAAUUGCAGACCUUAGAGGGCCUAAUUUGGGAUUGCGCAAUCUAGGGGCUUAUUUGAUAUUUCAGUCUUUGUAUUACACACCCCUUUUUAGUUGAUAUUUUCUAUAUAUCGGCCUUUUUCCUUUAGUAGGAAAGUAUUAUCACGAAAUUAAUGAAAAACAAAUGCCACAAUUAUAAGGUUUGGAUACAACUGGGAUCUAUCAAUAGUGUUAGUGUUGCAUUGUUUGCAAGUAAUUAUGUUGCUUUGCUGAAUAUUUGCCAAAUCACCUGAAAAAUUGGUAUAUGUCUAGAUAUUAUGCAGCUUGAGAAUGUAGUUCCGAAAUUUGUGUUAGGGGUUUUUAAUUAAAGAUGCCUUAAAAGUAGGGUAUUUAGUUAAAUAUAUCCCAUGCUUAAAAUAUCCCUAAAGAAAAAUAUAAAACACACACAACUCACCUCCAACACUCUUUACUUCUCACUCUUUUUAACUCCACACAACAAAAACUCACUCCACACUCAAAAUCACUCAUGAACAGCCAAUGCACUGAGAUUUUAGUUUGCAGCUGGGUGCAUUAUUCAUCACAUGAAUAUGGUAUUUGAAAUUUUAUUUUUAUUUUGUGUUAUUUAUUUAUUUUGUUGACAUUAUAUUAUUUUUAGGGUUUUGUUUGGUUUGUGAUAAACAAUAAAGCAACUCAUAUUUUCAUUAUAUUUUCAUUAUAUGACUGUUAUUUGAUGGAUUUUAUAACUGCAUUCGUUAAAACCUGAAGUUGCUGUCAAAAUUUUGUUCUGCACCCUGACAUACACGACAACAGUCGUGUAUGUAUGGAUUUACACGACUGUAGUCGUGAAAACGUGCAAAAGAUUCAAAUUAUUAUGACACUCUAUCAUUUUAUUGGUGCAAAAAAUAUAUUAUUUUCACUAGAUAUAUCCUUUUACUAUUACUGGACUAUAGUGGUGUGUUUUAAUAAGUUACACGACUACUAUCGUGUACGUAUGAACUUAUAUAUUAUAAUUGUACAUAUAUGUAAAAUGUUCCAACUAUUAUGAGAUCCCAGCAUUUUAUCAGUGCAAGAAAAAUAUUUUUUGAAGAAGAAAUAUGUCAUUUGACUAUUUAUAGUCAUGUAUUUCUAUAACUUACACAACUGUCAUCAUGUAUGUAUGACUUUUGUCAUGUAUGUAUAAAUUUACACGAUAGCAGUUGUGCAAGAUUGAAAGAUAUAGUAGCUGUUAUGACACUUAGCAUUCUGUUAGUAUAAACAUUACAUAUUUUUACUAAACAUAUUCUCUAACUGUUUAUUAGACUAUAGUUGUGUAUUUUAUCAAGUUACACAACUAUUGUCACGACAACAAUCAUGUAAAUAGACAGACAGUUCCACACUUCAUAAUAUACCUGGUUUGAUUUUUUUUUGUAUAAUCAUUUGUUGUAUUAUUGUAAGAAGUGACUUCAGUAUGUGUGCCUAUUAUUCUUUAGAAUCAUAAGAAAUUAGGAUAGCAUCACAAGGUGAAGAAAAGUUACGCCGUAAGUACGGUAGGUGUGGUUUUUAAUGAUAUAAUCGACUAACUUGUAAUGCACCAAUCUCACUGUCUAACAAUGAGCCCGUAGUUAGACCAAAUGAAACAAAAACAAGCACACAUACUACUAUGAACCUUACAUACUUGUCAUUUUUGUUGUUUUAAUUUCUUUAAUAUCUAAAAUAGUUAGUUGAUAAAUUUUUACCUUUUUGUUUUGCAACUGGAUAAACAUGUUUGUGUGGCUUAUGCUGUUUUCAAAAUGAGGCGACCGGGGCCUUAUAAUACAUGGGUCGAGUGUUUGGGCUGAGCAUGCAAAUAAUUAUGAUGAUUGUGCAGCAACUUCCAUUGUAUUACGACUUAUUUAUGAUUUGAACAUUCAUUGGAUCUAUGUUAUUUGAUGUACAAUUACUUUUGUUAUUUGUUAAAUUCAAGUAUGAUAUGUUAAAGCCGAUGUUGAUUUUGUUGUCAUUAUAAUAAAUGUUUUAGGUAAUUUUAUGUUCUAUGUCUACUUACCCAACUACAGUCGUGUAUUUUGGCUCUUACUCGACUAUUGUCGUGUAUAUCUGAUUGCACUCAAUUAUAAAUGUGAAUCUAUUAAAUACUCGACUAUUGUCGUUUAUUUAUGAAAAUACCCGACUAAAGUUAUGUACCGAUGCAAAUACCAGCUGGUUAUGUAUGUUUACAAAUACUCAACUGCUGUCGAGUAUUUGUGAAAAUAUCCGACUGCAGUCGUGUAGCAAUUCAAAUACCACCUGGUUAUAUAUGUUUGGAAAUACUCGACUGCAGUCGAAUAUUUAUGAAAAUACCCAACUGCAGUCGUGUACUAAUACAAAUAUCAGCUGGUCAUGUAUGUUUGUAAAUACUCAACUGCAAUCGAAUAUAUGUGAAAAUACUCAACGACAGUCAUGUAUUUGGGCUGAGCAUUUCUUGAGCAUAUAUGACCAUUCUAUUACAUCACAUACAUUAUAUAAAACUAUCUUCUCUGUCAUUAAUUUACUUAAUAAAAAAAACAUAUGUAUGAUGUCAAAUUAACUUUAAUGAUAUCAAAUAUCAACAACAUCCCAUUGUAAUCAUUACAUCUCAUGAUAAGUAAUCCAAAAAAUGACACAUCAGUAAAGUUUUUAAGAGUGGGACACUACGUAGUUUUUUUCCAAGACCUACUCCAAAAUAAUUUGACAGCCAAUGCUUUUUGAAAUUGUGCAACAUCAUCUUGUUGGAAAUAUGAAUUGACAUCAAGUCAGUGGGCCAGGACCUCUAAGAACUGUAACAAAAAUGGUCCACAAUCACCACUAAAAAAAUUUAUAUAAAUCAAUCGUUAAAAAUCACCAUUGUUAUUGUUAAGUCGAAAAAAUAUAAUUUCAGUUUGUAGUAAAAAUAAUACUUCAAAUUUAUUAUCACUAUCGUAAUAUAUUAUCAAUCUACCAAAUGAUCACACAACAUAAAAGCAACAGAUAUGAGAACUUUUUACAACUUAAAAAUGUUCUAUAUAUAAGACAACAUGACUUUCUUACAACUAGCAUCUACAGGAUCAGCAUAACUAUAUUAUUUCAAGAACAAACCCAUCAAAUUAAAAUAUAUUGCCAAUAACUAUGAACUCAAAUAAUUUUUAAAUGAGUUAUAAACAAAAAUAAGAAAUAAACCAUCACUGCCACAUGACAUAAAAAUCAAACUUUAUGUAUCAAGUAUGUUAACAAUUCCAAAUAAAGUAUAAAUAUUAAAAGAAAAUGUUGAAUUUUCCAUAACACUCAAACAAUUAAUUUUCAUUAGUUCAAUCUAAUUAAUAAGCUAUUAAGUAUGUGUAUAACUGUCAAAAACUAAAAACAAGUCUAGGACGAGUGUAUUAAAGGGCAAUUCUCCAAUAGUUAACUAGUUGGAAAUAUAUACAACAACAUUUGUUGCACAAUAAUAUCAAAUCCUAAAUGCUAUGUGACUUCUUUAGUCAAUAGCCUCACAAUGAGACAAAUUAAUAAAAUGAUCCAACAUUGUUUCAAAAUAGCCUCACAAUGAGACAAAUUAAUAAAAUGAUCCAACAUUGUUUCAAAAUUCACAAGUCGUUCAAAACACAUUUAUUAAUAGUGUACUAUCAAUAGUUUUAUGCUGAAACAAAUAGCAAAUUGUUAAUAAAUUAGAAUUGCAAAAUAAAUGUUCUAUAGCAAAUAAUAGAGAAAACCCAGAUUGUAGCAUAAUGAAUGCAUACGCAGCUGAAGAAAAUUGAUAUAUAAUUCCCAUAGAUGAAGUUCAACUACAAACAAUAAGUAAAAUUAUAUAAAGAUCUAAUGCAUAAACUAGUGUAGCUAUAACUGAGUAUUCAUAAGGAUAAUAUUUGUUUUAUCCAAUUCUCUAUGAAUAUUUAAUUAGGAACUCCCACAACCAUUAUUAAAGAGCCAUGAAAUCACUCUCUUCAAUUUCAAAUCCACAAGUUCAAGAAGCUUCAUUACAUUACCAGCAAGAAAGAUUAUUAGUAAAUAAGUAAGAUAAUGACCAAAAUCAUGUGGGUAAUUUGUUUUUUAAAACCCUAAUGCAUAUAACCCUAACAAUUAUGCACCAUAAAUUCUCUUUAUAAAGUAAAAAUCAAGUGUAAAUGUGGUUAAUGACCUUUAGUUCGGUGAAUUUCCAGCCUUUAAUUCGGUGAUUUUGCAACCUUUAAUGUGGUGGAUGAACUUGCAACAGCAGGCGUUGUGUAAGGUAGCUUGUGAAGGUAGAUUUUGAAAUUUGAAGAAUUAAAUUGGGGUAAUUCUGUAAUUGCACUUUGAAAAAGGUAUACAAAAGAAAUUUUGAAUUAUGGGAGUGUAGUUGGAUAAAUACCUAACCUUUAGGGUAUGGUGGGGACAAAUCCCUGUUUAUGUUAUGGGGUUGCCAAUUUCAUGUGAUAAGGAACUUUAUUUCAAAUCAGGGUUGGCAAAUUAAGGCCGGCCCAAGCCCAUUAGAUAAGAAUGGCAAGGGUUGGGCCUGGUCGGGCCGUUGAGGUUUUACUAAUUUUUUCAAAUUUUUUUAAAACUGUUGUAAACUUGAAAUGAGUUAAUAGUAAUCAAGUUGUUAUAAUAAAAAAAUGAAUUAAAGAAAAUAAAUAUUUCAAAAUAAAAUAAUAAAUAAAGUAAAUAAAAUUUAGACAUUUAAUUUUUUAGUAUUGAAUUCUCUAAUACAAGUAUUCUCUUAAUUAAUUAACACUUAAAAAGAGAGUAUUAUAAUUUUAAUUUUUUUAUUCAUUAUUGAUAUAUAAAUUAGAAAUUUAAGAGUAUUUUUUUAUUUUUUCAUUAUUUUUCAAAUUUGAAUUUAUUAUUCUAAUUUAUAAUUUUUUUUAAAAAAAAAUAGAAAGCUUGAGCUUAGCCCAAACUUUUUUUCCUAAGUCCUUACCCAAGCCCUCAUGUGGGAAGCCCGAGCCAAAGCCCUUGGGAAUGGGUUGGGCCGGCGCGAGCUUUUUUGCCAUCCCUAAAAUAAAUAAAUGUAAUUGAUCAUAAUUUUAUGCGAAGUAACUUAUUGUGAAAUUGACCCUUUAAUUACAGGAUAAAUCACACCCCAAGACCUAACUCAGACUCCAAGAUUUAAGAAUUAAACCUAAGCUAAUCGAAACAACAAAUAGAUCAAAGAACACAACCCAAAGAAUCAAGAACACACAAGAACUUAAGUGGUUCAACACCUUUGAGGGUGCCUACAUCCACUGGAGAAAACAACUCAGGGAGCAACUUUAUAAAGCUUCACGAUUACAGAGAUGAUAACUAGCAAUAUAGAGAACAGUCAGAAAAGCUUUACUCUCACUAUAGCUACCUUAUCACUCUUCUCUUGAUACCUCAAGACUACACCAGAACCAGCAUCUAUAUAUCAGUUGUUGCUGGCGUUACAGAUCCAGAAGUUUCCCUCCAAAAUCAACAGCCUUAACUAACUGAUCACAAGCUUCUCACGUGCAACUUAAAUCCUCCCUUAAACGACAACAAAUCUCACCGUUUAAGCUUUAACAGGGAUGCGUCCACCACGUGAGUGUUUAAGGAUUUGAACGACAUCACUAAUUCGUCGGUGCUGGAUCUUUGAUUAGCUGAAACGACAUGUCACUCAUCUCUACAACUUUAAAAUGACAAGUUGUUUUGACGAGUUUGAGUUCAUUUCAACAAUCUCCACCUUGAACUCAACACUCACAGCUCCCUCCUUUCACAUUGUCUUCUCCCCAUCUGCAGCUUUUUAAAACCUGCAGAUACCUGCUAAGUUCAUGCAAAGAAUGAACUUGGCAGUAGGUACAACCUUAGUUAACAUGUCAUCUGGAUUUUUUUCAGUAUGAAUCUUCAGCAACUUCACAGCUCCCCUUGAUACCUCAAGUCUCACGAAAUGCAACUUAACAUCUAUAUGUUUUGUUUUCUCGUAAUAGGAUUGAUCUUGCUAAGAUGUAUAGCACUUUGGCUGUCACUGUAUAAUGUUACAGACUCUUGCUUAGCUUCCAACUCAGCUGUUAUGCCUUUCAACCAAAUUAUUUUUUUAAAGCUUCAGCUGCUGCAGUAUACUCUGCCUCUGUAGUGGACAAAGCCACUACAUUCUGUAAUGUUGCUUUCCAGCUAACUGUGCAGCCUCUUAGAGUAAACAAAUACCCUAUUUGUGACCUCAUUUUAUCAAGAUCACCAGCAAAGUCAGCACCUACAUAACCAAUUAGUGUGUCCAUUUUUAUCUUCUCCACCACAAACCAAACCAACCUCCAAAGUCCCCUUCAGAUACCUCAUAAUCCACUGAACAACUCUUCAUUGUUCAUAUCCUGGAUUUGCCAUAAACCUGUUCACCAAACUCACAGCAUGUGAGAUAUCAGGUCUGGUGAGUACCAUGGCAUACAUGAGGCUACCUACUGCACUUGAAUAGGGCAUGCAUGUCAUUUUCUAUUGUUUUGCUUCAGUUUGAGGGCAUUGAACAGCAGAUAACUUGAAAUGGUUUGCCAGUGGUGUUUGCACUUGCUUAGCAUCAUUCAUUCCAAACCUCACCACAACCUUCUUUAUGUAGCUCUGUUGAGUUAAGAACAAAAUCUUCUUGCUUCUAUUCCUGAUAAUAGCCAUCUUCAGAAUUCUCUUAGCUUUUCCAAGUUCCUUCAUUUCAAAUUUCCUGCUCAAAAGUCUCUUUAGAUGAUUGAUCUCUUCCCUGUCAUGGCAUGCAAUCAGCAUGUCAUCUACAUACAGCAGAAGAUAUAUCAUUCCCCCUCCACUUGUCUCUUUGAAGUACACACAGCAAUCAUAGUUGCACCUGUUAAAGACGUGUUAUCAUAAAGUUAUCAAACCUCAGAUAUCAUUGCCUAGGUGAUUGCUUUAACCCAUAUAGAGACUUCUUAAGUAAGCAGACACAAUCUCUCUUUACUAGAUGUCACAUACCCUUCUGGCUGCUGUAUUACAAUUUCCUCUUGUAAUUCACCAUGUAAGAAGGUUGUUUUUACAUACAUCUGCUCAAGAUGCAUAUCCUGAACAGCCACAAGUGCAAGAAUAAUUCUGAUGGACGCAUGUCUCACUACAGGGGAAAAUAAUUCAAUGAAGUCAAUUCCCUCCUUUUGUAUGAAGCCCCUUGCCACCAGUUUAGCCUUAAAUCUUCUAGGCUGAGCUCCAGUAUCCCAUCUUUAAUCUUAAAGAUCCAUUUACAGCUUACUGUCUUCAUCUUAACUGGUUUUUCAAUUAAUUUCCAAGUCUUGUUUUUCAUCAAGGAUGCCAUCUCUUCAUUCAUUGCCCUCUUCUAUUACAGCUUGUUUUUGCCUGUGAUAGCUUCUUGAUAAGUCCUAGGUUCAUCAUUAUUCAGCUCUUGAGCAGCAGUCAAAGCAUAUGCAGUUAGAUCAACUAUUGCAUAUCUUUUAGGUGGUCUUAUAGUCCUUCUCUUUCUGUCUCUUGCCAAUUGAUAAGUGUCCUCUUCACUUUCUGCUUAUUCAUGUUCAACACUAGCUUCAGGUUCUAUUUUAGCACCCUCAAUUUCAGGCUCAAGUUCUUUCAAGUUGUGAGGCUCCACUUGAAAUUUCACUUUAUCAGUCUCAGCACCUGAUUUAGAGUUGUUAACAGGUCUCUUUGAAUUAUCCAAAAUCUCAUCUUCAUGGAAGGUUACAUCUCUGCUUAUCAUGCACUGUAGUGGCUUUGAGUCAACACACCACAAUCUAUAGCCUUUGAUACCCUCUGGAUACCCUAGAAACCUGCAUUUUAAUGCUCUUGGUUCCAGUUUGCCCUGCUUUACAUGAGCAUAUGCUGUGCAGCCAAAGAUUCUGAGUUUUGAAUAAUCAACCAUCCUCCCUGACCACAGUUCCAUUAGUGUUUUACAACCUAUAGUAGUUGAUGGGCUCCUAUUGACUAGAUAGCAUGUUGUGUUUAAAGCUUCUGCCCAAAGGGUUUUUGGAAGCUUAGAAUAGAUCAGCAUACACCUUACCUUCUCUACCAAGGUUCUGUUCAUCCUCUCAACAAUACCAUUUUAUUGAGGAGUAUAUGUGACAGUUUUGUGCCUCUGAAUACCAUUCUUCUCACAGAAUUCUUCAAACAGCUUAUUGCAGUACUCCAAGCCAUUAUCUGUCCUCAGAGUUUUCACCUUCAAACCAGUUUGGUUUUCAACAAAAAUUUUCCAUAUUUUGAAUUUUUCCAGAACCUCAUCUUUACUUUUAAGUGCUGAUAACUCUAUGAAAUGAGAGUUAUUAUGACAAUUCUAGACUUAAAUCAAGAUCACUUAGAGAGUAAAUGAUGUGUUUUUAUUGCAUUUUUGUUACAUUGUGCAUAAACAUUCAUUUUAGUUCAGUCUUAAUAAGUUUUGCUUGAUUUAAAGUAAUUCGUGCUCAAAUUGUGUACAUAAUUGUAGGUUUCCAGAAGCUUAUAAUUCAUGGAAGGAAUGCUGAUGCAAUAGGCUGGCAAAAAGGAGGAAGAACAUGGCUAUAAAAGAAUUAAAACAAAUCUGGAACAGUGUAGUUGCUGUAGCCGUUGCUGUAGCAAUCCUGGAACAACGACAGAGAAAAUUUCGUGCGGGAUACUUGCAGAAUUGCGAUCUGCAGUUUCCUAAUCUGACUUAUGUGCGCCCUAGGCUUCCGUUUACCCUAAUUUUCAACUAUAAAAGAAGCACACGUCAUAAGAAUUAAAGGGGGCCGUCACCCAAGGAGAAAAACACAAAGAAACAAAAGAAAAAUAAGAUUCAAGAGAGAGAUUGAAGGCUACACAAGAGGAAAAAUUGCAGAGAUCAAUUGGGAGCUCAAUCCUUCUUAUUCUUCUCUUAUUUUCUCAUUUUCUAUUUAUUUAUGGGGAUGUGUUUCAUGGUUGAAACUUUAUUUUUUAUAUUUCUUUUACAAAUCAUGAACUAAAUUUAUUUGUGGUUGAGUGAUAAAUAAUCUUGAUGGUUUAUUGACUGAAUAUAUGUGUUGCUACAUGUUUGCUGUAGCAGUUUGUUUUGAUAGUAUUUAUUUUUAUUCAUUAUUUCGGUUGAUCACCCAUUUAAUGAUACAAGUUAGGAGAGAGCAGCAAAAUGGCCUAUCUUAGUGGAACAUAUCAGAACAAUACUUGAUCUUAAAUUGAGUUUCCCAGAUUGAGUUUUACUUGAGUCCCAAAAGGGCCAUGCUUGAUUUAAUAUUAGUGAUGAACUAGACAUAAGGAUUCACCUUGUAGGGUAAAUAGAACCUAAGCGUGUAAUGCUAUAUCUUAUGUUGGCAUAGCAACUGAUCACUGUUAGGUAGCAUAUAUAUAUAAGAUAUCCAACAUGCGACGGCUGAGGAUACAUAAGGAUUCUGCCCAGUGUUGUAGCAAAUACUGCAGCAAUUGAGCCAACCAUUAGAAAAUAGUCAAGACCAUUAAGAGAGUUUAUUUACUCAACUACUAUAUAUUUCCAUUAAUUUUAUCCUUGAGAUUGACGUGAUAAUUUACUUUAUUGCAUUUUAUUUAUUGUGUUUUUAUUUUAAUUAGUAAAUUAGUUUCAUUAAUUGUUUAUCUUAAUUUAGACACAAAAUCUGCACUGUUAAGAUUGUUGUAGCAAGUCUAAUUACAUCAAUCCAUGUGGAGAUGAUCUUGAAUACUGAUCACUUUAUUACUUGUUGUGUACACUUGCACAUUGACACUAAUAGCAUUAGUAUUUAUACACCAACAAGUGCAAAGACCCAAACCAUCCUUGAAAAAUCAUCUAUAAAAUUCAAAAAGUAUUUACACCCACCUAGUGAAUUCACUUGUGCAGACCCCAACAAAUCAGAGUGUAUGUAUCAAAGUUUCUCUUUGGUGGUAUGAGCUGCAGUCUCAAACCUUAGCCUGGAAGACUUUCCUAGAAUGCAAUCUUCACAGAACCCCAAAGCUCUUAUCUUAUCUUUCCCAAACACUCAUUGUUUUUGUAGCUCUCUCAAACCUCUUUCACUCAUAUGCCCCAUCCUCAAAUGCCACAACAUUGAUUUGUUCCCUCCACUGUCAGUUAAACUUACCUCUCCAACAGCAGUAUGUCCAUCCAACACAUACAGGCCAUUUUGUUUUAUACCUUUCAUGAUCACCAUUGAGCCUUUAAUUACACUCAAUACCAUUUUUUCAGCCUUAAUCACAUAACCUGUUUGAUCUAGCAUGCCAAUUGAAAUUAAGUUCCUUUUUAAUUCAGGAACAAACCUAACUUGUGUUAAUUCCCUUACCACACUAUCAAACAUUCUAAGGCUAACAGUCCCAAUACCAAUCACUUUACACAUUGAGUUAUUACCCAUUAAAACCAUGCCCCCAUCACAUGGCUGAUAUGAAGUAAAGUAGCUUCUAUUUGGACACAUAUUGAAGGUACAACCUGAGUCAAGGACCCACUGACCUUGAGGUUUUUGAUUUGUGGCAAUGAGCACUCCAGCUGUUUCAAAGCUACCUUCUUCUUAUGUGGCUAUAGCUGCAUUUCCUAUCAUUUCCUUGAUUUCUUUAUUCUUGUUCUUCCUUUUAGGGCAAUCUCUUUUGAAAUGCCCUUCUUUAUGGCAAUAGAAACACUUCAAAUUCUUCUGUUUAGAUUUUGAUCUGCCUUGUUUCUUUCCCUUACUUUCUCUCUUCUCAGGCCUGUCUCUAGCCAUCAGUCACUCACUUGAUUCACUUUCUGGAUUGUCUUGCUUAUCUUUUAGUUUCGUAGUGCCAAGAGCAGAUUUAACCUCUUCUAGGGAGAGUGUUUGCCUCCCAUACAACAAUGCAUCCACAAAGUGCUCGUAUGACUUUGGCAAAGAACUGAUUAACAGCAAAGCUUUGCUCUCAUCACUCAGUCCUUCAUCAAUAGUCUCUAGUUCAUCACAAACCUUAUUGAACUCAUCUAUAUGCUCAUUUAGUGAUGCUCCUUCAAUCAUCCUUAGUGAGAACAUCUUCUUUUUUAUGUAAAGUCUAUUUGCUAAAGACUUUGUCAUAUAUAGAUUCUCCAACUUGGCCCAUAAAUCAACAACAAUCUUUUCUUUAGCCACUUCUCGGAUUACAGAGUCACCAAGACUCAGAAUGAUUGUGCUUCUGGCUUUCUUGUCUAUCUCUGCUACUUGUUCUGGGGUCUUGGAUGAUGAAGCCUCACUCCCUUCAAGCUUAGUGACUGGAUCUAUGGCAUCUCAUAGGCCUUGAGUGAUCAACAAAGCCUCUAUCUUGAUUUUCCACAUGUUGAAAUCAUUCUGCUCCGUAAACUUCUCAAGAUCCACUUUUGAACCCAUUCUUGAACCUUGAAAUCAGAGUUAAAGCUCUGAUACCAAUUGUUGUGAAAUUGACCCUUUAAUUACAGGAUUAAUCACACCCCGACCCUUUAAUUACAGGAUUAAUCUCACAACAAUUAAAGUAACAGGGGUAAUCUUAUGGGACCCAUAGACCUGCAAUAUGGCAGGUUCUCUAUGAUCAGGCGAUGCUUCAGUAUGUUGAGUUGUUGCGUCUGCUCUAUGUAAAUUUGUUGUGGUAAGGAAAUUAGUGGCUUAGUUAAUAGAUUACUUUCUUUGAAACUAAUAAUGAUAAUUCAACUACUUUUGUGUUCAUUAUGAAGAAAACAAGAUGAUAUUGAUCUUUGACUAAACAAAAAAGGAGAGAGAAAUCCAUGAGAGCGAUUAUUAAGCUAAUUAAGUAUAAAUAAGAACACUAAUACACUUGCUAUAUUUCCUCAAUUUCAUCGAUCAAUUAUUCAAUACAAUAUCUUCAACAUAUCUAAUUAAGCUUAAGGGAUGAUGGCGGACGAGAUCAUUCUAUUAGAUUUCUAGGUCAGCACGUAUGAGAUGAGGGUCAGGAUUGCAUUAGCAGAGAAGGGCAUCGAAUAUGAAUACAGAGAACAGAACUUGUUGAACAAAGGACCCAUGCUUCUGCAGAUGAACCGGGUUCACAAGAAAGUCCCGGUUCUCAUCCAUAAUGGCAAACCAAUAUGUGAAUCAACUAAUAUUGUGCAGUACAUUGAUGAAGUCUGGAAUGAUAAAGCUCCUUUGCUUCCCUCUGAUCUUUAUUUGAAAGCUUAAGCUAGACUCUGGGUUGAUUAUAUUGACAAGAAUGUAAGUUCAUUAUAAUCGAUAGGGUUAUUUAUUAUAUAUGGCAAUUUUUUAUUUCUCUCUAUCUUUUUUUUUCUUUUAUUUGAUAUAUAAUUUUUUUUUGUAAGUUUUGAUUGUGGUAUGUUGGUACCAAAACAAUCUAAGUUUAGAUAACAUUUAUUUAUUUAAUUGUUAUAAGAAAUUUAAAUAGAAUAGAUAUCUAAUAGAUCUGAAUUUAAAUUUCUGAGUAAUAUUUUUGUUUUCAAUUUUUUUUAUAUAAAUAGAUUGUUGUUUUCAAUUUUUUUAUAUAUAAAUAAGAUUGUUGUAAAAAUACCGAGUAAGAUGAAGGUUUUAAUAAUGUUUAAAAAAUGAUAAGUUAAAUUUUUUAAUUUAACGAUAUACAAAUAUGUUAAAUAAAUUUUUGUUCUUUGAAGAAAUGGUCAAAUGGUUUUAAAAUAAUUCUAUUUAAUUGGACACUUAAAAUUCAAGUAUUGAUUUGGACUUUACUCGUCCUAUAUCUACACUAAAAGAAAAAUAAAAAAAAUAGUGCUAGUUUUGAAUGAAGCUAUUUGUUGCUGUAUGAAUCAUGAAUGGUAUGAAUUGUGGUAGAAUAAAUUGCAGAUUCAUACCGAUGGGAGGGAGAUGCGGGCAGUAAAAUUAGAAAGACAGGAGGAAAUGACAAAGGAAUUCAUUGCAAUUUUGAAAACAUUGGAAGAAGAGCUUGGAGACAAACCUCAUUUUGAAGGCGAAAAUUUUGGGUUCGUGGAUGUGUCUUUGAUUCCUCUCUACUGUUGGUUUCACUCAUAUUAAACAUUGGGUAAAUUCAGGUUAGAGACUGAGUGCCCCAAAAUUAUUGCAUGGGCAAAAAGAUGCACGCAGAGAAAGUCUGUUUCCAAGUCUCUUAAAGAUGAGAAGAAAGUACUCGGAUUUGUUCAGAGGUGAGGAAAAUGUUCGGUGUGGAUUAAAGAAAUAUCACAAAUGGGUAUGCGCAGGGAAAUAACAAAUUGGAAAAAGGAAAAAAAAAACAAUGAAAGACUAGAAGCACAAUCAUGCUAGUACUAUUCUCUUAGAGGAUCAGACUACGGUGUAACUGUGGUACUGUGCUACAGUUGCAUCCAGUCGUUGGAUGCACUUAAAUUAGUGGUGUCUACUGGCAUCCAACGGCUGGAUGCAACUGUGGUACGGUACCACAGUUGCACCACAUAUUUUCUCUCUCUUGGAUUAUAUUGAUGUUUUGCAGGCUUUGUAUUUGUUUCUUGUAUGGUGUAGUAUUAGUAGCACUUUGAUGGACAAUUAAACAUGAUAACCUGCUAACUUGCUAAUUAUACUCUUCCAUUACAUAUUCAGGAACAAAUGUUUUUAUUCUCAAAUUUGAGAGAGAGAGAGACUAAGAGUGUGAGAGAAAGACCAAAGCUCGGGCCUAGUUUGAUAUCGUUUUCUAAAAUGAUGGUAGAUAUUUUAAUUCAAUUACAUAUACUGAACACUCUCCUAUACUUGCAUUAGAUAUUUUUAAGGCAGGGAAAACUUCCAGAGCCGCCUUAUUAAUCAUUGAAAAGUUUCUAGUAGUACUGGGCUGACAUGCGUCUUCCUGUACUCUUAACUAAUCCAAUGAAAUUGACAUUUUCCGAAAUGUUGAAUUUAUUUAAGCUUCGGCUCAGGUUCUUGACCAAUUUGUUCAUUGAAGUGACAAUUGAGAUUUCAAAUAAACAAAUGGUUUCUUUUCUUUUUAAUGUCUGGCUAGAUGGUCUUUUCUUUGUCCGGCAGUGUUACUUUGCUCGGAGAAAUUUGCUGAAAUCAUCCAGGACAGGUUAAAUACAAAAUCAAUUAUUAAUCCUAAUCAUUUUUAAUUCAAAUGAUGAAAUUUUAUUGUUAAUACAUUAGUUGAUUCAAUCUAAAUAUCCCGACUGAAUAAGUAUAACAUUAUUUAUAUAAAAUUGAGAUGUUUUUUAUUUGGUUUUCCUGGGAUAUUUUUGGGCAAAAUCCCCGGACAAAGUACUUUUUUUUCCUGUUCUUUAAUUAUCAACAUUUAAAGGAAAAAUACUUUCUGAGUAGUAUCUUAACAACAGUUGGGAUGAGUAAAAGAAACGUUUUGGCUUAAUAAUAUCCUUUGCUAGAAGUCGUAAUAAUGAUGUAUAUUUUCUUUACAAACUGAAGAAUAAGUGAGUGAGUUGGAAAACUGAUAAUUAUAGGCAUGACGUGUCAUAUUUAUUAUAAGGAAAUUGGAAGUAUUUGCUAUGUUUUAAGGAGGACAACACAAAAACUUAAUUUUGAGGGACAACAGCAGCUCAUUUGAAGGAGGGCAAAUGGUCCCUCUCUGUUGCUUAUUACGUGCCGAUGCAGUCAUGUCUUUCAACCACACUCCGUUGGUCCCUCUAAAACAUGCCUCGUGUCCCAUUUUGAGCCACAUUUAGUCCACCUUUUCCAAGCACUGAAUGACACUCAGUGUUAUGCUUUUUGUUUUUUUUUUAAUUAUUUAUUUAUUUAUUUUUAUUUAAAUUCUUAAUAUUAUAUAUAUAUAUAUAGUAGUUUUCCAAUCAAGGAUUCCUGACUUUAAUUCAACUAAAAGAUAAAAAAAUUUAAAUUUUAAUACACUAUAUGACAAAAAAAAUACAUUGGAGUCUGUGUUUAUUUUAUUUUUUAGUUGAUCCCUGACUUUAUUAAAACCAAGGAUCCCUAAUUGGAAAACUACUAUAUAUAUAUAUCCAGGAUCCUGGAUCAUAAUAAUAAUCCGGGAGAGUGUUUGUGGCCAUUGGAUUUGAUCCAACGGUCACUUUAUAUUUUCUUUAUACAACACUGCUUUCCGACAUAUGGACCCACAUUGCAGAGUUUCUAUAAUUUUUGAAAACUGAAUAAAUAAAAGAGGAAGCUCAAUAGUCCCAAUUCUAGAAACAUGCAGCUGGAAAUAAAUAAAAACUUUUACACAACACCAUUUAAGAAACAUGCAGCUGGAAAUAAAAAAUUCCAAAUUGAACAAAUUAAAUUUAGUUUGGCAAAUGCAGCGACUGUUUGUUAUCAAAUUGAAUCACUCGUUUGGAAUUUGUAGCUACCGGAGCUUCGUCAUUGCAGCGUCGCCAUUGAGUCUUUUUUUUUCAAGUGAGUUGCAUGCUGAUACAUAUUCACCCUCUUUAAUUAUUUAUUUUAGCUCCCUAAAUUUGUGUUUUUUCUUCUUUUUUUCCCCUUAUUUCAGUUGUAGUAAAAUGAAUGCUCAGAAUGUGGUUGGCCAGUCAAACUGUGAGGAUAGUCUCUACGUACCAGAAGUAGCGCUCGACCGUAAGCCACAUAAAGGUCAAGAAUUUGACACUUUAGAUGACGCUUAUGAAUUUUACAACAAAUAUGCUAAAGAGGGUGGUUUUAGUAUCCGAAUUAAUUCGAGUAAGAUAUGCAAAGAGAGUAAUGACAUAAUAAGGAAGGAAUAUGUGUGCUUUAAAGAGGGACAAGCAAGACAAUCCAAAGUUGUUAAUCGUAAGAGACGACGCGGUAUAAUACGAGGUGGUUGUAGUGCAAAAUUAGUGGUGGUUAAAUCUGAAUUCGGUAAAUAUAUGGUUCGUAUAUUUGUUGAAGAGCAUAAUCACGCAUUAUCUUCACCUCGAAGGGUUCAUCUAUUGAGGUCUCAUCGUUCAAUGUCAGUUGUUCAGAAAAACUUAAGUCAACAAUUAGCUGUAGUGAGCAUACCAACAUGUCAGCAAAUCGGUCUUUUUGAAUUGCAGGCAGGGGGCUUGCAAAAUAUGGGAUGUGUACAGAGAGACUUUUAUAAUAAUGAUAGAAAUUUAUGGAAUGAAUUGAAGGGUCAUGAUGCAGAUAUGUUGUACGAGCAUUUUCAGUCUGAGAAGGAAAAGAACUCAUCAUUCUUUUACAGUAUCAAAGCUGGAUGUGAUGAUCGAAUUACACAUUGUUUUUGGGCUGAUGUAGUUUGCAGGCGGGCAUACAAGUUUUAUGGUGAUGUGAUUGUGUUUGAUACUACGUACAACACCAAUCGAUAUAGUAUGAUUUUUGCACCUUUUGUUGGGGUUAAUAACCAUGGUCAAACUAUUGUUUUUGGUUGCGGUUUUUUAAGUGAUGAGACAACAGAAUCAUUUCUUUGGUUGUUUGAACAAUUUAAGGAGGCCAUGCCUGGUGAUGAUCCAAAAAUGAUUAUUACUGGCCAGGAUCCAGCAAUGACAAAAGCUAUAUCUCUAGCCUUUCCAUUCACUUUUCAUAGAUUUUUCAUUUGGCAUAUAUUGAACAAAUUUUCAGAGAGAUUAAGCAAAACAGUCCAUAUGGAAAAUUAUAGACAUUUUCAAAAAUGCAUUUGGGAAUCAAAUGCUGUAGAAGAGUUUGAUGCACUGUGGAAAGAUGUUAUAGAUAAGGUAAAAUUAACAGAGAAUGAGUGGCUACAAGGGGUGUAUGAAAUCAGAUCAAAAUGGGUGCCUGCGUAUGUGAACCAUGUGUUUUCAGUUGGGAUGUCAAGUAGCCAACGAGCUGAAAGUAAUCAUGCAAUCUUUAAGAGGUAUGUAUCAAAAACAAAUUCGCUUCUUGACUUUGUUUUUCGAGUUAAUAGAGCACUUUCACAACAACGUCAUGAAGAGUUGAUUGCCGACAACAAAGAUUUGAAUGAAAGAUCAAUGUUGAGAUUACCAUUACAAAUUGAAAAGCAAAUGUCUGAAAUUUAUACAUGUGAGAUUUUUUAUUUGUUUCAAGAUGAAUUAUGGAAUAGCCUGUUACAUGCAAUUGAGCUUGUUAGAGAAAAUGAAGAUUAUUUGGUGUAUAAUGUUGUGAAUCAAGAAGAUGGUGUUUCAAAAGUCUUUGAAGUAGUUUAUGACAAAAAGUUAGAUUUUGUUUCAUGUAUUUGCAAGAAAUUUGAAAGUGAAGGUAUCCCGUGUACACAUAUGCUAGCUUUGUUUAAGAAAUUGCAAAUUUCUUUUAUGCCUAAUAUUUAUAUUCUACAAAGAUGGACUAAAGCUGCCAAACUUGAGAGGGUUAUUGACGGAGAUGGUGUUGAAAUAAAUGAUUGUUCAAACAAAUCAAUUUUAUUAAAGAGGACCAAGUUAUUUCAGCUUGCUUCGAAUGUGAUUGAUAAAGCUGUUUUGAGUGAAGCAACAUCUAAACUUGUCAUUGAGAACUUAGAAGAUGCCCUGGAAAAGGUUAAGUUAGUCAUGAAAAGUUGCAAAAGUGAGGGAGUAUUAGAAAAGAAUAGUGGUAUGCAACAACCACACUUUAAUGAACCACUUCAGGUUAGGGCUAAAGGGUGUGGGAAAAGACUUAAAGGCGGAAAGGAAAAAGCAAAAGAGAAAGCGAAAGGGAAAGACAAAGGAAGACGCUGCAAUGGAUGUGGUCUAGUUGGUCAGUCACACGAUAAAAGAAACUGCCCCUUGCUCAUCAAGACGUAAAUGUGUCUUUUUCAUAUUUAUUUUGUAUUAAGCUUAUCACGACUUUCAUUUUUUUCAGUUUUUCAAUAAGAUGUUGUAUUAUAUGAUUUAGAUUAGAGCUGAAUACAGAAAGAAACAUAAAUUCUUCUGAUUCAAGUGAUGGAAGCUAUGCUUCCACAGGUAAUUUGAUUUCAUUCAAGCGUGUCUUCAUUAUACAAUUUAAUUUUUUAAUAUUAAAAGUAAUUGAAUAAAUCUAUCAUUAACUUUUUUUUUAACUUAUUGUAACAGAUUACCCAUGACCUUUUGUUUUCCGGAUAGGUGUUCGUCCCUCUUUUUCUUAUUCCUCUUCUCCCAGAUCGCUCCUUAUAAAGUAAAGAGCCUAGCCAAGAUCUCUACAUCUAUGUCACUUCUGGAACUGUCAAAAUAAUUGGGGGUCAAAAUGAAUCGAGAGCAGUAAUGUUGUUUCAAUUAUUGUAGCAGUUUGCGUAUUUUUUAUGUUAUAUUGUGUAGUACUCUCGUUUGUCAAAUGUGAGAAUUUUUUCAAUUUAACUUUUUAAAGAUGUAAUUUGAUGUUAAAGCUUGUAAUAUAUGCAUGAGAACUCAUUGGCUUUACCUUUUGAUUUAUGUAAAUUUUGAUGUCAAAGCUUGUGAUAUAUACUCUAGUUUGAUAAGAUAGGAACUUCUUGGUAGAUGCCACUACACAGCACUGGUGCUUUGGCAAAAGUGACCAAACUAUGAACAAAUAUCAAUCCAAAUUGUGUUUUAAUUUCCAUUACAAGCCUAAAAGACGUGGAACUGUGGAAGCACCUACUGUAAAAGCCAUAAAAUUAUGCACUCAUCAUAAAAGCCAAAUCCACGACGGAAAGUACAAUAUAUGCACCAACAAUUCAAUUUGCAACCAGCAUGAAGGAAAUCCCAUUAAAAAAUGCCACACGUUUGAACUGAUACAAAUUUCUAGAAUAAAUUAAAAAUCAAUAAACAUGACAACUUGAAAAUCAAAUUCAUUGACAAUAUAGACUAAUAUUUUAACUAUAUUUGCACUUCAAUGAAGAAACUCGACUGCGGCGCUGCUAUGACGGAGCUUCAUUUCUCUCUUGCUGAUCAAAAAGCUGUAUUUUCGCUUCAAUUCUGGGUUAAGUAGUUCAGUUUAGGAUUUAAUUUGUUGCAUUUGCCAAACUAAAUUUAAUUUGUUAAAUUUGGAAUUUUUAUUUCCAGCUGCAUGUUUCUUAAAUGGUGUUGUGUAAAAGUUUUUAUUUAUUUCCAGCUGCAUGUUUCUAAAAUUGCGACUAUUGAGCUUCCUCUUUUAUUUUUUCAGUUUUCAAAAAUUAUAGAAACUCUGCAGUGUGGGUCCAUAUGUCGAAAAGCAGUGCUGUAUAAAGAAAAUAUAAAGCGACCGUUGGAUCAAAUCCAAUGGCCACAAACACUCUCCCGGAUUAUUAUUAUGAUCCAGGAUCUUGGAUCAGAAAAGCACUUUAUAUAUAUAUAUAUAAUUAUUCAGGAUGGUCUCAUUUUUUAAUAGAGACAUAAUGUUAAAUCAUGUGUCUUAAUAAAGUUAUUUUUUAAUACACUAUAAAGUCGUGCGGUUUAAUAAUAUUAAAAUCUAACUCUAUCAAAUCGCAUGACUUAAAUGCGUGUCCACAUUAGAAAAAAAAAAUUAAGGGCACAAGAGAAGGGAAGAGGCUCAUUAUACAGAGAAGAAGAAUGAAAAGCUUAAGCUAAGAAAGAGUAUCAAGUACAUGAUGUAAGUUGAUAGUAAGCAAAGUGCCAGCUCACUUUAAGUUGUUGAUAUAUGUUACAAACAUUGUGUGCAUACUUAGCUCGUGUUAACCAUUUUAGUUAGUUAUGAAUUAGUUACAAUUGUAAUGCUUAAGCAAUGUGUAUAGGGUUGGCAAAAGUCCGGGUCUGGUCCGGGUUUGGGGUUGCCCGGGACUGGCCCACAUGAUACACAUAGCUACUCGAAUUUUUCAUAUGCGGGUUGGGUUAAGCUCGGCACUAUCCGGGCACAGGUUUGUUAUAUGCGCUUUCUCUGCCAGCAUAAAUUGAAUUAAAAGGAGAAAAAAGCCUGUAAUAAAUUGUUACAACAUCUUAAUUAUUUCAAUCUACUUUGUAAAUUUUAAGUAAAUAACAAAUAAAAAUUAUUUCAAUUACUACCUAAAUUCAUUAAAUUUCUAAACUAAAUUCAUUCAACCCCUAGUAAAAAUUUAAAUUCAACAUGACAAUAAUCACCAAAUAAAUCUAAAUAAAUGUAGCAUACUAACAUCCAACAUAUUACAUAAUACAUAUCAUAACUCCAAUACCAAUAACCAACAUAACAUAUGAAAAUCCCAAAAUAUCAAACACAAAUAAUUCAUAAAAGAGUCUAAAAUAUAGUAAUGUAAAAUAUGUAAAUAAUAACUUCAUGUCAAGCAGCUCGACAAUUGUGCCCCAUUAUCAUCAUAUGAAAUUACCUCCUCCCCAGCCAAAAUCUCAUCUUCUGGAACUCCACCUAAGAACAAAAAUAACGCAUUAAGAUUUAAAAGCACUUUAAGCAAAUAACUAAUACUAUAACAUAAUUCAAAUAACUUUAUACCUCGAGAAGUAGAAGCUCAAAUCUAAUUUUGAGCACACGUCAAGGAUUCCAAAGUGUCAGGAUAAAAUUUACUACGAUACAGACACAAAAAUCUGCCCCCAGUACUAAAAGCUUACUUAGAGGCAACCAUGGAUACAGGAAUGGCUAAGAUAUCCUUGGCCAACUCACCCAAAAUAGGAUAUUUGCUUGUUAAUCUUCCAAAAAGCUAAAAUAUUAAAGUUCAGAGUAGUAUCCAACAAUUCCUCAUUUAAACACCUAUCCAACUCUGACUUAGUCACCUUAACACGCUUAUUUCGACUUCAAAAUGUUUCAAACUCAUCUACAUCCCAAUACUUAUUCGGAUUCGAAGAAGAUUCCGAAGGAACAUUUUCCAAUCCAACAUCCUGCCCAUCACUCAAAACCAUUGCCUUCAUUUCAUAUUCUUUCACUAAAUCAUGACAAAGCUUACGUGCAUGCUCAAUAUGCUCAUUCGAUGUAUCACCAUAGAUCUUUGGGAAAUAAAAAUCAAUCAACAACAUCUUAUAUCUCAGGUCAAGUACUACAGCCACAACUAACAUUGGAUGAAUUUCAUUCCAAUAUUUUUCAAAAUUUUCAGCCAUAAUUCUAAUAACGGGAUUAUCAGAGGUGCGCCACCCAUUAAUUGACAUUUUCAUUUUACAUAUCGACGGAAAGAACAAAUUAGCAAUAGGGUAUUUUGUACCUGAAAACAUCUCCAUUAACAUGUAAAAUGAUCUCAAAUGCUCCACCAUUGUGGUUGCCAAAUCCCACUCACUAUCACUAGGCAAGCUCUUAUAUUGAGGCUCACGCUUUUGUAACCAAGAAAAAACACUUUUAUACUUUAGUGCUACAUCAAGCAUGGCAUAAGUAGAAUUCUAAUGAGUUGGAUAGUCUAACUUCAAAUUUUUUUUACAAUUAAUUUUCAACUGCCUAGCAGCUAGCUUAAAAGUUUCAAAUCUUUUUUGUGUUUUUGUCUAGUAACUCACUCUCUCCUUAAUCUUUCCAACCUUUUUUUCUAUAACUUUCAACCCAUCCCGCACAACCAAAAUCAAUAUUUGAGCAGUACAUCUCACAUGAAAAAAAUUAUCAUUAGAAAUUAAGGUACCAGGAUCAAACCUUAACAACAAUUUCUCCACCAUCGCAUCAUUAAUGGUAGAAUUAUCCAAUGUCACUGAAGAUAACUAUCUAUCCACGUUCUAAUCCAGCAGACAUUGCACUAACUCAUUAGAAAGGGCAUCAGCAGUAUGGGGGCUCGGGACAUAAAUAAACCUAUUAGAUAUUCAAGUGAUAGUAUUAAAUACAUAAACUUAAAAUAUUAUAACAAUUUAAACUUGAAAAGAAGUCAAAUAUAAGUAAUAAAAAAAUUGAAAGAGAAAUUAAGCAAAUAAAAAGUUUUAGACAAAUUACAUUAAGAUUCGACUAUGAAAUUUCUAGGAGUUAUCAAUGAAAUGUGCUGUGAAAACCAUGUAUCCCUUUUUUUGAUUACUUGAUGUCCAUAAAUUCAUAGUAAUAGCCACUCUACCAUGAUUUUUCUCUAAUGAAUGCAAAGUCUUAACCUUCUCAAUAUGAUAUAGCUUCAAAAUGUCAUUCUUCAAAGUGUUUCUGCUUAUUGGCCUAACCACAGGGUUGGCAUGUGCUAUCAUUUCUCUAAAGCCUUUAUAUUCCACAAAUCUAAGUAGAAGCUCAUGCAUUACCACCAUUCUUGCAAUCAAACUCUGCAAAACAUUUGGAUCGAAACUGCCAUAGCCAAUCCCACAAGUCUUAUUCUUUCUUUUGAGCACUUUAAGACUUCCCUGAAGUGCUUCCUCUAUUUUCGGUUGAUUCUUUGAAAAACUAGAUUCCACGUGUCUGUUUAAACUCGUGGUCCCUGAUGUGUAUUUGGCUUCUAAAAUUGCAUUACAAUGCAUGCACUUUGCCUUUUGUUCUCCAUUAACAAUUACUUUUGUAAAGUGAUCCCAAGCUUUAGAGACUUUCUUUCCCUUUUUAUUUUGAGCGCUUUUUGCCUCUUUCUUUCCCUUCUUAUCAUUAACGGUUGAUAAUGAAAUUUUUCAUCCUCAUUAUCAUUGUUAUCUUCAACAUUACGGAAUAAAUUUGGAGCAUUCGAUGAAUUAAUUUCUACAUUGUUUGACUGUGACAUCGCACUGCUGUUUAUUAUAGAAAAAUAAUAAAUAAUCAUACAAAUUACAUAGUUAUAAUAUUAUGUAACAAAAUUAAUUUAAAAGCAACCUAAAUGCUAAAAUUAGCUCCUAUUAAUAAAAAAUUAUCAUACAAAUUCCAUAAUUAUGAAUAUUAUGCAACAAAUUAACUUAAAGCAACCUAAAUCUAAAUUGAGCUCCUAUUAAUAAAAAAAAUCAUUAUGUCAUAAAAUAUUACAUAAUUAUAAAUAUUAAGUAAUUAAGUUAGAGCAACCUAAAAUCUAAAUUGAGCUCCCAUUAAUUAAAAAUAAUCAUACAACCAUGGAAUCCAAGAAAAACAGUAAGCAUAUAUAUAACACCUAAUAAUAAUAAUAAUGAAAAUUUCAUCAUUUUUUUAAAAAAAACAACAAAAAAAAAUGAUAAUACCUCGUGGCUGUGAUGGCGAAGUUGCCGCUGAGAAGGUGACAAAACAAUGGAGUAAGUCCAGCUAUGAUGGCUAACGCCGUCGCGUGGUGACUAUCGUUGAGAAGAUGACCAAAUGGUGGAGAGAUAAUGGUUGUGACGGCUGUGCUCUGUGAGAAAUGAAAAGAGCUAACCGAGGGAGGUAAGAGGUUCGUAAAGGGUUAAAGGCGUUGUCAACACUGUAGUGGUGGGUGGUGGGUGCUAUUAGAGAGACGGAGAGAGGAGCCGACUGUCGUGGUUCGGAGGUUGGCAGCAGCCAAUUGUUUCAGUGUGUGUGUUGUGUUUACUUUAGUCACGAUUUAGGAUUGGGGCAAUUCGGCAAAAUAUUUUUUCGCAUUUUAUAUUUUCCUUUUUUGACUUAAUAAAAACUAGGCACGGUCUGGGUUCCGGGUUCUUGGUGCUGUGACCGAACCUAUGCCCCGAUCUGCUUCUUCCAUAUAUCCGGUCCGGGUUUUACCCAGACCACAUAAAUCAAGUUCGAGCUGGGUUCGGUCUGGGUGGGCAUUUUUGCCAUCCCUAAGUGUGUAUAAAUUGAAUGUAAUCGUAACAUUUUGUUAUGAGCUCAAAUAAUAAGAAUUCUGAAAUUUUUGUAGAUAUUUUCUUAGUAACCAACAACUCCAUCUCUAUUUUCUUUCAUGGUAUUAGGGUCAUAACCAUUGCUAGUUCAAGUAGUACAACAUCAAAUCCAAAUUCAGUACUUGCAAAUCAAACAACACAGAUUUCCUUUUCAUUCAGCACUUUAGUUAAGCUCGAUCAAUCCAAUUUCUUGCUUUGGAGGAAAAAAGUUAUUUCUUCAAUAAGAGGAUAUCAAUCUGAAGAUUUCAUAUCUAGUGAUCAAAUUGUGCCAAAACAAUAUAUUUCUCAAACAGUAGCUGAUGGAUUAGUGUAGAAAUUUGAUAAUACAAUUUAUAUCAACUAGCGAGAUCAAUUUUGAGCUCUGUUCCUAAUUGUGAUAACUCAUAUGAUGUAUGAAAAUCUAUUGAGAAACAAUUUAGAGAUCAAUCAGAAGAUAAGAUAAUACAACUUCGAUAUGAGAUGAAUGUGGUUAGAAAAGAAUCCAUGUCUAUUAAAGAAUAUUGCUUGAAGGUUAAAAUACUUGCUGAUAAACUUGCAUGUGGUGGUGACUCUCUGUCAGAGAGAGAUUUAUUGAUGCAAGUUUUGAAUGGAUUGGGAUCUAGUUAUUUAGAUCUUGCUUCUAUUACUAUUGCUAAUAAAAUGACAUAUAUGAUGCAUAUGCAUUACUUUUGACACAUGAGGCUAGAUUGGGACAAAAUCACAAUGCCAAAUCAAUGUUUAAUGCCAACUAUGGAAUGAUGCACUCUAGUUAUCCUUAAACCUAGGGUAAGUGUAGAAGAUGAGGCUUCAUAUUUGGUGGUUAUCAGGGAGAUCUUCAUUCUAGAAAUGGAACCACAAUACUGGAAAAGGAAUGUUCUUUCACACAUAUCCUAGAGGUUUUCCUAUUAGUGGUAACAGUUUUGGUAAAAGACACUCACUACAGAUGUAAUUUUACAGACCCUCAUCACAUGUUAAACCUUCAUUCAAUAUGUCCCAUGGUGAAAACUCAAUGUCCAAUAUAGAUGGAUAUGAUGAGAUUAUUCCUAUUUGUCAGAUUUGUCACAAAUCUAGUCAUACACCUGAUGCUUGUUGGUAUAAGUACCUUGAGAAUUAUGUACCUCAAUUAAGGAACUUUUACCAGGGGAAAAGGUUCUAAAUCUACAUAUAUGGCUGGCUUUGAGCCAUAUACUAGAUAUGCUGGAUUUGCACUAUAUUCUGAUGACUUUUAUGCCAUGAAAGAUUCUAGUUACUAGUUGUCUAAUUUGAAUUCCAUGCCAUACUAUACAACAUUUAAUUUUUCUGCACCUGAAGUUACUUAUCUUGCUAACCUUGAAGGACUUACUGAUGAAGGGUGGUAUCUUAAUAGUGGAGAAACUCAUCAUUUAAUCAACAACAUAGCCAAUAUGAGUGUCACAGAGGAAUUUAGUAGAUCAUAUCAACUCAUCAUUCGGAAUAGACAAGGUUUGCCUAUAACUUAUAUUGAUAAUGCAUUUCUUAGUUUUAAAAGCUGAUCUGUUAAACACAAAGGCCACAUAUUCCACUUAAAGACAUUUUACUUGUACUUUCCAUUACCAAAAAUCUAUUAAGCAUUUAUAAACUUACCUUUGAUAAUAACUUAUCUAUUGAAAUUUUUGCGAACAUCUGUUACGUGAAGGAUUUUCUAAAGUGGCAAGUAAUUUUGUAGGGACUUACUGAGAAAGGACUAUACAAAUUAUUACUCAAAACAUCUUCAUUCUCUAAGUCAUCACAUCAUCCUUUCUUUUUCAGAUCAAUCCUAAUAAACCAUUGUCAAUGUUAUCUUGUUGUCAUUUCAAUUCUGUUAUUGGUGUUCAUUGAUUAACACUAAAAAGUAUACGUGUAAUAAAGAUAAAAUUAUUAGUUUUACACUUAUUGUGUAGAUUAAUGCGCUCAUUAUUUCUANNNNNNNNNNNNNNNNNNNNNNNNNNNNNNNNNNNNNNNNNNNNNNNNNNNNNNNNNNNNNNNNNNNNNNNNNNNNNNNNNNNNNNNNNNNNNNNNNNNNGAGUUGAUUUUUCAAAAGUCGAGAGAGAGUUCAGCUGAGGACUUCUUUCUUUUCUUUUCUUGUUUUCUUCUGUAUUAGUUUCCUUUUAAUAUAUUUCAAAAGUUUAUCAAAUAAAAAGAGUGUUGUGUUUUCCUCCAAUAUGGGUGGCUAAUUUUACUGAGCUGAGGUGAAGGGUGAAGCUCAAAGUUUCAAAUCAUAAAAUUAAUUACUUUCUCAAGUGAGUUUUAAGUUAUUUUAUUCUUUUCUGUCUAUUUUUAUAUCAUGUUAAUUUAUAAAUCUCACUGGAUUUUAUAGUAUUUUGACAUAAUGUCGACACAUUAAUUGUGGCACAUUAGGUACUUUAUUUCAUAUUUAUCCACACACAUAAUUAGUUGAGAAUUAAAUGAUAUAAUAAUUAACUGGUAAAAGUGAUGCUAAAAAUGAGAGAGUAUUAAAAUUAUAGUUUGAAUACUAAGAGUGGAUCAUGUAGCCUUAGCUUAUUUUUAAAUCAAUUUCAAAUAAUUUCUUUUCCCCACAAUUAAUUUUUUUAGUUUUAAAUUGACUACUGGAUUUAAAAUUCCCUGUAGUUCAACCCCGGACUCACCGGGUUAUAUUAUAACUAGACACUCUUAUACUUGAGAGUAAUACACUUUUGAGUCGUGCCAAGUUUUUGGCGCCGUUGCCGGGGAGUUUUCUAAAUUUGGUGCUAGUUUGUCUUUACUGUAUUUUUAUUUUAUUAUUAUUAUUAUUAUUAUUAUGAUUAUUAUUUGUUGUUACUAUCUUUCCAUGAUUCUAUUUUAUUCUCUUUUUGCAAAACUUCAGUUAGCACCCCUAUUCUUUACAAACUUUAACUUUAUCCAUAAAAUUUGUGAGAAACUUCAUUUUAGCCCAGAAACCUUUGCAAAUCAGUCCCCAAAUCGAAUUUAUUUCUUUAAAUUUCUGCAAUUUACUUUAUGCAUUUAUUUUAAAUGGUCGAUUCUACCGCCUGACUGUUAUUUAAAUUUUGUUAAUUUAUGUAUUUUGUUUAUAUGGUAGGUACUACCGCCUAUCAUUUUAAUUUCAGUUUAUUUAUUCUUAUAUAUUAAUUUAUUUAAUUUUAUGUUUUAUUAUAUGGCUGGUUUUAAAAUACCGCCUAAAUUGUUUCUUUUAAUUUCUUUGUUUAUGGCUGGUUUCACCACCUAAUUUGUUUAUUUUAUUUAUUUUUCAAUUUGUUUAUUUAUAUUUCGCAUUUUUGCUUAUUUAAUUUCCAGUUUAUUUUUAUUUCUGCAAUUUUCAUUUAGUGUUUUUUUUUUGCAUCAUUAGUUUAGCACACAUCAUUAGCAUUGCAUGCGUCGUUGGUCUCGUACAAAUAGUGGCAGAUUAAUUAGAAGAUCACCUUCACCACCCUUAGAUAUGGCUGACACAGGAGUUGAAAAUUUUUUGGUGCACAAAAAUGACCAAGCCUUGCAAAAUAUUCAUGAACAUCCUAGGACCCUUAGAGACUUCAUGCAUCCUACUAGAACAGGGUCACCAUCAUGCAUAGUUUUUCCCUCCUGAUGCAUCACAUUUUAAUUUCAAACCUGGUAUCAUUCAACUUCUUCAUACUUUUUCAUGGUUUUGAGUUUGAAAAUCCAUAUUUGCAUUUAAGGGAAUUUGAGGAAGCUUGUAACACAUGUACUGAUCAAAAUUGUAGCAUGAAUAUAAUCAGGCUUAAGUUUUUUUCCUUUCUCACUAAAGGAUAAAGCUAAAACUUGGCUACAAAAUCUUAGGUCAGGAUCCAUCAAAACUUGGGAUGAAAUGCAAGCACAAUUUUUAAAAAAACUCUUCCCACCCCACAAAACAAAUUCUUUCAAAAGACAAAUCACCACUUUCACUCAAAAACCAGGAUAAACCCUCUACCAAUGUUGGGACAGGUUUAAAGAACUACUUAACAUUUGCUCAUACCACUGUUUUGAAACAUGGAGAUUAAUGUCUUAUUUCUACGAGGGAUUAACAUCCCAAGGUAGACAAGUCGUUGAAAUGAUGUGUAGGUGAGUUUAGGGAUAAAAGUCCUGAAGAUGCAUUAGACUAUUUUGACUAUAUAGUAGAAAAUGCACAACACUGGGAUACAGUUGGUUCUUAUGAGUCAUCAAGUAAACCCCAGUCAUCUCCAUCUAGUGGAGGUAUGCAUAACUUUAGGGAAGACCAUGAUUUUCAAGCUAAAUUUGCAUCAUUAGAUAGAAAAGUCGAAGCAUUAGAGUCGAAAAAGAAUGAUUAUGUAAAGUCUGUUUAAAAUAUUUCAUGUUAUAUUUGUGAUUCUACUGACCAUUCUACGCAGGACUGUCCAACCUUGCCAGCUCUGAGAGAAAGUUUGCACGAACAAGUAAAUGUCGUUGACAAUUUCAAAAGGCCAAAUCCAAAUCCAUACUCCCAAACUUACAUCUGCUCUGACCAUGCAUGAAAAAGGAAAGUUUCCUGCUCAACCUGAACCAAACCCCAAGAGUCAACAACAUCCUCAAAUGGGAAAUUCAGGAAAUCAAAAUAUGAGUCAAGUCAAAUCAGUUAUAACCCUUCGUGGUGGUAAAGUGGUCGAAAAACACAUUGUGGACCUUCGUGAAACUAGUAAAGAUUUAAUUUUAGAAAAUAGGGAAGAGUCUGUCGAACCUUAAACCCAUGAAGAAAUAACCAACUCUCCUCAUGUACCCCCAUUUUCUCAAGCACUAAUCAAGCCAAAGAAAUCAAACCAUAGUCCAGAAAUUUAUGAAGUUUUUAAACAAGUAAGGGUCAACAUUCCUCUGCUGGAUGUCAUUAAACAGGUACCUUCUUAUGCUAAAUUUCUGAAAGAUCUGUGCACGGUGAAAAAGAAACAUAAAGUGCAAAAGUAAGCUUUUUUAGCAGAACAUGUAAGUUCUAUUCUCUCAAGCAAUAGUGCUUUGAAGUACAAGGAUCCUGGUUGUCCAACUAUUUCUUGCACUAUUUGGGAUCAUAAAAUUGGAUAUACUGUACUUGAUCUUGGUGCCAGUGUUAAUUUGCUUCCUUACUCAGUGCACCAACAGCUCAAUCUCGGUGAGUUAAAACCAACUUAUACCACUCUUUUACUUACUAAUAGAUCGAUUAAGGUUCCAAAAGGAAUAAUUGAAGAUGUAUUAGUCCAGGUCGAUAAAUUCAUUACUCAGUGCAGUGUUAAUUUGCUUCCUUACUCAGUGCACCAACAACUCAAUAUCGGUGAGUUAAAACCAACUUAUACCACUCUUUUACUUACUAAUAGAUCGAUUAAGGUUCCAAAAGGAAUAAUUGAAGAUGUAUUAGUCCAGGUCGAUAAAUUCAUAUAUUCUGUGGAUUUUAUUAUUUUGGAAACGAAACCAAUUGCUAAUGAAUGCAAACAAAUUCUUGUUAUAUUAGGUCGACCAUUUUUAACUACUGCUAAUGCUUUGAUAAAUUGCAAGAAUUGAUUAAUGAAUUUAUCUUUCGGCAAUAUGACACUGGAACUCAAUGUGUUCAACAUGUGUAAACAACCUUACCACCAAGAAGAUGAUGAUAAUGAGAAUGAGGAGAUUGAUCUCAUCGAGCCAAUCAUUGAGGAACACAUUCAGGGUGAGAACUUUACAAACUCUGCUGAAAUUUAUUUUGCUGGUUCUUUUGAAUCAAGUAAAGAAUUAGAUUGUGAUAUUGCUAACAUAUGCCCUACAUUUAAUUCUAUGCAGGUACCCAUAGGCGACGAUGACCAAUCAAACUUUGAAAAUAUGGUACAACCUGAAGAACCAAACGAAGAGGAAGCACCAGAGCUCGAAUUAAAGCCAUUACCAGAAGAAUUGAAGUACGCCUAUCUUGGAGAGCAAUAGACAUAUCCGGUGGUAAUUUCUUCCCAGCUCACGCAUGAUCAAGAAGGUAAGUUGUUAUCUGUACUAAAAAGACAUAAAACUGCAUUUGGUUGGACCUUAAAAGACAUAAAAGGCAUUAAUCCUUUAAUUUGCACACACCGAAUACACUUAGAGGAAAAUGCCAAAACAACCCGUUAACCACAAAAAAGACUAAACUCUCAUAUGAAAUAAGUGGUAAAGAAUGAGGUCCUUAAACUACUAGAUGUAUGAAUUAUCUACCCUAUCUCUGAUAGUAAAUGGGUAAGUCCAACACAAGUAGUACCAAAGAAAUCUAGAAUAACUGUUGUAAAAAUGAAAAAGGUGAACCAAUCCCAACACGAAUUCCAUCUAGUUGGCGUAUGUGCAUUGAUUAUAGAAAAUUAAAUGAUGCCACUAGAAAAUAUCAUUUUCCCCUUCCAUUUCUAGACAAAAUUCUCGAAAGCGUAGCUGGACAUCCCUACUACUGCUUUCUUAAUGGCUACUCUAGCUAUUAUCAAAUACUUAUAGCCUUAGAAGACCAGGAAAAGACCACAUUCACAUGCCUAUUUGGAACAUUUGCAUUUAGGAGAAUGCCCUUUGGACUUUGUAAUGCUCCUGCAACAUUUCAAAGGUUCAUGCUAAGCAUUUUUAGUGACAUGGUUGAAAAUUGUUUAGAGAUUUUUAUGGAUGAUUUAACUGUAUUUGGUAAUGCUUUUUAUACAUGUCUUGAUAAUCUAAAAAAAGUUUUGGAAAGGUACAAAGAAAAAGGACUAGUUUUAAAUUAGGAAAAAUGACAUUUCAUGACCACUUCUGGAAUUGUCUUGGACUAUGUUGUAUCUUCAAAAGAAAUUGAGAUUGAUAAAGCCAAAGUUGAAGUCAUUUCAAAAUUACCCUCACCAAAGACAAUUAGAGAAGUCUGUUCUUUUUUAGGACAUGCAAGAUUUUAUAGAAGGUUUAUAAAAGACUUUAGUGCUAUAUCUAAACCACUUUGUAACCUCCUAAUAAAAGACACCCCUUUUGAAUGGACUAAAGAUUGCCAACAAGCUUUUGAAAAAAUAACUACUCUUUUGACAUCAGCCCCAAUAAUGCAACCCAAUGAUUGGUCUUUACUUUUUGAGCUAAUGUAUGAUGCUAGUGAUUAUGUCGUUGGCGCUGUUCUGGGUCAAAGAAAGGAAGGUAAGCCUUUUGUCAUCUAUUAUGCAAGUAGAAUUUUGAAUAGUGCUCAAAUGAAUUACACUACAACUGAGAAAGAACUACUUGUUGUAAUAUUUGUAUUGGAUAAAUUUUGUUCGUAUUUAAUUGGUUCAUCCACUAUUGUUUAUUCUGAUCAUGCUGCUGUGAGAUAUUUAAUGUCAAAACAUGAUGCCAAACCAAGGUUGAUAUGAUGAAUUUUGCUACUUCAAGAAUUUAACUUGACAAUCAAGGACAAAAAGGGCGCUGAAAAUGUUGUUGCAGAUCAUCUUUCAAGACCUACGAAUGAGUCUUCAAUUGAAACAACACCCAUCAAUGACUGGAGUUCUCAGGACAAAAAGAAAUUCUUAACAGAAGUGAAAAACUUUUACUGGGAUAAUCCAUACACGUUCAAGUACUGCCCUGAUCAAAUUUUUCGAAGAUGCAAACCAGAUGACGAGGUAAGUAGGGUCAUUCAAUUUUAUCAUUCUGAAGCAUGCGGUGGCCAUUUUUCUUCAAAAAAGACAGGUGCAAAAAUAUUACAGUGUGCAUUUUAUUGGCCUACAUUAUUUAAAGAUUCACAUGCAUUCUGUAAAAUGUGUAAAAAUUGUCAAAUGGUAUGGUCUAUUUCAAAGCGAAACAUGAUGCCUUUAAACCCCAUCCUUAUCAUUGAAAUAUUUGAUUGUUGGGGAAUUGAUUUUAUGGGCCUUUUCCAUCAUCAUUUGGAUUUGUAUACAUUUUGGUUGUUGUUGAUUUUGUUUUAAAAUGGAUCGAGGCGAUUCCUUGUCGGCACAAUGAUCACAAGAUUGUGAUCUACUUUUUAAAAGAAAAUAUUUUGAGCAAAUUUGGAAUACCUCGAGCCAUUAUCAGUGUUGGAGGUAAGCAUUUUUGUAAUAAGCCAUUUGAGUCCUUAAUGACCCUCAAACAAGUGGUCAAGUUGAAUUAGCAAAUAGGGAGAUAAAACAAAUUUUAGAAAAGACAGUUAAUCCAAAUCGUAAAGAUUGGUCUCUUCGACUAACUGAUGCACUUUGGGUAUAGCGUACUGCUUUUAAAACAUCUUUAGGAAUGUCACCCUAUCGACUUGUUUAUGGAAAAUCUUACCACUUACCAGUUGAACUUGAACAUAAAUCAUUUUAGGUCAUUAAAGCUUUUAAUUCAAAUCUUGAUGAUGCUGGUAACGGGCGUAAAUUACAAAUAAAUGAACUUGAGUAAUUAAGGAAUGAUGCAUAUGAGAAUUCUAGAAUUAUUAAGGCAAGAACCAAAUUUUUUCAUGACAAAAGAAUUUUUCGGAAAACAUUUGAAA
Molecule: long non-coding RNA, 115012 nt
Filed under: Citrus x clementina
Lineage: Eukaryota; Viridiplantae; Streptophyta; Magnoliopsida; Sapindales; Rutaceae
Description: Citrus clementina (C. clementina) long non-coding RNA (CCLE_LNC004353)
Rfam family: Plant small nucleolar RNA R71 (bases 64049-64152)
Source: RNAcentral